Molecule: long non-coding RNA, 90842 nt
Filed under: Daucus carota (carrot)
Lineage: Eukaryota; Viridiplantae; Streptophyta; Magnoliopsida; Apiales; Apiaceae
Description: long non-coding RNA (DCAR_LNC000933)
Source: RNAcentral
CCAAAGACGUAAAGAGGAUGGAAGAACUGGGAAGGGAAAUGGUUGAACAUUGUGCCGGUCUUCCGCUAGCUAUAGUCGUUUUGGGUGGAAUUCUUGUAACAAAACCGUCGUUGAUAGAGUGGGAGAAGGUAUAUCGUGAUAGUAAAUCAUCCCUCAAGGCGGGGAGAGGAUUGGAAGAAGCCUAUCAAAGGGAAAUAUUAAGUUUUUUAGUUUGGAGCUACAAUGAUUUACCCCCUCAGUUGAAGCCAUGCUUUUUAUAUUUAUCUAAGUUUGGUGAUAAUAAAUAUAUAGAAGUGGGGACUUUGUAUCAGCUGUGGAUCGCCGAAGGAAUGAUACUCUCGAGUGACAAAAGGGAAGGAGAAACAAUGAUUCAAGUGGCUGAAUCAUACAUGGGAGAACUAGUCCACAGGAGUAUGGUUCAAGUGAGAUUUAACAAUGUGAAAUCAUCACCUACAAAGUUUGAAGAUUGUUCUCUGCAUGACCUUAUGCGAGAUAUGUCUUUAAUACAAGCAAAAGCAGAAGAUUUUUUUGAAGAUAUACAUUCCAAAGUGCAAAUGAGUUUCAUCUCAAAUCUACUGCAGAUUCAAGAAACACAACUCGACUUGUGAUUAAUUUGGAUGAGGAAUAUUCUAGGAAAAAAGUUAAUUACUACUUCUCCAAGAAACGCGAUAAAAAAUGCUAUCGAUCAAUUUUACUCCUCGGUCAGUUUGGAGCGAGAAGUUUGCCACGGUCGCUCGGGUCACAUGUUGCCAAUUUUAGGUUCCUAAAAGUGUUUUCAGUGGAGAAAUAUACCAAUUUUUCUGGUGCAUUUUCCCAUAUUAAUUUUGGAAGAGCAUUAGGGGCCCUUGUUUACUUGCGAUAUCUUAGUGUAAGGGGCACUAAUUUGUUGGUUUUUCCUUCUAUACAAAAGUUGGUACUGUUACAAACUCUUAGAUUGCAUACAUGCGAUGAUAUGUAUGCUUUACCAUGGUUGUCAAGAGAUGUUCUGGUGAAGCUCGAUUGUUUGCGGCACCUGUAUUUGCCUAAAUUUAAAGUUGACGUUUUGGUAAGGAAAUCGAAAUUACGGUUUAAUGGGUUGAGCAAGUUAGAGACCCUGGAGAACUUUGACACUACUUGGUGUGAGGUUAAGGAUCUACGUGAACUAAUCAAUCUUCGGAAACUAAUGGUAACAGUGAGAGGUAGCUGUGAUAUUCUGGAAGAAAUGAUGAAAAACUUGGAUGAUAUAGCCUCCUCACCAUCUUCAUGUCUGAGCUACUUGGGUGUUGCUAUUAGUAAUUGUCAUCUCGAGCUGAACAAUGGUCUUACUAUCUUAAAACAAUUGGUAUAUGCUGAAAAUUUGAACCUUCGGGAUUUGAAAAUAUAUGGGCGUAUCCCAGAGGUGGGUCUAAUAUUUCCGCUUCAAUAUGUAUCUACAAUUGGUAUUACAAGUUUAACUUUAGCGAGUUCAUGCCUAGAAGAAGACCCGAUGCCAAUACUGGAAAUGCUUCCAAUGUUGGGUGUUCUCUGUUUGUUUAAGGAUACAUAUGUGGGGAAGGAGAUGGUGUGCUCCGCAACCUGUUUUCCUAAACUCACCUCUCUUUAUUUGCAAGAGUUCCCAAACCUUGAAAAAUGGAGGGUGGAGAAAGGAAGCAUGCCCAUGCUUUCAUACUUGCGUAUUGAAAGAUGUAACAAGUUGGAGGAGCUUCCCGAAGGCCUAGUGUUCCUCAAGUCCCUUCAAGUACUAGAUAUAUUUCAUAUGCUUCAAGAUUUUAAUGAUAGGCUUAAAAGGCAUGAUGGUGAAGAGGGACCCGACUUUCACAAAAUUUCUCAUGUCGAUAGACUCAUUAUUGACGAUCAGGAGUUAAAUUGAAUGUUCUUGCAAGCUUAUUAUUCCACAAAAUUAUUAGUUCACUUAUAAGGCUAUAAGCCAUAUUUGUCAAAAAAAACAAAAAAAAACUACUCCUUUAGAAAACGGCUCAGCGUUCUCAGGUUCAUAUUCACACCAUAUUCUCUUGUGAACUAGGGGCACAAUUUUCAUCAUUUUCUUUGUCUUACAAGCAUGCAAUCUAGUCAUUUGAAAUUGAUCACUUUAAAGACCAUCCUUGUGUCUCGUUCAUUUUCCUUGAGGUGAACAAGAGUUGAACAUAUUCGGAAGCAAUAAAUAUAACAGUCUUAUAACAGAAUAUCGAUUUAUGAUAAUGUUAGACUGCAGAAAAUGAGAGGAAGUAAUUUUUCACUGACCAAUAUGUAAUAUGUUUUCAUGCUAUUGCGGCCAACACAACAGAGUACAUUGUUUCCCACAUGUUGCAACAAAACACCAAAACUAGGAGACUUCUAACUCUUGACUCCACCCAUUGUUCAAACUUUUUCUUUGUGAUCUUUUUUUAUAAUGAAACACUUUUGUAUUUUUUUCCUUUAUAGUUAAAACUACGAUAUAUACAGCGUUUAGGACUGGGAAACUGCUUUCUUCAAGACGCUGAAGGCAACGAGCAUAAGCAGUGAUAUCAUGAUCUUCUUUGAAGCAAGAAUCCGCAAGUUCACCUUCAUGCCAUGGUCUCUCAUGAGCUUCACUGUUGCCCUAAUUACUGAAAUAAGCCAGAAUACAACGGACAAGAACACCACUUUCAUUGUGUCUGCAGGUCCAUUCACACUUCUUGUGCCUCCCGACACCUCGACAUAGGACCAAGCAGCGCCUUGAUUAUCGGUAGUUCCACUAUGAUUGAGGCCAAGUUUCUCGUUCAACCAACAUGAUAAAGUCACAAGCAGCUUUGCAAGCCAUGCAAUCUCAUCACUGGAGACUGGUCGCUUCAACCAGUCACCCCUGUAUUUCGUACCGGUUUGCUUCUUGUUGCGUAUCAUUCUAGGACUAAAUAUCUCAUCACGUGGAUGCUGAUUUUCUCUUGUCUCGGGGACUGCUUGUGUGUUCCUUGGAGUAGAGUUACCAAAUAAGCACCCCAUCUGGGCUUUGAUAGAAUCUAAACAAGCCAUAUUGUGAGCAUGAUUAUCUCCCAAGACGGUCUGCAGCUCCGACUCAGCACGCAGCACAAAGAGCUGCAAUUACAAUGUGAGUAGUGAGUGAGACUUGAGAUUUAGAAUGAUGUCAAUAUGCUUAAGACCUGCACAAGAAAUACAAGAAACAUAUACAAAAUAAGUAAACGGAAACUAUAACGAAUUGAUCCUGGGAUAAAAAUAUAUACUAAUUAUAAAAGAAAAUUUCCCCACUGUUACCCUGACUCUUCAUUUUGCCUCAAGUACACGUGUCGGACACUCAACACUUGAACAUCGGACACUCAACACUUGAACAUAGGUACAGACACUACAGAACUUAUUUUAGGCCAAAAACAUGUAAAUUUUCAGAAUACUACCGAGACACACUCGGACAGGUAACCAUGUUGGACACUUUUAGCUGACUCCAGGUAAUAUAGAUUCUUCAUAUGUAAGCUUACCAGAAGUAUCCCAUCAGUGCCCAUAAAUGAAAAGAAGCCGAAAGAAACUAUAAAAGAGGAAUAUAGCAGAUUAUUAUUAAUUAGUAGCCUUGCAUCAGUUUCCUCUAUAAUUCAACACAAGUAGCUUACGCGGAUAAAGACAUUCUUACCAGAUGCUGACGCAAGGAUUGAUGUAGAAAGAAUCCGGAUUUUGCUCCGGGAUGUACGAGAGCUUGCCUAUGAUGCUGAACAUGUUGUCGAAACUUUUGUUAUUAAAGCCUCAUCCACUAAAAAACCAUUUCAGCGGAUGAACAGAGUCAAGUUUUCAAGAAAGAUGAAAAAUAUACAGAAAAAGAUGUCCCUCCUCUUCAAUUUAUUUUCUGAUUAUAAUAUCAUACCAACUUCUGAAUCAACUUUCUCAAACAGGGCAAGUUUUCAAGAAAGAUGAAAAAUAUACAGAAAAAGAUGUCCCUCCUCUUCAAUUUAUUUUCUGAUUAUAAUAUCAUACCAACUUCUGAAUCAACUUCCUCAAACAGAGAAUCGGGAAAACUUAAGCGAUUUCACUCUUUCACUACUCCUGAACCAGAGUUAUUUGUUGGAUUUCAUGAAGACGUUGAAUGCUUGGUGCGACAUUUGGUGGAUGAAACUCAUGAUUCUUACCCACUUAUAUCUAUUUGUGGAAUGGGGGGCCUGGGAAAGACUACUCUCGCUCAAAAGAUAUACAAUCACUCUGCCAUCAAGACUCACUUUGCUGGUUUAGCAUGGGUAUCAAUUUCGCGAAAGUGGCAGACAGAUCGUGUGUUGCAGAGAAUUCUCAUAUGUCUCGUACCUGAGAACAAAGAAUCUAUCCUUAAUAUGGACAGCAACAAGCUAGUGGAGUAUAUGCUACAUAUUAAGGAACGGAAAAAAUGCUUGAUAGUCCUCGAUGACAUAUGGUCAACUGAUGCUUGGGAUGCAUUAAAAGCUGCAUUCCCAGCCGGGAAGUCCAUAAGCAAAUUAAUGCUUACAAGCCGUAAUGUUGAGGUUGCUAAGCAUGUAAAUUUGAACGGAUUCAUUCACAAGCCAGAAUGUCUAAAUCCAGAACAAAGUUGGGAGCUACUCAAGUUGAAAGCACUUCACACAGGAAAUUGUCUAGGUACAUAAUUUUACUUGCGUUAAUUAUAGUUCAUAUACUUUUUCCGCACCCUAUCUUUGGUACGACAGCCUUAAUGAGCCAUAUUUUCUGUUACUUGAGUUGGAUAAGUUUGGUUAGAGAUCUGCCCAGACAACCUUAAAUAACAUUGUUCUGUUCAAGUAACAUUUUUUUCGUGUUUGUUUGAAUUCGUUAGUCGUUUACAAACGUAUGUAUUAGAAUUGUAAACGAAUGUAACAGUUCAUUAAGUGCCCUCUUGAGGUUGAGUUAACGAACUCGAAUUCAAACCACAUAUUUUGUUUGAGAACCUUAACAAACUUUAUGGGGUUCAGUAAUUUUUGCUGGUGUUGACUCGAAGUUUAUCGGAGUUAAGUUCAUUAACCAUUUCCCUUCCCAGUUCUUCCAUCCUUUUUACAUCUCUGGUAAUGUCUGCAAAACACAAGAUACGGGAAUCAUAUGUGUGUAUAUAUAGACACACAAACGCAAGCCAAGAUAAUUUCUAAUUUAGUCAUUUGACUGGUGCAAAUAUUUAAAAGACACGUUCAAGUUAUAGCCCUAAUUGAACAUUGUGCCGGUCUUCCGCUGGCUAUAGUCAUUCUGGGUGGAAUUCUUGUAACAAAACCGUCGUUAAUAGAGUGGGAGAAGGUAUAUCGUGACAGUAAAUCAUCCCUGAAGGCGGGGAAAGGACUUGGAGAAGCCUAUCAAAGGGAAAUAUUAAGUUUUUUAGUUUGGAGCUACAAUGAUUUACCCCCUCAGCUCAAGCCAUGCUUUUUAUAUUUAUCUAAGUUUGGUGAAGAUAAAUGGAUCAAAUUAGAGACUUUGUAUCAGCUAUGGAUCGCUGAAGGAAUGAUACUCUCGAAUGACAAAAGGAAAGGAGAAACAAUGAUACAAGUGGCUGAAUCAUACAUGGGAGAACUAUUGCAUAGGAGUAUGGUUCAAGUCAGAUUUAACAAUGUGGAAUCAUCACUUACAAAGUUUAAAGAUUGUUCUCUGCACGACCUUAUGAGAGACAUGUCUUUAAUACAAGCAAAAGGCGAAGAUUUUUUUGAAGAAAUACAUUUACAAAGUGGACAUGAGUUUCAUCUCAAAUCUACUUCAGAUUAAAGGCCAGCUUACACUCGACUUGUGAUUCAUUUGGAUGAGGAAUAUUCUAGCAAAAAAGCUAAUUACUACUUCUCUAAGAAAGGCAAUGAAAAAUGCUAUCGAUCAGUGUUAUUCUUUGGCGUCUUCGGUCCGAGAAGUUUGCCACGGGCAUUGGGGUCACAUGUUGCCAAUUUUAGGUUCCUAAAAGUGUUUUCUGUGGAAAAAUACACAAAUUUUUCUGGUGCGUUUUCUCAUAUUAACUUUGGAAGAGCAUUAGGGUCCCUUGUUUACCUGCGAUAUCUUAGUGUAAGGGGCAGUAAUUUGUUGGUUUUUCCAUCUAUGCAAAAGUUGGUGUUGUUACAAACUCUUAACUUAGAUACAUUCGAGGGUAUGUAUGUUUUACCAUGGUUGUCAAGAGAUGUUCUGGUGAAACUGGAUUGUUUGCGGCAUCUGUAUUUGCCGAUAUUUAAAGUUAACGUUUUGGGAAGGAAAUCAAAUUUUCGGUUUAAUGGGUUGAGCAAGUUAGAGACCCUGGAGAACUUUGACAGUAGUUGGUGUGAUAUUAAGGAUCUACGUGACCUAAUCAAUCUUCGAAAACUAACGGUAACAGGGAGAGGAAGCUGUAAUAUUCUGGAAGAAAUGAUGAAAAACUUGGUUGAAAUAGCCUCCUCACCAUCUUUUUGUUUGAGGUACUUGGGUGUUUGUGUUCUUUAUUGUCAUCUUCGGCUGAAAAACGGUCUUACUAUCUUGAAACAAUUGGUGUGUGCUGAAAAAUUGAACCUUCGACAUUUGAGAAUACAUGGGCGUAUCCCAGAGGUGGGUCUAAUAUUUCCAGUGCGAUAUGUUGGGGAUAAUUAUGCACAUGUAUCUACAAUUCAUAUUACAAGUUUAAAUUUAUCGAGAUCAUACUUGGAAGAGGACCCGAUGCCAAUACUUGAAAUGCUUCCAAUGUUGGGUGAUCUCUUUAUGUUUACAGAUACAUUUGUGGGGAGGAAGAUGAUGUGCUCCGCAACCGGUUUUCCUAAACUCACCAAUCUUUGUUUGUACGAGUUCCCCAAUCUUGAAAAAUGGAGGGUGGAGAAAGGAAGUAUGCCUAUCCUUUCAUACUUGCUUAUUGAAAGUUGUAACAAGUUGAAGGAGCUUCCAAAAGGCCUGGUGUUCCUCAACUCCCUUCAAGUAUUAAGAAUAUACCAAAUGCCUCAAGAUUUCAAUGAUAGGCUUACAAGGAAUGAUGGUGACGAGGGACCUGACUUUCACAAAAUAUCUCAUGUCGAUCCGUAGAGUCCGUAUAGAUAAUGAUCAGGAAUACAACUGAACGUUCUUGUAAGUUCCUAAGUUGUAACGUUUUUGUUUUGGUCUUGAAGAACAGAUUGUUUGAGAAACAAAUCAGAGAUAUUAUUAUAAUAUAUAGUAAUAAUUUUUUGAUGAGAAUAAAGGAGGUGAGAUCAACCUUAUUUAAACUGAUUGCUUCCUAAGGUUAAAUGACACACAUGCAUAUGCUCGUUAGGUAUUGUGUAAUCUCUCUAUUUUUAUUAAUAAAAUACCUCUAUUUACCUGAUAAUAUCUUCACUCCAUCUACAUACAUCAAAAGUAAUUCAUUUUUUUUGUCUUAUGUUGAUUCUGGGCCUUGGAAUGGAAUAACAAACACACGCAGAUGAGUAUAAUUCAAAGUAAUCUUCUUUUGAAUGUAGUUUAUAAUUCACUUUAAUUUUUUUAGGAAAUGAGCAAUAAUAUUGAAGAUUGUCAAAUUCUGGAAGAUUCGCCAUCUGAGGAUUCAUUGUCUACCAAUUUACAAGAUACCUACACUGCUGAAUUGGAUAUAGAGGAUGGUACACGAGCAUUUUUCAUGUCUCAUGAAGAUAUGUUAUUUCAAUCACAAGAAGAAGCAUAUAAUUUUUAUAACAGCUUUGGUUUGACUAAAGGAUGUGCAAUAGGUAAAUUUUAUAUAUACAAGUCUUAUGGUGAGAAGAACUCUUGUAUCUGAUAGAGAAGGUUUCAAAAACAAAAUAAGAGGAUGAUAGUGAGGACAACAUAAAACGACGUCGAGAAACUAGAUGUGGUUGCAAAGGUUCAAUGGAAAUUAUCCUAAAGAAAUUAGGGACAUGGAAAAUGAAAAAAAAAUUAAUAAUAUCCAUUCACAUGACUUGCUCAAGAGUCCGAAUAAGAAAAGAAAAUUAAGGUCUCAGAACAAGUUUCAUUAAGAUGCAACUUAUAAGAAAUUGAUUGAUAAAUUUAGUAGUUGCGGAGUUGGGCCAACAAAAAUAUCAGGCAUUAUAAAUACUGCUAGUGGUAGUGUUACAGAUGUCAUGACACCCCAACAAUAUUCUGAAGAGUUAAGAAUUAAGAGAAGAUAUUCAGAAUCAAGAGAAAAAAUAACAUCGGCAAGGAGUGUAUAAUUAAUGUAGUGCAGAUUAUUUUUAGAGAGGAAAGCAAGAUAUUCUGAAUUUUAGUAUGCCAUUCAACUUGACGAACAUGGCUGUACGUAGAAGUAUUUUCUGGUGUUAUGCCAGAGCGAGAAAAAUUUUAUAAGAAAAUUUCUAAUGUGAUAGUAUUAAUCGGGACUAAUACAAUUUAUUGUAGGAAUGGAGUCUUCUCAAAGAAGUGAAAGUACGAAUUCGUUUUUUGAUGGUUAUGUCAAUAGCAAUACUCCUUUGUCUAUAUAUAUUGACACGUAUGAAAAAGAAAUUACUGGCCAUCGUGAUAGAAAAGAGAUAGCGGAUUGGAUUAAUUAGAACACUGGCAAUGCAUGCCUUGGCAUCUCAGUUAGCUGUAUAUUCAUCAUCUCAUCACGAAAGGGCAGCUAUUUUGAGCGGAUGCGGAUCAAGCAAUAUUAGUUUUACUGGGGGUAAUCGCAUGACUCUCCUAGCCGUUCCACAGGGAGCUAUUUUAUCACUGAAUAGCUCUAAUGACCCAUCACCAAUAGCUUUUGUUUAAGCUCUUCUACCUUUUUUUCUGAUUCAUCCCAUAUCUAUGUCAAGUUCACGUAGCAUCACUCAUGGGGCGCACUACAAUUCCUUGUUGAAAUAUUCACGAACAGGAAGUAUGUAUUAAUAGCAAUGAGUGAUGCUAUUGUUCCUCUGGCAAGUGGUAUAGAAGAGCUUUUGCGCCAUGUUUCUUCACUGAAGAGUUUUGGUGUUCAUUUAAUAAUCAAAAUUGUCAAUAAGAUUUCCUUAAUAGGGGACUCUAGGCUUACUGUGCCCUCAGAAAAAGUCGAUGGGAGUACUUCAAUGAAGAACGCACCUGGUAUGCUUGAAAGCUAAAGUUUAUAAUCUAUUAUGUCUUAUUCUUCAUUACAAUUAAUAAAUCAUCGAUCUUUCAUACGCAAGUAUGGUAAUUUAUGGGGGUUCUACUGUAUUAGACUAUUAGGUGUUGUAUUAGAUGCUGAAUUUCUUAUCUCAGUUAUUAUUUAAUAAGCAUGUAGGAUAAAUUAUUGUCGAUGAAGGUGAUGCAAAAAAGAUGUAUACCGGGUCAUUUUAUAAUUGUUUAGUAAUUUACCCUAGAAGUCCACGAGCUACUCGGUUGUUAAUUAAACUUUGUUUUUACAUGCUCAUCGUUUAGUAAUUUACCCUAGAAGUCCAUGAGCUAAUCAGUUUGUUAAUUAAACUUUGUUUUUACAUGCUCAUCGUUUAGUACUUGAUGAUUGUCAUUUAUUUGGGAAUUGAAUAAUGAAUUAAUAUUUAUAUACACAAAUAGGUUCAUAUCUAUUAAUCGGCUCUAGUUUAACUAUCAGGUUUUAUAAUUGUAAACACUACGCCAUAAAAGGCCUAUCGCAACGCGACCUUUGUAAAUGUUGCUAAAAAAUGUUACCUUAGCUACACUACUUUCACCCUUCCGCAACAUAAUAUUUUUCAUGUUAGCUUAGCCAAAAAGGGGAUGUUGCCUUUGUUAGAAAGUGUUUAAGGGUGCAACAUGGAGACAAAUAUGUUAGCUUAAGCUAUUAAAAUGUGAAAAUAAUAUUUUAACUUAAAAUUAAAGAAAAAAGUAAUUACUUGUAUUAAAAAUAAAAAUAGAAGUUAUGUAAUAAUAUAAACUAAAAAUAUAAAAAAUUAUAUAAAAUAUUAAAUAAUUUAAUAGGUGAAUGAUUUUAUUUUAAAUAAUAAAUAUAUGUUUAUUUAUUUAAAAAGUAAAAUAAAAUGUAAACAAAAAAAUAAAAUAUAAACUAAAUAUAUGUAUAUAUGUUUAUUUGAACAAGCGGGCGUGGUUCCCGGUGAAAUCAGACAAGCAGCGGGACUUUGUUUCACUAACACCCCGCCCCAUUUUUUCACUUCCUUUUCCACUCACACUCAGUCAUCUCUCAUUUUCCACACAGUCCUCUCUCGCUCUUCACCCCCACAUCUCGUCUCUCUCUCUCUCUUUUCACCCCCACAGUCGCCUCUCUCUCUUUUCACCGUGUCUCUCUCGUCGCUCUGGUCUCUCUGGUCUCUCAUCAGCACAUCUCUCUCAUCUCAGGUUUGGAUUUCAAGUUAGGGCAUGGUUUGAGGGCUCGAUGCUUUGAUACUCCUAACUAGGGGUUUCUCUCUUUAAAUCAGGGCUUCAUUUCUUUAUUUUCUUCCAUUUACAGGUCUUUCUUCUUUUAAACUACAUCUAAUCGUACUUUAUCUUUGAUUUCAGGUAUUUUCAGCGGAGGCUUUGCAUUUGGAAUUAGGUAUGGUGGCUUUGAUUUAAUUUUUUUCAUUUGUAUAUAGUGGGGGCUGUUAAUCUAACUUUAUUUUCUAUUUUCAGGGCUUCUUCGGUUGAUUUUAAGGAUUUCAUUUAAAGGAUUUAAAAUUAGGGUUUCAGUUUAAAGAUUUUGCUACAGGUAUCUCCCUCUCUGCUUCAACAUUUUUGAGUUUUUGGGUUUGUUUUUGUUGUUAUUUGUUUUUAUUAGGGAAGUUAUCUGAUUUUUGUUUUUAUUAGGGGUUUGGAAUUGCAUUUUAUGAAUCUUUGUUGUUUUCAUUUUGUGGCAUUUGUUAUUUGUUGCAUUUUGUAGUUAAUAUUUGUUACUAGUUAACAUUUGAUUUAUAUUUUGUGGUAAGUGUAUGUGUCCAGGACUUGUUAUUAAAUAUUUAUGCUUGAAAUAGGUUGUUCUGGUGACCAGUUAUGACUCUGUUUUGUGGUUUCUAUAUGUAUGCUCUGUUUAUAACUUAAAAAAUUUGACAAUUAAGAGUAGCUGGUGUUGAUUCUCUGUUGAACAUUUGUAUAUUUUUGUGCUCUGCUGCCAUACAUGUAAGAUUCCAUUGUAGAUAUUGUGAGCUAGUUGGUUAGAUGCCAUAACAUAUUAUCUUGGCUCAUAAACUCUAUGUAUACUCUAUAUAUAACUUAAGGGAAUUGCGAUAAAUUUCUAUGUAUGACUUACCUGAUUAAAAGAAUAUUGUUGUUAAUGAUUUGUAUGAUUAAUAAUAUGCAUGUGUUUGGUCUUAUAUUUGAAAGUGAAACUAUAAAUUAUGACAUAUAUGUAGAAUUAAAAGUAGAAUUGCAAAUUUUUUUGGAUAAAAUGUUGCAGUAGCCUAUUUAAAUGUUGCAAAACUUGUAUUUCAAAACUGUUGCAGUAUAGGAAAAAUAUGUUGCCAAUUUAGCUGCUGCCACCUGGCAACUUGAUGGCCCCCACGUGGGCCCCACAGUGGCCCCCACGUGGGCCCCACAAUGGCCCCCACGUGGGCCCCACUUUUUUAAAAAAAUAAAAUUACUCUAAGGUAACAUAAUUUUUUGUUGGAGUAGGAGAAUAAAAUGUUAGAUUAAACACUCUUUGCUAACAUAUCUCGGUUGUUGCUGUAGGCAAACGAUAUGUUGCCUUAGACCCCCUAAGGCAACGGCAAAAAUCCUAUCAUAAAAUAAAUGUUGCCUUAGCCCUUUUAUGGGCCUUUAGCAACAUAUUGACCCCAUUCUGCAACAAUUUUUUUAUGUUAGAUAAGGCCUUUUAUGGUGUAGUGAAACUCGAUGCGGCUAGCUUGAGUAAACUCGACGCGGCUAGAUUAGUAAAUUCGACUUGACUUACACAAGAAGUGAGCGGGAGUCGAAUAAUAUAUAUAUUCGAGAAAACAAAGGAUAAACACAUAACUUGGAUUAUCUAAUAACGCUUAACUCGACUCACACUUAUUUAUUGUGCUAGCAAUGCAAACUUGGACUCUAACUAAUAGGGUUAGUUAUCACUAGGUCACUUUUUACACCAGAUAAUAUCAAGUGAUCACUCGAAAAUUUUUGGGCUCAUUUCAAUCACUAAAGUUAUAAAAAAUAUUAAAUAUUUACCUCUAAUAUAUUUUCGAGAAGUAAACUUUAUUUUUCACUGAAUUCCAUACAUUUUUCUUGUAUGUUAGUAUAGUCAAAUGAAAGGUUAUGAAUUUCAGUAUUUAUGAUAAUAUAUUCAGAUUUUAAAAAAUUUAUUUUCUAUUUAUUUUUAAUUUUACAAUUUUUUUUGUUUAACUUAAAUCAAAUAAAUAAGUACCCCAUCCGUGCUUUUACAUAUAAUCAAGCUCUCAUGGACCACAGAUGGGUUGAUGCCAUGAAUAAAGAGCUUCAUGCUCUAGAAACAAACAAUACCUGGCAAGUAGUUUCACCUCCCCCAAAUAAAAAGGUCGUUGGUUGUAAGUGGGAUUAUAAGGUAAAAUACUUGUUAGAUGGCUCUUUAGACAAAUUCAAGGCAUGCCUCGUUGCUAAGAGAUACACAUAGAUUGAAGGGCAGGAUUAUCAUAAUACCUUAUCACCUGUAGCUAAGAUGGCUACAGUUCAGACUGUCCUGGCAUUAGCCACUGUCAAACAUUGGGACAUACACCAGUUGGAGGUCAAUAAUGCGUUCCAUCAUGGUGAAUUAUCUGAAGAAGUUUAUAUGGAACUUCCUCAAGGUCACCCUGUUCAUGGUUCUGGUCUUGUUUGCCGCUUAAUCAAGUCUAUAUAUAGUUUGAAGGAAGCAUCACAGUUAUGGUUUGAGAAACUUGCUUCAGUUUUGCUUGACCUUGGGUUCACUCAAAAUAGUUGCAUAAUACUUUUUAUUUGUCAACAAAACAGAUGUUGUUUUUAUAGUUGCCCUACUUUAUGUCGGUGACACAUAUACUUCUCACUGGUAACAGUAGUGAGUUUAUUUCUCAUGUCAAAUCUGUUUACCAUUCUACUUUCACCAUCAAAGAUUUGGGCUUAGCCAAGUACUAUCUUGGUCAUGAGAUACACAGAACUACAGAAGGUCUGUAUUUUCACCAGCACAAGUUCGUACAUGAUAUUCUUCUCGAAGCAGGUUUGGAACAUUGUAAUCCCUUGUCUUUGCCUGUUGAUCACACCAUUAAACUUUCACCCACUGAUGGUGAACUUUUAUCUGAACCCACCAUUUAUCAAAAGUUUGUGGGGAAGUUGCUUUACCUAACCGUUCAAGGCCUGACAUUACAUAUGUUGUACAUCAUUUGAGCCACUUUUUGCAAAAUCCUCGUGUACCUCAUAUGUUGGCAAUGCAAUGUGUUUUACGUUACUUAAAAGGUACACCCUACCAAGGCUUGUUCUACUCUGCAAAUACUACCCUCAAACUUCAGGCGUAUUGUGACAGUGACUGGGGGUCUACAUUGGAUUCUUCUGGUAUGCUGACAAGCAUCACUAGCAUGUGUUUUACUUUGGGAUCUUCUUUUGUUAACUGGCUUUCCACCAAGCAGAAGGUCGUUUCUCGAUCCACAGCUGUGAUUGAACUCGGGGCUGUUGUAGAUACUGCAUGUGAGGUUUCUUGGUUCAAUCUGCUGUAAGGUGAACUCCAAGUACCUCAGUCUUUGCAUGUUGUAAUUCAUAGUGAUAACCAGGCCGCAUUAGAUAUUGCUGCCAACCCGGUUUUUCAUCCUCGUUAUCUUCCUCGUGCAUCUCAGCUGGCUAAUAUUUUCACAAAAUGCUUGGGGCGAUCAGCUCAUUGGCAUGUAUUAUCUAGAUUGAAUGUUUCACAUCCACCUUCAAUCUGAGGGGGCUACUACACUGCUUAUCACCAGAACUCCACUAUCUCUUAUCAAGGCUACUUAUCAUAACCGUUUUAUAACAGAAUUCUGUAUAUAGUGCGGAUAGCUUGUAGUUGUUUCUCCAAUCUUCUCUAUAACAAACAUUUUUCUCUCUUCAAUAAUGUGAAUAUGUUAAAGUCAAUACUAGUCCCAAGUAACCCCAAAGUCUAAGAUAGAGCUACCAAUUUUUUGGUUUCUAGUUAUGUAGUCCAGCAGUAUAAUAAAGGCAACUACAAGUUUCUGGUUGUAUAGUUUAUGGUUGAACUAUUAUAUGAUUAUACAAUUCAACGGCUUAGAUUAUGUCUGGUAUAUAUAUUGUAAGGUGUAUUUGGGCCUGUUAAACAGCCAUCAAUCGGCGGAAUGCGAUAUAUGGUUACAUUUAUUGUUAAAGCAAUGUUUGCUUUAAAGAUUUAAUCGAAGGAGAGUCGACCCACAAAAUCAAGUGCUUACGUAUAGACAAUGGAGGAGAGUAUAGCUCAAAGGAGUUUAGUCAAUAUCUACGAGCUAAUAAAAUCCGUCAUCAAUUUACAUGUGCAAACACACCCCAGCAAAACGGUGUUGCAGAGAGGAAAAAUCGACAUCUUGCUGAAAUAUGUCGAAGUAUGUUACAUGCUAAUAACGUGCCUGGAAAAUAUAGGGCUGAAGCUAUAACUACGGCAUCUCUUGUCAUUAACAAGCUUCCUCAACCAAGGCUGGAUUUCGUCACGCCUUUUGAAAAAUUAUGGACAAAGAAACCUGCUGUAAGUUAUCUUCGGGUGUUUGGUUGUGUUUGCUAUGUAUUUGUUCUUGAUCAUUUACGUAGCAAGAUUGAUAGGAAAGCAGUCAGAUGUAUCUUUGUGAAAUACGACAAUCAACGAAAAGGAUGGAAGUGUUGUGAUCCAACAACCGGAAGAUGUUACACAUCACGUAAUGUGGUUUUUGAUGAAGCAUCUUCGUGGUGGACUUCAGAGAAAGAAAUAGCGCCUAUCACUGAAGAAUUUGAGAAAAAGAUGGAACAAAAGAUGAGUGAGCAUAUUGUUCAAAUUUUUCCAAGUUCAGAUGGAGAUAUACGUAAUGAUGAUGAGCCAAACGUCACAAAAAAUCCUUGUAAAUCUGGUAUGUAUUAACAACCAGAUGAAAGCUAUAAUUCUGGUGAAGAAUCAGCUCCAUAACGAAGGUCAACAACAACUCGGAGGGCAAAUGUUAGAUAUGCUAAUGCAGCAAUAAUCGAAGAAAUAGAACCUGAGACGUUCGAAGAAGCAUCACAAAAAUCAAAAUGGAUAACAUCUAUGAAAGAUGAGAUCAAUUCCCUUCAAGAGAAUCAAACUUGGGAAUUAGUGUCAAAGCCACACGAUGUGAAACCUAUAUUCUGCAAAUAGGUUAACAAAAUAAAGCGCCGUCCAGAUGGGUCGGUUGAGAGACAUAAGGCUCGACUAGUAGCUUGUGGCUUCUCUCAGCAGUACGGACUAGACUACGAUGAAACGUUUAGUCCGGUGGCAAAACUCACAACUGUAAGAGUCUUGCUUGCAUUGGCGGCUAACAAAAAUUGGAAGUUGUGGCAAAUGGAUGUGAAGAAUCCCUUUUUAAAUGGAGAGUUGGACCGAGUGAUUUACAUGAAUCAACCAAGUGGUUUCGAAAGUGUAACUCAUCCUAAUUUUGUUUGCAAACUCAGAAAAGCGCUUUACGGAUUAAAGUAGGCACCAUGUGCGUGGUACGGGAAGAUAGAUGAGUUUUUAAGCCUACGUGGUUAUGUGAUGACACAGUCAGAUUCUAGUUUAUUUGUUAAAAUAAGAGAAGGGAAGUUGGCAGUGUUGUUGGUAUACGUAGAUGAUUUAAUCAUUACAGGAGAUGACAUCAAAGAAAUUUUUCAAAUAAAGAAAAAUUUAUCAGUCCAUUUUCAGAUGAAAAAACUAGGAGAGCUCAAGCACUUCUUGAGAUUAGAGGUUGAUCAUACUGAAAAUGGGUUGUUUCUUUGUCAACAAAAGUAUGCUACAGACUUACUAAAAAGGUUUGGCAUGCUUGAAUGUAAGCCAAUAUCAACACCCAUGGAACCAAAUGCGAAAUUAUGUGCUAAUGAAGGAAAAGAUUUGCAAGAUUCAUCAAUGUAUCGACAAAUAGUAGGUAGUCUAAUCUACUUGACUAUAACCCGACCUGAUAUAUCAUAUUCAGUUGGUGUGAUAAGUCGAUACAUGCAAAAUCGAAUGAAGUCUCACUUAGAAGCUGUUCGAAGAGUACUCAGAUAUAUAAAAGGUACUGUAAGUUAUGGUCUGAUGUACAGGAAGGGUGAAGAUUGUAGUGUGCUUGGAUAUUGUGAUGCUGACUACGCAGGAGAUCAUGAUACUUGUAGGUCAACUACAGGGUAUAUGUUUAUGCUUGAAUCUAGGGCAGUUUCUUGGUGUAGUAAGAGACAACCAACAGUGUCUCUGUCAACAACAGAUGCCGAAUAUCGGGCAGCUGCAAUGGCAUCUCAAGAGAGCACAUGGCUGAUCCAACUAAUGCAAGAUUUGCAUCAGCCAGUAGACGCGGAAAUUCCACUCCUUUGUGAUAAUCAAUCAGCAAUUCGUUUGGCUGAAAAUCCAAUGUUUCAUGCAAGGACAAAAACAUGUUAAAGUACAUUAUCAUUUUCUUCGAGAAGAAGUUUUGCAAGGAGAGAUUGCAAUGAGACAUAUUGCGACACGUGAACAAGUUGCAGAUAUGUUUACCAAAAGCUUAAGUCCAGGAAAGUAUGAGAAGUUUCGCUGCCAACUGGGAGUUGUUCAGAGAAUGGGAACUAAAACAUUGAUGGAGAGUGUUAAAGUCAAUACUAGUCCCAAGUAACCCAAAAGUCUAAGUUACAGCUACCAAUUUUUUGUUUUUUAGUUAUGUAGUCCAGCAGUAUAAUAAAGGCAACUACUAGUUUCUGGUCGGAUAGUUUCUGAUUGAAUUAGUAUAUGAUUAUACAAUUCAAUGGCUUAGAUUAUGUCUGGUAUAUAUAUUGUAAGGUGUAGAUGAUUUGCUGGAACCUAUAAAUAUCCUUUGUAUCUGAGUUUAUUAAUAUAACAAGUAACAGUUUGUUUCUUAAGUCUAGAGAGAAAAGAUCAGUUCAUACUUGUUAGUGUAACUAGUGCGUUCUUAUUCUAAAGAGAGAAGAGUGAAUGCAGAGAGUGUUUUCUACAGAAUAUACCUGUGUUGUGUUAGUGUACUGAAGCUCAGUUUCAAGCUUUAAUGGCGUUUAUAACAACUUAAGAGUGAUAGAAUCUAAACAAGCCAUUUUAUGAGCAUGAUUAUCUCCCAAGACAGUCCGCAGUUGUGAUUUAGCACGCAACACAAAGAGAUGCAAUAACAAUAUGACUAGUGAGUGAGACUUGAGAUUUAGACCUGCAAUAUCACUUUAUACCCAAAGUUGAGACUCAUGUCUAACACUAAAAUUUUCUGUAAACAUAUUAAUUAUUUUGAUAUAGGGGUUAUUAGAUUUUAAUAUUGGUCCCUACUUGAUACCCAAAUAUCUUAUGAAUUACUCCCUCAAUCUCAUAUUAUGUGUCCAAUUUUGACUAUUAGAUGAUCAAUUUAACUAAACUUUGACCAUUAACUAAACAAAAUUUAUUAAUUAUUUUAAAAUUUUAAAAAUUGGAUUUUGAAGGGGAUUAGAUAUAUUUUUUAAUAAAGUAAGUUUUCAAUCUUUUGAAGUCGGAUAAUAUCUGUAAUUUGUGUUCAAAGUAUAGUCAAUUUGACUCUUCAAUAGUCAAAACAAAACACAUAAUAUGAGAUGGAGGGAGUAAAAAAAUUUAUCACCUUAGAGAAUAUUAAUUUAUAGGAUUUCACUAUAUUAGAUGUUGAAUUUCUUAUUUUAGUUAUUACUCCCGAUGUCCAAGAGAGUCGCUUUAACUCUUUACACGUAAUAUGAGAUGUAAGAAGACAUAUUUUUCAUAUUAUUUUUCAAAAAAAUUUUUUGUGAAUAAAAAUAUAGAUGUUAAAUUUUUAUUUAGAAAAUGAAACUUUGAAAAAUAAUAUAUAGAUAUAUGAUGUGUUUUUUACACCUAUGGGAUCGAUGGAAUAUUUAGUAAGCAAGUAGGGUUAAUAAUCGUCGUCGAAGGUGGUGCAAACAAUUAUGAAUGCCGAGUCAUUUUGUAUUUGUUUAGUAAUUUAUGGUAGAAGUCCACGGGCUAAGGGGUUGUUAAACUUUAAUUUUACAUGCUCAUCUUUUAGUAUACAACUAGUGAAAAAAGCCGCGCUUCACGGCGGCGUGAUAAAUUUUGAUAUGAAUCCGUAUUAUAAUAUUAUAAAUAUUAUUUUGAGUCAUCUUCCCGUUAAACAUAUCACAAAUAAAAAAUGUUAUAAUUGACGUAAAAAUUUGUUUAAGUGGUCAUCCUAUCAAACAUAAUACUAAUAAUAAAAUUAGUUCGAACCCCCUUCCGUCAAAGACAAUAUUAAUCCAUAAUUAUUAUUUAUAUGAUAAAAUUAAAUAUUAUAAUUUAGAUCGAAAUUAGUUUGAGCUUCUCUCUUAUCAAACACAAUACUAAUAACAAAACUUUAUAAUUUAAAUAUUAGUUAGAGUCUCUUUACUGUCAAACACAAUACUAAUAAAAAUUAUUCUAAUUAUAAUAAAAUUAAAGAUUAUAAUUGGAUAAAAAAUAUUUUGAACUGUGACAAAAAAAAUAUUAUAACAUAGAUAAAAAAUUAUUUUAGCCACUUUCCCGUCAAAAAUAAUACUCUUAGAAAAAAUUAUUAUUAUUUAGAUAAAAAUUAGUAUGGGCCGCCUCCCGUGCCCGUCAAAUACAAUACUAAUCGAGAAUCAUUUUACAUUAUCAUAAAAUCAAUAUAUGAUUCCUAUUUUUUAUAUCCUAUUUUUCUUUAUUUGUUAUUUUUAUUUUAUGAUUUCUAUUUAUUUGUUAAAAAUAUUAUUCGUUUAUGGUUCUUUUUUUUUUUUGCUAUUAGUUUUUUUUAUGAUUAUUAUCUUUAUAAUCUUUUAUUUCUAUUCAGAAAUUUAAGAAAAUCCGCGAUCUGAGGGGAAAUUGAAAGAGAUAAUUAAUGAAAAUGAUGAAAUUAGACGCAUGGAGGUUGUUAAUUACAUGUUCGUACCUCGCUUCGACAUCUUGAUCGAUCCGUUAUCUCUCUCGGGAUCUCUCCCUGAGGCGCCGUUGAUGAGGGGAGGAGGGGUUUAUAUGGAGAUCGGGCUUGUGUAGGUUUUAAGUGAAUAUUACUUCGUCAAUAAAACGACAUCGUCAGGUUCACUUUCUUGGGAGGGAAUUUGGUCGCCGCCGGUGCUCAAUAAAUAAAUUAAAUUAUAAAUUUUUUUAUUUGAAAUUUAAGAAAAUUAUUAGAAUAAAUCGGAAAUAUAAAUAGUAUUUAUUCUAUGAUUGUUAGUUUGAAUAAAUAUAAUCCUAUUAAUUCCUUUUGGGAUACGUAAAUAAGAAAAAAACUGAAUUAUAAAUAAAUAUUCGAUAGAGAUGAGAAGAUUGCAAUCACUACUUUUUGAAAAAAAAUUACAAAAAAAAUUAUAAAUUUAUAACUUUUGAGAAUAAGAAUCGUACUCUUUUUAAUAAUUUUUAUAUUAAUAUAUAAUUAACAAUAAGAAUUGUAUUACCCUUAUGAUUCCUGAAUUGGAAAAAGAAUUGUAUUACAUUUGGAACUCAAUAAGAAAAGAAUUGUAUGACCUUUAGAAUUCUUAAACAUGAUUUUUUGAAUUAUAACUAUAUUUUUCUCCGAAAUUUAAGAAAAAUCAGAAGACUGAAUCGAGCUAUUUUAGAGACGCCCGCAUUCUCCUUUAUAUACUUUAGAAUUCAAUACGAAAUACUAAAUAAGAAAAGAAUUGUAUCAUCUUUAGAAUUCAAUAUGAAAAGAAUUGUAUUACUUUUAGAAUUCUUGAACAUGAUUUUUUGAAUUAUAAUUAUAGUUUCUAUCCGAAAUUUAAGAAAAAUUAGAAGACUGAAUCGAGCAAUUCUAGAGACGCCUGCAUCCUCCUUUAUAUAUAUAUAUUGAUGAUCGUCAUUCAUUUGAAAAUUAUAUAAUAAAUUAAUAUUUAUAUACACAAGUAGGCUAGUAGUACUUGUAUUAAUCUGCUGGCUCCAUCAGUUCAGCUAUCAUUUUCUUAAUUGUACGUCAAAGGGGAAUAACAGUUAACAAUUAUAGAGAAUCUGAUGUGCAAAUACGCAAGUCACUUCAUCAUUAUUUAGUACUUAGUUGUACAACUAUGAGCUGAUUAGGGCUGUUCACGAACCGAGCCGAGCCGAGUUUUGACCGAGUCGAGCCGAGCUUUAAAUUUUUUCUUAUCGAACCGAGCCCACCCGAGCUUUCUUAUCGAACAAAAAAGUGUGUUCGAGCUCGAGCUCGAUAACUAACGAGCCGAACACGAGGUUGUUCACGAACAAAUACGAGCCGAGUCGAGCCGAGCCGAGUCGAGCUAGAGAAAAAUAAGGCCAAACCGCUACUUUACUCUUAAAAUAGCAAGCCAAAUAAAAUUUUUAGUAUGUUUUGAUGGUACCAUAUUAUAGUUGAUAUUCUCAUGAUCGAUUUGAUAUAUUAUAUGUUGAAUUCGGCGUUCAAUAACAUAUAUAUAUUACGAAAUUAUUAUGAAAAUAUUCUUUUUUUUCGAGCUUUAACGAGCCGAGCUCGAGCCGAACAUACUAAAAGCUCGGCUUGAGCUCGUUUUCUUAACGAACAAUUUUUUGUGUUCGAGCUCGAGCUCGUUAACUUAACGAGCCGAGCCGAACGAGCUCUUAACAAGCCGAGCUCGAGCUUGUUCGCGAACAGCUCGGUUCGUUAAACAGCUCUAGAGCUGAUCGGUUGUUGAACUUUGUUUUCACAUGCUCCUAAAUUAACAUAUAAUGAUUGUCAUUGUUUAGUAAUCUGCAGGCUUCAUGCAGCUCAACUCCUUUAUGAAGAGUUGUUUGCUUUCUGCAGAAGAGUAACAAAUUUCAAUGGCUGAAGCAAUUGUGUCUAUUGUUGUGGGAAGGCUCACUGAUUUGUUGAUUGAAAAAGCUCAUAUCCUUCAUGAAGUGAGAGAUGAAAUUGAAGUCGCCGUAGCUGGGCUCAUGCGGAUGAAAACAUUCUUACCAGAUGCUGAUUCAAGGAUCGAUGUAGAAAGAAUCCGGAUUUUGCUCCGCGAUGUACGAGAGCUUGCCUAUGAUGCUGAACAUGCUGUCGAAAGUUUUGUUAUCAAAGCCUCAUCUACUAAAAAAUCAUUUCAGUGGAUGAACAGAGGCAUGUUUUCAAGAAAGAUAAAAAAUAUACAAAAAAAGAUGUCCAUCUUCUUCGAUUUAUUUUCUGAUUAUAAUAUCAGACCAACUUCUGAAUCAUCAACUUCCUCCAACAGAGAAUCGGGAAAACUAAAGCGAUUUCACUCUUUCACUACUCCUGAACCAGAGAUAUUUGUUGGAUAUCAUAAAGACGUUGAACGCUUGGUGCGACGUUUGGUGAAUGAAGCUGAUGAUUCUUACCCACUUAUAUCUAUUUGUGGAAUGGGGGGUCUGGGAAAGACCACUCUCGCUCAAAAGAUAUACAAUCACUCUGCCAUCAAGACUCACUUUGCUGGUUUAGCAUGGGUAACAAUCUCGCAAAAGUGGCAAACAGAUCGUGUGUUGCAAAGAAUUCUCAUAUGUCUCGUCCCUGAGAACAAAGAGUCUAUCCUUAAUAUGGACACUGACAAGCUAGUGGAGUAUAUGCUACAAAUCCAGGAAAGGAAGAAAUGUUUGAUAGUUCUCGAUGAUAUAUGGUCACCUCAUGCUUGGGAUGCAUUAAAAGCUGCAUUUCCAGCCGGGAAGUCCAUGAGCAAAUUAAUGCUUACAAGCCGUAAUGCUGAGGUUGCUGAGCAUGUAAAUUUAAACGGAUUCAUUCACAAACCAAAAAUUUUAAGUCCGGAACAAAGUUGGGAGCUACUCAAGUUGAAAGCACUUCACACAGGAAACUAUCUAGGUUCAUAUACUUCUUUUGAUCAUAUACUGUUUUUUACCAUAUGUUUUGUCCGGGAACCUUAACCAACCAUAUUUUUUGUUACUUGAGUUCGAUAAGUUUGGUUAGAGAUCUGUCCAAAAAUCUUAAAGAACAUUGUUCUCUCAAACAUUUUGUUCGUGUUCGUUUGAAUUCGGCUCGUUUACAAAUCUAUGUAUAAGAAUUGUAAACGAAUCUAACGGUUCAUUAAGCGUGCUCUUGAGGUUGAGUUAGCAAACUCGAGUUCAAACCAAAUAUUUUAAACAUAUUAGUUAAACGACUAAAUUAUAAAUUAUCUUGGCUUGUCUGUGUGGGUCUAUAUAUAUACACACACAUAUGAUUCAUGUUUCUUGUGUGCUGCAGACAUUACCAGAGAUGUAAAAAGGAUGGAAGAACUGGGAAGGGAAAUGGUUGAACAUUGUGCCGGUCUUCCGCUAGCUAUAGUCAUUUUGGGUGGAAUUUUGGUAACAAAACCGUCGUUGAUAGAGUGGGAGAAGGUAUAUCGUGAUAGUAAAUCAUCCCUAAAGGCGGGGAAAGGACUGGGAGAAGCCUAUCAAAGGGGAAUAGUAAGUGUUUUAGUUUGGAGUUACAAUGAUUUACCCCCUCAGCUGAAGCCAUGCUUUAUGUAUUUAUCUAAGUUUGGUGAAGAUAAAUGGAUAGAAUCACAGACUUUGUAUCAGCUAUGGAUCGCUGAAGGAAUGGUACUCUCGAGUGACAAAAGAGAAGGAGAAACAAUGAUUCAAGUUGCCGAAUCAUACAUGGGAGAACUAGUCCACAGGAGUAUGGUUCAAGUAAGAUUUAACAACGUGGAAUCAUCUCUUACAAAGUUUGAAGAUUUUUCUCUGCACGACCUUAUGAGAGACAUGUCUUUAAUACAAGCAAAAGCAGAAGAUUUUAUUGAAGAUAUACAUUUCCAAAGUGGAAAUGAGCUUCAUCUCAAAUCUACUGCAGAUUCAAGGUCAGCUUCCACUCGACUUGUGAUUCAUUUGGAUGAGGAAUAUUCUAGCAAAAAAGCUAAUUACUACUUUUCUAAGAAAGGCAAUGAAAAAUGCUAUCGAUCAAUGUUAUUCUUUGGUGACUUUGGUCCGAGAAGUCUGCCACGGGCAUUAAUGGGGUCACAAGUUGCCAAUUUUAGGUUCCUAAAAGUGCUUUCUGUGGAGAAUUAUACCAAUUUUUCUGGUGUGUUUUAUCAUAUUAAUUUUGGAAGAGCAUUAGGGUCCCUUGUUUACUUGCGAUAUCUUAGUGUAAGAGGCAGUAAUUUGUUGGUUCUUCCAUCCGUACAAAGGUUGGUGCUGUUACAAACUCUUAAAUUAAAUACCCAUGAGGGUAUAUAUGUUUUACCAUGGUUGUCAAGAGAUGUUCUGGUGAAGCUGGAUUGUUUGCGGCAUCUGUUUUUGCCUAAAUUUAAAGUUGACGUUUUGAGAAGGAAAUCGAAAUUUCGGUUGAAUGGGUUGUGCAAGUUAGAGACACUGGAGAACUUUGACACAGCUUGGUGCGAGGUUAAUGAUCUACGUGAACUAAUCAAUCUUCGGAAACUAAGGCUAACAGUGGCAGGUAGCUGUGAUAUUCUGGAAGAAGUGAUGAAAAACUUGGGUGAUAUAGCCUCCUCACCAUCUUCAUGUUUGAGGUACUUGGGUGUUUGUAUUGCUUAUUGUGAUAUCGAGCUGAACAAUGGUCUUACUAUCUUGAAACAAUUGGUAUAUGGUGAAAAUUUGAAUCUUAGAGAAUUGAAAAUAUAUGGUCGUAUCCAAGAGGUGGGUCUAAUAUUUCCGCUGCAUGUAUCUACAUCAAUUUGUAUUACAAGAUUAGAUUUAUCGAGAUCAAACCUGGAAGAAGACCCAAUGCCAAUACUGGAAAUGCUGCCAAUGUUGGGUUUUCUCUAUAUGUUUACGAAUACAUUUAUGGGGAAGGAGAUGGUGUGCUCCGCAACCGGUUUUCCUAAACUGACCGAUCUUUAUUUGGACAGCUUCCCUAACCUUGAAAAAUGGAGGGUGGAGAAAGGAAGCAUGCCCAUUCUUUCAUGGUUGCUUAUUCAAAGAUGUAACAAUUUGGAGGAACUUCCACAAGGCCUGGUGUUCAUCAAGUCCCUUCAACUGCUACAAAUAAUCAAAAUGCCUCAAGAUUUCAAUGAUAGGCUUAUAAGAGAUGAUGGUGAAGAGGGACCCGAUUUUCACAAAAUUUCUCAUGUCCGUAGACUCAAUAUCGACGGUCAGGAAUACAAUUGAAUGUUCUUGUGUAAGUUUGUUAGUCAUAGAACUUUUUGUUUUGGUCCGGGAGAACAUAUUGCUUCAUAAGCAAAUGACCAAAAAAGUCUUGUCCAUAUUUUAAAAAGUUAAUAAAACUUUUAACUUUUUCAUUUUAAAUCAGUAAUUUAAUAUGAUUGAUUUAUUUUUAUCAAAAUUAAUACUUUAACUAUUGUUAAAUAAUUAAUAUAUGAAUUCAAGUGAAAUUAUAUUUUAUUUAGUAAUCAAUUUUAUAAACUAGUAUGCUAAUCUAAUUAUAACAGAGAAUCGGGAAAGCUAAAGCGAUUUCCUAAAAGUUGCCAAUUUUAGUUUCCUAAAAGUGUUUUCUGUGGAGAAUUACAGAAAUUUUUCUGGUGCGUUUUCUCUUAUUAAUUUUGGAAGAGCAUUAGGGGCCCUUGUUUACUUGCGAUAUCUCAGUGUAAGAGAGACUAAUUUGUUGGUUUUUCCAUUUCUAAGAAAGUUGGUGCUGCUGCAAACUCUUAAAUUGGAUAUUUUCAACGUGAACUAUGUUUUACCAUGGCUGUCAAGAGAUGUUCUGGUGAAGCUGGAUUGUUUGAGGCAUCUGUAUCUGCCUAAAUUUAAAGUUUACGUUUUGGGAUGGAAAUCGAAAUUUCGGUUUUAUGGGUUGAGCAAGUUAGAGACCCUGGAGAACUUUGAGACUACUUGGUGUGAGGCUAAGGAUCUACGUGAACUAAUCAAUCUAAGGAAACUAACGCUAACAGUGAGAGAUAGCUUUGAUAUUCUGGAAGUAGUGAUGAAAAACUUGGCUGAUCUGGCCUCCUCGCCAUCUUCAUGUCUGAGGUACUUGGGUGUCACUAUUAUUAAUUGUGGAAUCAUGCUGAACAAUGGUCUUACUAUCUUAAAACAAUUGGUACAUGCUGAAAAUUUGAACCUUCGGGAUUUGAAAAUAUAUGGGCGUAUCCCAGAGUUGGGUCUAAUAUUUCCGCUUCAAUAUGUAUCUACAAUUGGUAUUACAAGUUUAACUUUAGCGAGUUCAUGCCUGGAAGAAGACCCAAUGCCAAUACUGGAAAUGCUUCCAAUGUUGGGUGUUCUCCACAUGUUUGGGAGGAAUCCAUAUGUGGGGAAGGAGAUGGUGUGCUCCGCAACCGGUUUUCCUAAACUCACCGUUCUUUAUUUCGUCGGCUUGCCUAACCUUGAAAAAUGGAGGGUGGAGAAAGGAAGCAUGCCCAUGCUUUCAUAUUUGUGUAUUGGAAAAUGUAAGAAAUUGGAGGAGCUUCCACAAGGUCUGAUGUUCCUCAGUUCUCUUGUAGGAAUAUUCCUACAACAAAUGCCUCAAGAUUUCAAUUAUAGGAUCACAAGAGAGGAUGGCGGGGAAGGACCCGACUUUCACAAAAUUUCUCACGUCCCUAGAGUUAGUAUCAACAAUCAAAAUUAUGAUUCUAUGUUUUCCGUAUUCAUGUAAGGUUUUUUCGAUAUUAUGAAAAUCAGUUUUUUGUUUCCCAUACUUGUUAAGUUAUAAUUUACUUUUUAUUAAAACUAGCUUAUAACCCGUGCAGCGGUUAUAAUAUUUGUUAUUUUAUCAUAUAUAGUUUUAAUUUAAUUAAUUUUAUUGUAAAAAUAAAAUUAUGAUAGAAUAAUGUGGUUAAAUAAAUUUUUAUUUAACAGCUGAUAAAUUCUUAAUACGCUAGCGGUUAUAAUAUUUGUUAUUUUAUCAUAUAUAGUUUUAAUUUAAUUAAUUUUAUCGUAAAAAUAAAAUUAUGAUAGAAUAAUGUGGUUAAAUAAAUUAUUAUUUAACAGCUGAAUAAAUUCUUAAUACUUAAGUCCGUCAAAUGACUAAUUAAAAAUUAGGUCAAACAUAUAUUUUGAUGAGAAUGUUAAAUAUAUUUAUUUACAUGUUAUAAUUUAAGGAGAUCUAUAAACCCAUAUAUAAAUCAACCAAUCAACCUCAUAAUAUUUCGUUAGUAAUAAUUAAUAAUAUAGUAUAAAACAUAUUAUAAGUCAAAGAGACGCGUAAUCCCAAAUAUCGAUCCAUUACCUAAUUUUUAAUGUUUUGAUUCGAUAGAUAAUAAAAAAAUAUUAUAACAUAUUAUAAAUUAAUGAGGUCUGUGGGUUGAAUACCAACAGUCUCACCAAACUCGAUUGAUCGACCGACCAACUAACCAAUUGAACUUUUUAUUUUUCGGCUUUCGACUUUAACAGUAUAAUAAUAUAUAGUAUAGUAUAAAUUUAUAAUAUCACUUUUAAUGUGAGACCGUUAGAAUAUUUAAAAAUAAUGUUAAUUAAUUUCGGUUGAAAAAUAUCACCUGUUAUUUAUUAAUAAAUAUAUAUAAUAAUAUUAUGUUUUUAUACAUAUGUCGCUUGUGUUAAUUGUAGAAAAACGAUUUUUUAGUUAGAAAAAAAUAUUUAUCCUGAACUCUAAAUCUUUAAAAUUAAAAAAAAAACAUUUUUUUCAACGGAGAAGUUGUGUUUAGUUUCAAAUUGCAAAAAUACUUUCUUAAAAAUUUUAAAAAGAUUGUAUAUUAUCGAAAAAGAACUCUAAACAUGUGUUAUAUCCUUAAAUUCUAUACUCUCUGGCGCAGAAAAAUAAAUUAUAUUCGAAACAGAUUAUUAAUUUCAACUUAAAGUAGAGAGGUGUUUCGGUGAAGACCCCCGCUUAGUGCACAAUAAAAUAAAUAUACAGUUUGUGAUAUAAUAAGAAUAUAAUAUCUUAGCCAUGUCCUUCUUCACACAGGACUUACCUAAAUAGUUCCUAAUGCAUCUGUGAACUGAGGACUUACCUAAACAGUUCCUAUUAUCACGAAUGCAUCCAUGAACUGAGCUAAUCCUUCAAAACAUAAUGCAACGAACCUCGUAAUCUCUGUAAGCAACGAGACCUAGUCUCAAUUAUUCUAAUAAGUCGUCCCCAAUCAUUCUUAUCUAAUGUCAUAUCACCCGUCCCCAAUCAUUCUUAUCUAAUAUUAUAUCACCCGUGAGAUUCAAAGCUCUCAUGUCCAAACUUAAUUGAUUAGCCCAUGUCCGACGAGGCUGACUUCUCUUUCUCUAGUCAUUCAUUAUUCUUGAGGUGAACAACAGUUAAAAAAAUUCAGAGCCGAGGUAUUCUUACACAGCAAAAUAUCGAUUUAUGAUAAUGUUGGACAGCAGAAAAUGAAAAGGAAGUAAUAUUUCACUAACCAUAUGUGAUAUCCAAUCCCAACAUUGAAAAUUGCUCACUCGAGAGAGACUAUUUUAGUAUCUCAUUCAUUAUUCUCGAAAUGGACAAGUGUUAAAGGAAUCCCGGAGCCACAAAUAUAACAGCAUAACGACAGAAUAUUAAUUUAUGAUAGUACUGGACAGCAGAAAAUCGGAGGAAGUAAUUUUUCACUAGCCAAUAUGUGAUAUAUUUUCAUGCUGCCAACACAACAGAGUACAUUGUUGCCCUCAGGUUGCAACAAAACACAAAACUAGGACACUUCUAACCCUCGACUCCACCCAUUGUUCAAACUUUUUCUUUGUAAUAUUUCUCUUUAUAAUAGAACACUUCUGGUUUUUCUUUUCUUUAUAGUUAAACUACAAUAUAUACAGCGGUUAGGACUGGGAAACUGCUUUCUUCAAGACGCUGAAGGCAACGAGCAUAAGCAGUGAUAUCAUAAUCUUCUUUGAAGCAAGAAUCCGCAAGUUCACCUUCAUGCCAUGGUCUCUCAUGAGCUUCACUGUUGCCCUAAUUACUGAAAUAAGCCAGAAUACAACGGACAAGAACACCACUUUCAUUGUGUCUGCAGGUCCGUUCACACUUCUUGUGCCUCCCGACACCUCGAUGUAGGACUGUUUUUACCAAAAUUUGCGGGUUAAAAGCCAAGCCUAUUUAAUUUCUAUAACAAUGGAGUAUGUGUUUUUAUGUAUGAAUAUUUAGUAGAUCGUAUAGAUAAAUAUCGAAAAGAAAAUCAAAGGCAAGAACACAAACAAUUUUGGUGACGCGGAAAACCCCUUGUAAAAGGUUAAAAACCGCGGGUGGGAAUGUCCCAGCCAAAUAUCCACUAUAAUGAUGUAACAUCAGCUUACAAGUAUGAGAAAUACAUGAUACAAGUACAUAAAUACACAGACGUCGGCUUCAGAAGUAGUUCAUGUCCGUCAGCAAUAUGCACCCGUUGGCAGCAGGUUAACCUUGACGUUGCACCCGUCGGCAGAAUGAUUUCGGGGAGAUGAAGAUGUAGAGCUCCCUUGAUAGAAGAUGAAGAAGCUUAGCUAUCAUAUGUUAAUGUAUGUAUAUGUACGUGUACUGAUUUGUAUGAUCUUAAGCUUGGUUGAUGCUUUAUGAGUGAUAUGGGGUAGAAGAUGAAGUUGUGGGCAUGUAGAAGUGUGUAGAUGAUAUGUAUCAGUUAUGUACCUCUCUUUUUCAUGAGUAUUUAUACCCCCUCAACACUUAUGCACGUUCCUAGGUUGUUUCUCCACGUUCUCCACUUACUCCUAUAGUUUAGGGAUAAAGAAUAACCUCCUCCUAACUCUUAGGAUCGUUACAAGACUUAUUCUUCAUGCUGUUACGUUCAUGUCGAGUACCUUCACGUCAUGUCGAGUAUCUUCACGUCAUGUCUUAGCCAAGACGUCGAGCAUCAGCUUUGUGUGUAGCUUAAAUAUAUCUUUGGAGAAUGAUUAAUUAGCUUGUAAUUUGAUGAUAUAAUCACUCCCCUAACUCCCAUCAAGAUGUGGCUAUAUUGUAGGAUUAUGAUAAGGUAGUUAUUAUCCUUAUCUCCUAUUUUCCCUCCAUGUGCAUGUUGAGUUUCCUAAAUUAGUGUCACUUAUCCAUUCUCCAAUUUGAAUAAUCUCCUAAAAAGGUGGGUAGUUGAGACUUAGUCUCUUGCCCUAUCAGCCUGCACACGUCGUGUCGUCGGUACUUCAUGUCGUGUCAGUACACUUCCCGUCAUGGCCUGACGCCUGUAAAAUCUGGGUACAAACAAUAGCCCCUAAUUUUAUUGGGUGGAGGCAUGCAGCCAAUGAAAUUACUUCUUGUACACUCCGUUUUCCUCAAACCAUGGCAAAUAAGAACACCGAUGCUAUGUUAAAAUACUAACGAUUGCAACAUGUGAUCAUGUCAUGUCGAUUUGUCUUGUUCGCUAUUGUCUUGUAUCGAGUCUCUAUCUCGUUUUGUCGUUAUAAUGUUAUCUCGAGUUGUCAUCGUUGUCUAAAUGAUGAAAACAUCGACGAGUAGCUGCUUUGUUGUCGUCAGUUUCACGUUCUAAGAUGAGAACGCUUUGUAUUCGCUAUAUCGUAGUUACCUGUAGGCUUGGACACAAUUACAAUCAGUCCCGAAGUAUUAACAUGUCAAGUCGUGACGUCGCUUUGCGUCAUAUUCGUAAAGCCCCUUGUAGAUGUCUUCUGACAUGUGUAAGAUGUCGUAUAUAAUCUUAUCAUUGUUAGCUGCAUAUUCUCAGGUGUCCGUGACUUGAAAUUGGUUCAUGUGACCCCUUAAUUGGGAGUGAUUAUGACGUAAUGGAUAGGAGUACCAACACGUGAAGUGUUUUGUAGUAUGUCUUCCGUUCGUAAUAUAUAACUUGUAGACAUGAUGUGUAUCUCGUCAUCAUGACGUGAUAUGUAGAAAUCGUGCCACGUCAGACGUCAAUGCAAUCUGUCAUGACUCGUGUAAGUGAUGACAUGUAGAAAUGUGUAUUGUGAUUUAUGUGUCCGACCAAGGGUCGUGACUUGCGUGAUUUUGUGGAGUUUUCAUCGACAUGUAUGUUAAAUACGUCAAUGUAUUUUAACUUGUAAUAUCCGUAAUUGUAGUCGUUAAAUUUAUUUUUUAUAACGUUGGUGCACGUAGUAUAUGUAUUCGACAAAUAUAUAUAUAUUCAAUGAAUAUAUAAUUUUCAGACGUUGAUGCAUGUAGUAUAUGUAUUCGACAAAUAUUUAAUUUUCAAACGUUGAUGUAUUCGACAAAUAUGUUUAUUUUCAAACGUCGAUGCAUGCAUUCGUAGGCUAGUUAAAAGGCCUUUCCCUCUUGAAACUUAGCUCGUAAUUGUAAUUGUGAUUAUGUAAUGUUUAAAUACAUAAUAUUGAAAUGCGUCAUUAUUCGUGGCGUCGUAAGUUAUUUGUGUAAUGUGUAGUGUUGUCGUCACCAUCAUUCGAUAAUGAUCAACCGUAGUAGGAUAGGUGAUCAGCCCUCCUUGUCUAUUAAUAUGUAUCUAAAAUAUACUCAUGCAAUAUCAUGUCACAAUAAAUAUCAUGAUGAAGACGUCAACUUUAAGCAGUUAAACAUGGACAAUUUAGAAUAACUUGCAUAACGUAUUUCAACACACAUAUCUAUCAGGUAGAGUAGCAAGUCAUGUAAGAAACAAGCACAUGUGUCAUUAUGAUUAGAUCAUCAAUUAUUCAAGCAAACAUUCAUUGGAAGCAUGAAAUAUCAUUUAAAUAGCAUAAGCCCAAGUAAAGAUCGUAAUCAACUUAUUAUCAUAUUGCUAAAGACUAAGAGAAUAAAGAGGAUGAGUUCACUUACAUGUGAUAAAGUUCCAAAAGUAACAUGUUCGAGCCCCUGGGGACUUGUAGUUCGUAAUGUCUUGUUGAAUCAGGUUGAAGUCGUCGGACACUUCCAAAGGCGUCAAUGAUUCAUGUCCCGUCAUGAUGUUGAUUGUCAUGUCAGUUUACGGAUAUGUGCAUAAGUUGAUGAGGUUGUACCCCUUUCUGGGUAUAUGUCUUGUACCUCGUUCGCCUUGUCAUCAAGCUGACCUUAAUUAAGUUUUUUGGACUUGUCGAUAGUCCAUUUUUGAUUCUUUCUUCUAGUUUAUCUUUCGUGGUCAUGUCAUGUCUUUUUACUUCACAUCAUGUUGAACCAGUGAUGUCGAUACCCUUGUGGCGAUUUUAGGACAAGUCCCAAUCAUCUCCUGUUGAGAUAGUAGAUUUGGACUGAAAUCAGCCACAAAAUUAGCAAAAUAUGUGACUCGAUCGUUGUUUGUGACUCAUAGGUGAUAAUGUAUUCGACAUGAUCUGUCAUGUUUCUAAAGUUCAUGUCUAGCUGUCACGUCGAUCAUCAUGUCAAGACUUCAUGUCCAACUGUCACGUUGUUAUUUUUACACUGUCACCAUGUUUGCUAGUCAUUCUGGACACUCGACUUCAUGUAUGAUGUCCCUUUUGAUUUAGUUGUUUGCUUUUCGUGUGAUUAUCAUAAUGCUGUUUGAUUUCCAUUUGACAUGUAUGCGGUUUGAGUUGUCAUCAUUUAACUUGUGUAUGUUCAUGUCGAGGCUGCUACCCAUCGUCUCGUCGUGAUCCCAAGCGAAGGUGUUCAUUCUUUCUGUCAAAAAAUCAAUUAUGUCGGUCUCUCUCUUUGGUGUCACGUCAUGUCCUCUUGUGGUGUUGUUUUUUGUCGUUUAGAUGUCAUCCAUGUCUUGUUGGUCGUGUUGUGUCACGUGUGAUUUACUAGUUCCCGUCAGACGUGAUGAGAUUAGUGUAACUUGUUCAUGUCAAUCUAGUCGUACAUGUCAUGGUCGUUUGUGGUCACUUCAAUUCAACCAACCCGUCGGACAGCCCCAUGUUUGUAACCAGAAAUCUUCUCGCCAUGUCAACCAAAGUGAUGUGAUAUAGAAAAUCAGUGUAUCCAUGACGCCUAUCUCUUGUAGCCCCUUUUGAACCGAUUAAUAUGCGCGUCGACGUGAACUCCAUUGCCAUAGAAAUCAUGUAAGUGCUUCGCUAGUUUCCCACAGACGGCGCCAAUUGUUUUUACCAAAAUUUGCGGGUUAAAAGCCAAGCCUAUUUAAUUUCUAUAACAAUGGAGUAUGUGUUUUUAUGUAUGAAUAUUUAGUAGAUCGUAUAGAUAAAUAUCGAAAAGAAAAUCAAAGGCAAGAACACAAACAAUUUUGGUGACGCGGAAAACCCCUUGUAAAAGGUUAAAAACCGCGGGUGGGAAUGUCCCAGCCAAAUAUCCACUAUAAUGAUGUAACAUCAGCUUACAAGUAUGAGAAAUACAUGAUACAAGUACAUAAAUACGCAGACGUCGGCUUCAGAAGUAGUUCAUGUCCGUCAGCAAUAUGCACCCGUCGGCAGCAGGUUAACCUUGACGUUGCACCCGUCGGCAGAAUGAUUUCGGGGAGAUGAAGAUGUAGAGCUCCCUUGAUAGAAGAUGAAGAAGCUUAGCUAUCAUAUGUUAAUGUAUGUAUAUGUACGUGUACUGAUUUGUAUGAUCUUAAGCUUGGUUGAUGCUUUAUGAGUGAUAUGGGGUAGAAGAUGAAGUUGUGGGCAUGUAGAAGUGUGUAGAUGAUAUGUAUCAGUUAUGUACCUCUCUUUUUCAUGAGUAUUUAUACCCCCUCAACACUUAUGCACGUUCCUAGGUUGUUUCUCCACGUUCUCCACUUACUCCUAUAGUUUAGGGAUAAAGAAUAACCUCCUCCUAACUCUUAGGAUCGUUACAAGACUUAUUCUUCAUGCUGUUACGUUCAUGUCGAGUACCUUCACGUCAUGUCGAGUAUCUUCACGUCAUGUCUUAGCCAAGACGUCGAGCAUCAGCUUUGUGUGUAGCUUAAAUAUAUCUUUGGAGAAUGAUUAAUUAGCUUGUAAUUUGAUGAUAUAAUCACUCCCCUAACUCCCAUCAAGAUGUGGCUAUAUUGUAGGAUUAUGAUAAGGUAGUUAUUAUCCUUAUCUCCUAUUUUCCCUCCAUGUGCAUGUUGAGUUUCCUAAAUUAGUGUCACUUAUCCAUUCUCCAAUUUGAAUAAUCUCCUAAAAAGGUGGGUAGUUGAGACUUAGUCUCUUGCCCUAUCAGCCUGCACACGUCGUGUCGUCGGUACUUCAUGUCGUGUCAGUACACUUCCCGUCAUGUCCUGACGCCUGUAAAAUCUGGGUACAAACAAGGACCAAGCAGCGCCUUGAUUAUCGGUAGUUCCACUAUGAUUGAGGCCAAGUUUCUCGUUCAACCAACAUGAUAAAGUCACAAGCAGCUUUGCAAGCCAUGCAAUCUCAUCAUUGGAGACUGGUCGCUUCAACCAGUCACCCCUGUAUUUUGUACCAGUUUGCUUCUUGUUUCACAACAUUCUAGGACUAAAUAUCUCAUCACGUGGAUGCUGAUUUUCUCUUGUCUCAGGGACAGCAUGCGUGUUCCUUGAAGUAGAGUUACCAAAUAAGCAACCCAUCUGGGCUUUGAUAGAAUCUAAACAAGCCAUAUUGUGAGCAUGAUUAUCUCCCAAGACAGUCUGCAGCUCCGACUCAGCACGCAACACAAAGAGCUGCAAUAACAAUAUAACUAGUGAGUGAGACUUGAAAUUAGAAUGACACAAAUCCAUUCCUAGAAUUUAUAUAGUUCAUACAUAUAUAUUUAAGUACACUAUAUGCUAAAACUGUUGGAAUAAUCUUAAAUUUAAUUAUUAUUAAUAUUUGUUUAGUUAUAUAUUUUGAGGAUUAGUUUUAGAUUGAAGUAGUUGGAUGUUUGUUGUAGAGGUACAAGAAUUAAUACAAAUCAGUUUUAUAUUCUACACUUGGCAUUGGAGCCAGGUUCCGCCGCCAGGCGGUGGUGAAGCCGCCGCUAGUGGUGAAGGCGCAUAGUGAGUGUUUGACGAGAUAGUUUCAGGUAGGCGUUGCAGAAGGAUUGUGGCAAAGCUGCAUCUGCAUGUGUAGUAUGGGAUGCAUGUAUAGUAUGAGGCUGCCAAGAAAGACGAGGCGAUGCCUACUGAAGGCGGAAAAUAAGAUAGAGUGGAAGAAGGUCAUGCAGAACGAGAUGGAUCUUGCGUUUUUUAUCACGGAGUUGAGGGAGAACCUCUCCUUCAAAAUUAUGGGUGAUUAUAUGUACCUGGAGAGAAUUUUAGAAUUAUGGGUGAUUAUGUGUAUCUGGAGAAAAGUGCUCCAGUGAAUUUGGCGUUGAUGAGAAGUGCAUCAACAAAUUGGUGUUGAUGAGAAGUGCAUCGACAAAUCGGUGGUAGUGAGAAGUGCAUCACAUAUAGAGGUGGCAAUCGUUUUGUUUCGUAUACUUUCGUGUUUCGUGUACUCAAAGGUGAACCCGUAUCCGCCCGUUAUCAAUUUCGUGUACCAAAUUUGAAACCCGUAUCCGAUCCGAAACGUUUCGUGUAUUUUUCAUGUACUUUUCGUGUACAUUAUAUAUAAAAUUUUUAAUAUAUUUUUAAUCAAAAAAUAGCUUUAAUAUAUAUUUUUCUAUAUAAUUUACUAAAUAUGAAUGAUAUAUUUAUGCUCGCAUACAAUUAUCUACAAAUUUGUUAAUGUAUCUAUAAUAUGUAUCUACAUAUACAUAUACAUAUAUAUUUAUUUAACACAGUUAUAUAUAUAUAUAUAAUAUAUUAUACCAUAUAUAUAAUGAAAUCUAUGUAUAAAUAUUUCGUGUACUUUCGUGUACCCAAAAUGAAAACCCAUAUCCGACACGAAAUCUAUCGUGUAAUUUCGUGUUCGUGUACUUUCGUGUUUCGUGUAUCAAAAAUCAAAACUCAUAUCCAUUUUUUUCGUGUCGUUUCAUUUCGUGUUAGCGUGUUACGUGUCAAAUUGCCAGGCCUAAUCACAUAUGAAGAGAAGUGCUUCAUAAACUCUCUUAAGUAAAUUUAAGAUUAUGGGGUGAUUGUUGGAAUAAUCUUAGAGGGGUGUAUUGGAUUGAGAUUUUAAAGCCUUUUUUUGCAUUCAUGAAAUCCGAGGGUAUUGGAUUGGGAUUGUUUGAAAUCAAUUAAAAUCUUGAGGUAUUCAAUUGGUAUUUUAAAUUAUACUACAAAAUCCGGUGGUAUUCAAUUGGGAAUUAAAAUUAUGCUUUAAAAUCCGAUGGUAUUCAAUUGGGAUUGUUUAAAAUCCAUUAAAAUCUGAGGGCAUUCAAAUGUUGAUGGAUUUUUUUGCAUUUCAUAAAAUGAUGGAUUUUGUGGCAUUCUUCAGUGUAUUUUAAGUUUUUUGAAAUCCCACCAAAAUCAAUGGGAUUUUGAAGCAUAUUUGUGCUUAAAUCCUAUAAACUCUGCGACAUAUUAUCAAAAAUCCGCACAAAAUCAAAAUCCAUUAAAAUCCAUAAACUAAAAACAAUCCAUUAAAAUCCCAAUCGAAUACAUCCCUAUUAAUUUACUUAUUAUUAUUAUUUGUUUAGUUAUAUAUUUUGAGUAUUAGUUAGAUUGAAGUAGUUGGAAGUUUGUUGGAGUCCUAGAGAAUUUGUAAGAGGUAUUGAGUCUAUUUGAGUCUAUCAUGUUUUAGGAGAUUUAUUAGAAGUAGUAGAGUAUUUAUGAAAUCUCUUUUUUAGAGGUACAAGAAUUAAUACAAAUCAAUUUUAUAUUCUUACAAAAAGAAGAGAGGUGGAAAUAAACCUAUAGCAGCCGUUGUCCGCCAUCAUCACCAUCACUAAAUAACUGCAAAUCUUUGUUCCAAUUCUCAUGCAAGAAAGAGCCAUCAGCGUCAUUUUCACACAAUCCAUCCUCCCAGUCCUUGUAAAGCAAAAAAGAACAAGGGAUUUACAUAUAAACCUCUGAAAAAGAGUUGAAGAAUGCGCACGCGCACACACACAAAAGAGAUGUUGAACACUUUUAGCCGAGUCCAUGUAAUAUAGAUUCCCCAUACGUAAGCUUACCAGAUGUAUCCCCAUGAGCAACCAUAAAUUAAAAGAAGCUCAAAGAAAAUAAUUAGCUUUUUGUUGUGGUUCAUUCAGAUGUAUCCAUCAAGCAUUUUCCAGGACCACUGAAGCAAUCUAUGCAAAACCAUGGUUGAACAUCACUAACUACACAAGUAGCCUUCCUCUUGUGUUCUGCUUAUCCAGGUAAAAAAGAAAAGACUACAUGUCUUUUUUUGCUAGCAUGUCUUAAAAUGUACUAUUAUAUAAUUUUCUUAGUUUUUUAAUAAUUUCACCCAUCUAUAAAAGUAUAAACAGAGGACAAGAACAUAUAUCACACCUUUUGUGCUUCUUUACACCUCAACAGAGAACCAAGCAGGGCCUUGAUUAUCGGUGGUUCCACUACGAUUCAGGCCAAGUUUCUCAUGAUAAAGUCAAGGAGCUUUGCUGCUUUGCAAGCCAUUCCAUCUCCUUAGCGGAGACCGGCCACUAUUGUCCGGGCAUGUGUGGGUGAACUUAAUUUGAAAUAUAAUCAUUUAUUUUGACAACAAUUUCACAUUCACAUACUAUUAAAUAAUAUUAAGUGUUUAGAGGACAUUUAGCAGAAAAUACACAUUUACAUACUUUCUCUUCCAGAUAUAAGUAAUUUAUUUCAAAAUACAAAAUAAGUUAAACGCCCAAGAUGUUUGAAUCAGUGAAUUACGCAAAUAUUUAAGAAUGAGAAAUCAUGGAGUAUGUUAUAAUACUCAAGUGCUUGUUACAUUCAACAUUUUACGGGAAAAAAGUAAAUUAAAUAUUUGCAAGAGAAUUAAUAGCAAAAAACGGAGCAAAUGUGUUCCAAAUUUUAAUUUUAAUAAAGCAAGUAAUGCUAUUGUAUUAGUUCUGGAAACAAAACGUAAUUUUCUCAUGAUGCAGACGCAGCAAACCGAUGAUUCCAAGUGUCUGUUAGCAGAAGGGGAGAGUGAAGAAGAAUAGAGAGUAUAAAGUCAUUUGGUUUGCUAUGAGGAGGUCAUUCAGGAAGCGGAACCAAGAGCGGUGAUGUUUGCAGAAACACAAGAGAAAGACUUCAAAUGGCAUCUUGAAAAGGAAUGAGAGCAGGCAAUUGCAGCAAACACAGCAACGACAACAAAAGUAAUCAAGGAAGAUGAGUAGGAUAGUCUUGUGAAACUGAGCUCCUGAAUUUCUGUUCUGCUUAGGAUUUUCGACAUAAUAAAGGUAUGAAUAGUAAUUACAAAAUUGAAAUAAUUGAACCAUAAUAUCAAACACAGAAGGGAAAAAAAUGGUUUUAAUAUGAACACUAAUCGGCUCAAUCAAUUUGAUUACUAAAUUGACUAAGUGCUGCUUUAAACGGGUGCCCAAGACAAUAGUGAUGAAAAAGAUUAAAGUCAAUAAUUAGUGACGAAAAAGAUAUAAAGAACUUGCUUGGCCAGUACUUAAAGUCCUGGACAUUAUAAUCAUGUGGUGUAAUCACAUGGUUUAAUGAAUUAUUGUUGAAUUUGCAACCAAAGAAUCAUGAAAAUGGUUAAAGACUGUCUCAGAGUCAUAUACAGUGGCUCCAUUAUAGUUUAAUUAAUAUACUUUGGCAAAGGGCAAUACUGGACAGCAAUAGAGAAUAUAAAGUGAUCACUCCUCACUUCCCUAUUCUUUGACUGACCUCCAAAUUACACUUUGUUAUACAAAUUUGUCCACUAAUUUCACAAUGAUCGUAUCAGGAACGAGUUCAAGUAUAUCAGAAGUAUAUUCUAGGUCUAAGCAAAAAUGUUUUAACACAAGUUUGUUCAAUUAACAGUCAUAAGCUGUAAGAUCAAUAAUAGGCUGAAUGCAAAUGCUAUUUAACAAAAACGUUACCAACAUCGCAUUGCAACAACAAAUAACACCGAUAAAAGACCGAAAACAAAUACAAUCCACCAAAAUAAGACCAGCUUCGCAUUGCAAGGUCAUGGAAUUUGAACUUAAGAUUCUAUAUGUUAUGUUUUAAGUCUGAACUCAAGUUUUGCCUAUAUCAGAUCAUAUUCCAAACUCAACUAAUGUGGGAGACUUGUGUAAUGAGUGCAACUGACCUUUUGCAACAAACAAGCACAUCAGUUCAAACUCUCCGACUAGCGUUUUCUUUUUAAAAUAAAAAGAAAACAGCAAUAGUUAUAAUCUCUCCAUUAAAGAUGACAAGUUCUGCAACUUUCGAAAUUAUUUAAUAACAUCACAUAGAAAAUCUACUCACUUCCCUAUUCUUCGACCGACUUCCCCAUGUGCCACAGAACCCAUAGCACAAGUACCGGAUCAUAUUAUUUUUAGCUUGUCCAGAUUUGGGUCCGGGAUCGUUUUAUUCGGAUCUAAACCGAUCCCGGGUAUUUGGGAUUCGGAUCUGAACCGGAUAUGAUCCAAUAUCGUAUUUUCUAUUUUUUAACCGGGUAGUUUAUGAUCCAUCGAAUAUGAGCCGGAUAUGAUCCACUUACACUAAGUAUCAUUAUUAUUUCAGUUGUUCAAAUAACUAUCAUUAGUCUAAGUAAACAUAAUAUUAUAAAGUAUAAUAAUUUUAAAUUAAAGCUUAUGGUUAUAUAUUGAUAUAUAUCAUUUAUUAAAUAUAUAUGAAGAUAAUAAGUAUGAUCACAUUAAAUAAAUCAUAUUUUAUGAAGAUAUAAACUUAAAUAAGAUAUUAAAAUUUUAUAAAAUGAUAACUAUUUACUUGCAAAUAUGAUGGUGUUAAAAUAUAAUAUGUAUAUGAGUUUGAAUCGAAUAUGAACCGCGGAUCAUAUUCGGUUAUUCGGGUAGGAUAAUAUUAUGAAAAGUUAUAUGAGCCCGAAUCUGAGCGGGUAUAGGUGUGCUCGUAUCCGGGAUCAUAUAUUAUACGGGCUUAAUUUUUCCGCCAGAUUUGGAUCGUUUUCAAAACGAAUAUGAGACAUGUAUCAUAUUUUCGAGCCGGAUAUGAGCCGAGACACCGGAUAGUCCGUAUCGAUUUACAGCCCUAGCAACAUCAUAAACAAAUGCAACUGUACAGUAACAUGGAGAAUCCAAUGUGCUGAAGACACCAAUACAUUUGAGCCUUAUCAAAUUUAUUACUCCCUCAUCCCAUUUUUAACUGUACUUUAUAUAGACUUGUUUGGUUUCUGCUGAAAAAAAAGUUGAACGAAUUAAUAUGGCUGAAGCAAUUGUGUCGAUUGUUAUGGGAAGGCUCGCUGAUUUAUUGAUUGAAAAACCUCAAAUCCUUAAUGAAGUGAGCGAUGAAAUUCAACUAGCUGUGACCGAGCUCAUGCGGAUAAAGACAUUCUUACCAGAUGCUGAUUCAAGGAUGGAUGUAGAAAGAAUCCGGAUUUUGCUCCGGGAUGUACGAGAGCUUGCCUAUGAUGCUGAACAUGCUGUCGAAACUUUUGUUAUUAAAGCCUCAUCGACUAAAAAACCAUUUCAGUGGAUGAACAGAGGCAAGUUUUCAAGGAAGAUGAAAGAUAUACAAAAAAAGAUGUCCAUCUUCUUCGAUUUGUUUUCUGAUUAUAAUAUCAGACCAACUUCUGAAUCAUCAACUUCCUCCAACAGAGAAUCGGGAAAACUAAAGCGAUUUCACUCUUUCACUACUCCUGAACCAGAGAUAUUUGUUGGAUUUCAUGACGACGUUGAAUGCUUGGUGCGACAUUUGGUGAAUGAAUCUGAUGAUUCUUACCCACUUAUAUCUAUUUGUGGAAUGGGGGGUCUGGGAAAGACCACUCUAGCUCAAAAGAUAUACAAUCACUCCGCCAUCAAGACUCACUUUGCUGGUUUAGCAUGGGUAUCAAUCUCGCGAAAGUGGCAAACAGAUCGGGUGUUGCAGAGAAUUCUUAUAUGUCUCGUCCCUGAGAACAAAAACUCUAUCCUUAAUAUGGAGACUGACAAGCUAGUGGAGUAUAUGCUACAAAUCCAGGAAAGGAAAAAAUGCUUGAUAGUCCUCGAUGACAUAUGGUCAACACAUGAUUGGAAUGCAUUAAAAGCUGCAUUUCCAGCCGGGAAGUCCAUAAGCAGAUUAAUGCUUACAAGCCGUAAUGCUGAGGUUGCUGACUAUGUGAAUUUAAACGGAUACAUUCACAAGCCAAAAUGUCUAAGUCCAGAACAAAGUUGGGAGCUACUCAAGUUAAAAGCACUUCACACAGGAAAUUGUCUAGGUACAUAAUUUUGGUUGUGUUAAUUAUAUUUCAUAUGCUUUUUCUUUACCAUAUCUUUUGUUUGACAACCUUAACUAACUGUAUUUUUUGUUACCUAAGUUCCAUAAAUUUGGGAAGAAAUCUGUCCAGCAACCUAAAAGAACAUUGUUCUGUUCCAUAACAUAUCGUUCAUGUUCGUUUACAAACCUAUGUAUUAGAAUUGUAAACGAAUCUAACAGUUCAUUAAGUGCCCUCUUGAGGUUUGAGUUAACGAACUUGAGUUCGAACCACAUAUUUUGUUUAAUAACCUUAACAAACAUUAUGGGGUUCAGUAAUUUUAGCUCGUGUUAACUUCAAGUUUAUCCGAGUUAAGUUCGUCGAUGGCUCUAACUUGAAUGUGUCUUUUAAACAUUUGCACUAGUUAAAGAAUUAGAAAUUAUCUUGGCUUGUGUGUAUACACACAGACACACAUAUGAAUCCCGUUUGUUGUGUGUUGCAGACAUUACCAGAGAUGUAAAGAGGAUGGAAGAACUGGGAAGGGAAAUGGUUGAACAUUGUGCCGGUCUUCCGCUAGCUAUAGUCGUCUUGGGUGGAAUUCUUGUAACAAAACCAUCGUUGAUAGAGUGGGAGAAGGUAUAUCGUGAUAGUAAAUCAUCCCUGAAGGCGGGGAAAGGACUGGGAGAAGCCUAUCAAAGGGAAAUAUUAAGUUUUUUAAUAUGGAGCUACAAUGAUUUACCGCCUCAGCUGAAGCCAUGCUUUCUAUAUUUAUCUAAGUUUAGUGAAGAUGAAUCGAUAGACAUAGAGACUUUGUAUCAGCUAUGGAUCGCAGAAGGAAUGAUACUCUCGAGUGACAAAAGGGAAGGAGAAACAAUGAUACAAGUGGCUGAAUCAUACAUGGGAGAACUAGUCCACAGGAAUAUGGUUCAAGUGAGAUUUAACGAUGUAGAAUCAUCGCUUACAAAGUUUGAAUCUUGUUCUCUGCACGAUCUUAUGAGAGACAUGUCUUUAAUACAAGCAAAAGCAGAAGAUUUUUUUGAAGUAAUACAUUUCCAAAGUGGAAAUGAGUUUCAUCUCAAAUCUACUACAGAGUCAAGGUCAGCUUCCACUCGAGUUGUGAUUCGUUUGGAUGAGGAAUAUUCUAGCAAAGAAGCUAAUUACUACUUUACCAAGAAACGCAAUCAAAAAUGCUAUCGAUCAAUUUUACUCCUCUGUGAGUUUGGGGCGAGAAGUCUGCCACGGGCCCUGGGGUUACAUUUUGCCAAUUUUAGGUUCCUAAAAGUCUUUUCUGUGGAGAAUUAUACCAAUUUUUCUGGUGCAUUUUCUCAUUUUAAUGUUGGAAGAGCAUUAGGGUCCCUUGUUUACUUGCGAUAUCUUAGUGUAAGGGGCAGUAAUUUGUCGGUUUUUCCAUCUCUACAAAAGUUGGUGCUAUUACAAACUCUAAAAUUGGAUAUAUCCGACAAGAUAUAUGUUUUACCAUGGCUGUCAAGAGAUGUUCUGGUGAAGAUGGAUUGUUUGCGGCAUCUGUAUUUGCCGAAAUUUAAAGUUGACGUUUUGGGAAGGAAAUCGAAAUUACGGUUUAAUGGGUUGAGCAAGUUAGAGACCCUGGAGAACUUUGACACUAGUUGGUGUGAGGUUAAGGAUCUACGUGAGCUAAUCAAUCUUCGGAAACUAACGGUAACAGUGAGGGGUAGCUGUGAUAUUCUGGAAGAAAUGAUGAAAAACUUGGAUGAUGUAGCCUCCUCAGCAUCUUCAUGUCUGAGGUUCUUGGGUGUCACUAUUGUUUAUUGUGAUAUUGAGCUGAACAAUGAUCUUACGAUCUUAAAACAAUUGGUAUAUGCCGAAAAUUUGAACCUUCGGGAAUUGAAAAUAUAUGGGUGUAUCCCAGAGGUGGGUCUAAUAUUUCCGCUGCAUGUAUCCACAAUUUGUAUUACAACUUUAAAUUUAGGGGAAUCAUACCUGGAAGAAGACCCAAUGCCAAUAUUAGAAAUGCUUCCAGUGUUGAGUGUUCUCCGAAUGUAUAGGGAUACAUAUGUGGGGAAGGAGAUGGUGUGCUCCGCAACCGGUUUUCCUAAACUCACCGUUCUUAUUUUGCACGAGUUCACAAACCUUGAAAAAUGGAGGGUGGAGGAAGGAAGCAUGCCCAUCCUUUCAUACUUGAUUAUUGCAAGUUGUAACAAGUUGGAGGAGUUUCCCGGAGGCCUUGUGUUCCUCAAGUCCCUUCAAAUAAGUCAAAUGCCUCAAGAUUUCAAUGAUAGGCUUAAAAGGCAAGAUGGUGAAGAAGGACCCGACUUUCACAAAAUUUCUCAUGUCGGUAGACUCAUUAUUGAUGAUCAGGGCUACAUUUGAAUGUUCUUGUAAGUUAGGUAUAAAGUAUUGUUUUGGUCGUGAAGAACAUAUUGCUUGAGAACUUAUUUGAUCAUUUGCUUCUCAUUAAUAUUAUAUGAUCAAUUUAUUUUCCAUUAAAAUUAAUACUUUUACUGUUGAAAAUAAUUUUAAUUAAUAAGCAAAAAUUUAAAACAUAAAUUACAAAAUUAUACUUUAUAAAAAUAUUAAAGGGUUUGCCGAUUCACGUCCCCAACAUAUAUUAUUCAGGACGAUGGAGAGCGUAAUAAUUAAAUAAGUUCAAUAACCGGAUUUUGGACUAUAUAUUUUAGUAUCUUAAUGUUCGGUUAUUUUAUGAUGGUUAUUAAUAUGAGUAAAGAUUUGUAUAAAUUUAUAUUUAAAAAUUUAUGCAACAUGAAGUUAAAUAAAUUAUUUUAAUAAAUAAAUAUAGAUCAUCAUCAUCAUCAUGAUUAUUUUUUAUAUUUUUGGAACAAUUAUAAUAGUAGGAUUCUUAAACAAUUAUUUAAAAAUUAAACAUUUUAUGUUGAACUCUUAUCCUUUAAAAUAAAAAAAAAAUCACUACUUUUUUCAACGAAAAAAAUGUAUGUGUUGAAUUACAUUUGGUUGCAAACUCAAUCUUUUUUCUUAAGAAUUUUACAAAGAAAGUAAAUCACCUAAAAGGACUUUAAACAUAUGACAAAAAAGACUCUAAACAUGUGUUUAGAGUUUUAUUCAGAACAAACUAUUAGUUUCCAAUUACGAUCAUCAGUGAUCAGACUACUUAAAAGAACUACUCUUUUCAGACUAUUGCAAUUACGAUCAUCAUACUACUGAAAGAACUGCUACUUUAGAAAAAGGCUCAGCAUCCUCAGGUUCAUGUUCACACCAUAUUCUUUUGUGAACUAGGGGCACAAUUUUCAUCAUUUUCUUUGUCUUACAAGCCAUGCAAUCUAGUCAUUUGAAAUUGAUCACUUUAAAGACCAUCCUUGUGUCUCGUUCAUUUUUCUUGAGGUGAACAAGAGUUAAACAAAUUCGGAAGCGAUAAAUAUAACAGUCUUCUAACAGAAAAUCGAUUUAUGAUAAUUUUAGACUGCAGAAAAAGAGAGGAAAUAAUAUUUCACUGACCAAUAUGUAAUAUGUUUUCAUGCGAUUGCGGCCAACACAACAGAGCACAUUGUUUCCCACAUGUUGCAACAAAACACCAAAACUAGGAGACUUCUAACUCUUGACUCCACCCAUUGUUCAAACUUUUUCUUUGUGAUCUUCUCUUUUUUAUAAUAAAACACUUUUGGUUUUUUUUUUUUCUUUAUGGUUAAACUACAAUAUAUACAGCGUUUAGGACUGGGAAACUGCUUUCUUCAAGACGCUGAAGGCAACGAGCAUAAGCAGUGAUAUCAUAAUCUUCUUUGAAGCAAGAAUCCGCAAGUUCACCUUCAUGCCAUGGUCUCUCAUGAGCUUCACCGUUGCCCUAAUUACUGAAAUAAGCCAGAAUACAACGGACAAGAACACCAAUUUCAUUGUGUCUGCAGGUCCAUUCACAGUUCUUGUGCCUCCCGACACCUCGACAUAGGACCAAGCAGCGCCUUGAUUAUCGGUGGUUCCACUAUGAUUGAGGCCAAGUUUCUUGUUCAACCAACAUGAUAAAGUCACAAGCAGCUUUGCAAGCCAUGCAAUCUCAUCAUUGGAGACUGGUCGCUUCAACCAGUCACCCCUGUAUUUCAUACCGGUUUGCUUCUUGUUGCGUAUCACUCUAGGACUAAAUAUCUCAUCACGUGGAUGCUGAUUUUCUCUCGUCUCGGGGACUGCUUGUGUGUUCCUUGGAGUAGAGUUACCAAAUAAGCACCCCAUCUGGGCUUUGAUAGAAUCUAAACAAGCCAUAUUCUGAGCAUGAUUAUCUCCCAAGACAGUCUGCAGCUCCGACUCAGCACGCAACACAAAGAGCUGCAAUAACAAUGUGACUAGUGAGUGAGACUUGACAUUUAGAAUGACACCAUUUCAGUUCCUAGAAUUUAUAUGGUUCAUACAGAUAUAUUUAAGUACACUAUAUGCUAAAAGAAGAGAGGGGGAAAUAAACCUGUAGCAGCUGUUGUCUGCCAUCAUCACCAUCACUAAAUAACUGCAAAUCCUUGUUCCAAUUCUCGUGCAAGAAAGAGCCAUCAGCAUCAUUUUCACACAAUCCAUCCUCCCAGUCCUUGUAACGCAAAAAAGAACAAGGGAUUUACAUAUAAACAUCUGAAAAAGAGUUGAAGAAUGCGCUCGCGCACACAAAAGAGAUGCAGUUAGGUCUUCAUACCUGCAGUUGUUCUCUGAUUGAUGGAACAAAUCUGUACAAGUUGUUGUGUAUGGGUUUGGAUGACCCAGAAGGCUUAGAAUGGAAGACAGUGUCCACAUUGUUUAUAAGAUUCAUCAGCUCACUGGACGAUGUCAAUAUGCUUAAGACCUGCACAAGAAAUACAAGAAACAUAUACAAAAUAAGUAAACGGAAACUAUAACGAAUUGAUCCUGGGAUAAAAAUAUAUACUAAUUAUAAAAGAAAAUUUCCCCACUGUUACCCUGACUCUUCAUUUUGCCUCAAGUACCGGUGUCGGACACUCAACACUUGAACAUCGGACACUCAACACUUGAACAUAGGUACAGACACUACAGAACUUAUUUUAGGCCAAAAACAUGUAAAUUUUCAGAAUACUACCGAGACACACUCGGACAGGUAACCAUGUUGGACACUUUUAGCUGACUCCAGGUAAUAUAGAUUCUUCAUAUGUAAGCUUACCAGAAGUAUCCCAUCAGCGCCCAUAAAUGAAAAGAAGCCGAAAGAAACUAUAAAAGAGGAAUAUAGCAGAUUAUUAUUAAUUAGUAGCCUUGCAUAAGUUUCCUCUAUAAUUCAACACAAGUAGCUUUCUGUUGUCGUUCAUUCAGAUGUAUCCAUCGAGCAUUUGCCAGGACUGCUGAAGCAAUUUAGGCUUUUAUCUAUAGUCUAUGCAUGCAAAACUAUGGUUGACCGUCACUAACUACAGACCAAUUUAAUUUAUUUUUUAUUUAUCCUCUUAUGUUCUGCUUAUCCAGGUAAAAAAAAAAAAUUGAUUUGGUCAAAAAUAUACACAACACAACUAUAUAUGGAGAAACUUGUGAGCAAAUCCUAAAAAAUGCAUAACCAAGGAACUAUAGAACAAAUAGUUGAUCAACACAAAGCAUUGCCAGGAACUAGAAUAUCCACUUGAAGAAGACUGUACUUCCUUUUUAGUACCAUUGCUCGACACCUCAGCAUUUACAUCUAGACCAGAAAAAUCUUCAAAGCUAAUGUUCCAAGGUUCUAUAUAAUUAAUCCCAAGCCAAAACACCUGAGAUCUGGGAAGUACUGGACGCAAAUACGGGGAGUCCGGAAAAUGAGUAUUUGGCAUGGGAAUACCAAAAAUAUAAAAAAUAUUUAAAUUAUACUCCAUUUCACACUCUUAUUUCUUAGCACUCACACACAUUUUAAAGGUGCGUAUCCUUUAUUCUAUACAUCCACCACAAUAUGCAGUUAACCAAUAAGAAAAUAAAUGGAUCUGGAUAUGGAUUUGACUAAAUUCGAUACAAAUCCGACCCGCUGACAAGCCUGCUUGGAAACACAUCAAAUUAUUUAUAUUCUAAUCAUAAACUCAUAAAAGGAGAAAAACAAAAAAAAAAUAUGAUUUAAAAAGGUCAGAGUCAAAGCAGUGGACUGUAUACAGACAUAUGUGCAACACAUAUAUACAGAUCUGGACCAGAGAAGAGAUAACAAAACAAGCAGCAGAUUGAACUCAGAGAAGAGAUAACAGUCGGAAAGCGAAGUCACAAGGAGAGCUAACUGGGUAUGUAUCUUUGUAAUAUAAGCUCUGUUUUUUGUUUUAAUGAAUUAUUGCAGAAGAUUGAUGACUUAUUGUUGAACUUUGCAACCAAAGAACCAUGAAAAUGAUUCAAGACUGUCUCAGAGUCAUAUAGAAUAGUUUAAUUAAUAUACAGCAAAGGGGAAUAGUGAUCAGCAAUAUAGAAUCUAAUGUGCUCAUGACACCAAUACAUUUUUACUACUUUAUUACUCUCUCGAUCCCAUUUUUAACUACUUGUUUGGUUCCUGGAGAAGAAUAGGUUAAACAAAUUUAUAUGGCUGAAGCAAUUGUGUCGAUUGUUGUGGGAAGGCUCGCUGAUUUGUUGGUUGAAAAACCCCAAACCCUCUAUGAAGUGAGAGAUGAAAUUCAACUAGCGAUCACCGAGCUCACGCGGAUAAAGACAUUCUUACCAGAUGCUGACGCAAGGAUUGAUGUAGAAAGAAUCCGGAUUUUGCUCCGGGAUGUACGAGAGCUUGCCUAUGAUGUCGAAACUUUUGUUAUUAAAGCCUCAUCCACUAAAAAACCAUUUCAGCGGAUGAACAGAGUCAAGUUUUCAAGAAAGAUGAAAAAUAUACAGAAAAAGAUGUCCCUCCUCUUCAAUUUAUUUUCUGAUUAUAAUAUCAUACCAACUUCUGAAUCAACUUCCUCAAACAGAGAAUCGGGAAAACUUAAGCGAUUUCACUCUUUCACUACUCCUGAACCAGAGUUAUUUGUUGGAUUUCAUGAAGACGUUGAAUGCUUGGUGCGACAUUUGGUGGAUGAAACUCAUGAUUCUUACCCACUUAUAUCUAUUUGUGGAAUGGGGGGCCUGGGAAAGACUACUCUCGCUCAAAAGAUAUACAAUCACUCUGCCAUCAAGACUCACUUUGCUGGUUUAGCAUGGGUAUCAAUUUCGCGAAAGUGGCAGACAGAUCGUGUGUUGCAGAGAAUUCUCAUAUGUCUCGUACCUGAGAACAAAGAAUCUAUCCUUAAUAUGGACAGCGACAAGCUAGUGGAGUAUAUGCUACAUAUUAAGGAACGGAAAAAAUGCUUGAUAGUCCUCGAUGACAUAUGGUCAACUGAUGUUUGGGAUGCAUUAAAAGCUGCAUUCCCAGCCGGGAAGUCCAUAAGCAAAUUAAUGCUUACAAGCCGUAAUGUUGAGGUUGCUAAGCAUGUAAAUUUGAACGGAUUCAUUCACAAGCCAGAAUGUCUAAAUCCAGAACAAAGUUGGGAGCUACUCAAGUUGAAAGCACUUCACACAGGAAAUUGUCUAGGUACAUAAUUUUACUUGCGUUAAUUAUGGUUCAUAUACUUUUUCCGCACCAUAUCUUUGGUACGACGGCCUUAAUGAGCCAUAUUUUCUGUUACUUGAGUUGGAUAAGUUUGGUUAGAGAUCUGCCCAGACAACCUUAAAUAACAUUGUUCUGUUCAAGUAACAUUUUUUUCGUGUUUGUUUGAAUUCGUUAGUCGUUUACAAACGUAUGUAUUAGAAUUGUAAAUGAAUGUAACAGUUCAUUAAGUGCCCUCUUGAGGUUGAGUUAACGAACUCGAAUUCAAACCACAUAUUUUGUUUGAGAACCUUAACAAACUUUAUGGGGUUCAGUAAUUUUUGCUGGUGCUGACUCGAAGUUUAUCCGAGUUAAGUUCAUUUAGGGCUACAACUUGAACGUGUCUUUUAAAUAUUUGCACAAGUCAAAUGACUAAAUUAGAAAUUAUCUUGGCUUGCGUUUGUGUGUCUAUAUAUACACACAUAUGAUUCCCGUUUCUUGUGUGUUGCAGACAUUUACNUUUGGGAUGCAUUAAAAGCUGCAUUCCCAGCCGGGAAGUCCAUAAGCAAAUUAAUGCUUACAAGCCGUAAUGUUGAGGUUGCUAAGCAUGUAAAUUUGAACGGAUUCAUUCACAAGCCAGAAUGUCUAAAUCCAGAACAAAGUUGGGAGCUACUCAAGUUGAAAGCACUUCACACAGGAAAUUGUCUAGGUACAUAAUUUUACUUGCGUUAAUUAUGGUUCAUAUACUUUUUCCGCACCAUAUCUUUGGUACGACGGCCUUAAUGAGCCAUAUUUUCUGUUACUUGAGUUGGAUAAGUUUGGUUAGAGAUCUGCCCAGACAACCUUAAAUAACAUUGUUCUGUUCAAGUAACAUUUUUUUCGUGUUUGUUUGAAUUCGUUAGUCGUUUACAAACGUAUGUAUUAGAAUUGUAAAUGAAUGUAACAGUUCAUUAAGUGCCCUCUUGAGGUUGAGUUAACGAACUCGAAUUCAAACCACAUAUUUUGUUUGAGAACCUUAACAAACUUUAUGGGGUUCAGUAAUUUUUGCUGGUGCUGACUCGAAGUUUAUCCGAGUUAAGUUCAUUUAGGGCUACAACUUGAACGUGUCUUUUAAAUAUUUGCACAAGUCAAAUGACUAAAUUAGAAAUUAUCUUGGCUUGCGUUUGUGUGUCUAUAUAUACACACAUAUGAUUCCCGUUUCUUGUGUGUUGCAGACAUUUACAAAGUGGACAUGAGUUUCAUCUCAAAUCUACUUCAGAUUCAAGGCCAGCUUACACUCGACUCGUGAUUCAUUUGGAUGAGGAAUAUUCUAGCAAAAAAGCUAAUUACUACUUCUCUAAGAAAGGCAAUGAAAAAUGCUAUCGAUCAGUGUUAUUCUUUGGUGUCUUCGGUCCGAGAAGUUUGCCACGGGCAUUGGGGUCACAUGUUGCCAAUUUUAGGUUCCUAAAAGUGUUUUCUGUAGAAAAAUACACAAAUUUUUCUGGUACGUUUUCUCAUAUUAACUUUGGAAGAGCAUUAGGGUCCCUUGUUUACCUGCGAUAUCUUAGUGUAAGGGGCAGUAAUUUGUUGGUUUUUCCAUCUAUGCAAAAGUUGGUGUUGUUACAAACUCUUAACUUAGAUACAUUCGAGGGUAUGUAUGUUUUACCAUGGCUGUCAAGAGAUGUUCUGGUGAAACUGGAUUGUUUGCGGCAUCUGUAUUUGCCGAUAUUUAAAGUUAACGUUUUGGGAAGGAAAUCAAAAUUUCGGUUUAAUGGGUUGAGCAAGUUAGAGACCCUGGAGAACUUUGACAGUAGUUGGUGUGAGAUUAAGGAUCUACGUGAACUAAUCAAUCUUCGAAAACUAACGGUAACAGUGAGAGGUAGCUGUAAUAUUCUGGAAGAAAUGAUGAAAAACUUGGUUGAAAUAGCCUCCUCACCAUCUUUUCGUUUGAGGUACUUGGGUGUUUGUAUUCUUAAUUGUCAUCUUCGGCUGAAAAACGGUCUUACUAUCUUGAAACAAUUGGUGUGUGCUGAAAAAUUGAACCUUCGACAUUUGAGAAUACAUGGGCGUAUCCCAGAGGUGGGUCUAAUAUUUCCAGUGCGAUAUGUUGGGGAUAAUUAUGCACAUGUAUCUACAAUUCAUAUUACAAGUUUAAAUUUAUCGAGAUCAUACUUGGAAGAGGACCCGAUGCCAAUACUUGAAAUGCUUCCAAUGUUGGGUGAUCUCUUUAUGUUUACAGAUACAUUUGUGGGGAGGAAGAUGAUGUGCUCCGCAACCGGUUUUCCUAAACUCACCAAUCUUUGUUUGUACGAGUUCCCCAAUCUUGAAAAAUGGAGGGUGGAGAAAGGAAGUAUGCCUAUCCUUUCAUACUUGCUUAUUGAAAGUUGUAACAAGUUGAAGGAGCUUCCAAAAGGCCUGGUGUUCCUCAACUCCCUUCAAGUAUUAAGAAUAUACCAAAUGCCUCAAGAUUUCAAUGAUAGGCUUACAAGGAAUGAUGGUGACGAGGGACCUGACUUUCACAAAAUAUCUCAUGUCCGUAGAGUCCGUAUAGAUAAUGAUCAGGAAUACAACUGAACGUUCUUGUAAGUUCCUAAGUUGUAACGUUUUUGUUUUGGUCUUGAAGAACAGAUUGUUUGAGAAACAAAUCAGAGAUAUUAUUAUAAUAUAUAGUAAUAAUUUUUUGAUGAGAAAAAAGGAGGUGAGAUCAACCUUAUUUAAACUGAUUGCUUCCUAAGGUUAAAUGACACACAUGCAUAUGUUCGUUAGGUAUCGUGUAAUCUCUCUAUUUUUAUUAAAAAAUACCUCUAUUUACCUGAUAAUAUCUUCACUCCAUCUACAUACAUCAAAAGUAAUUCAUUUUUUUUGUCUUAUGUUGAUUCUGGGCCUUGGAAUGGAAUAGCAAACACACGCAGAUGAGUAUAAUUCAAAGUAAUCUUCUUGUGAAUGUAGUUUAUAAUUCACUUUAAUUUUUUUAGGAAAUGAGUAAUAAUAUUGAAGAUUGUCAAAUUCUGGAAGAUUCGCCAUCUGAGGAUUCAUUGUCUACCAAUUUACAGGAUACCUACACUGCUGAAUUGGAUAUAGAGGAUGGUACACGAGCAUUUUUCAUGUCUCAUGAAGAUAUGUUAUUUCAAUCACAAGAAGAAGCAUAUAAUUUUUAUAACAGCUUUGGUUUGACUAAAGGAUGUGCAAUAGGUAAAUUUUAUAUAUACAAGUCUUAUGGUGAGAAGAACUCUUGUAUCUGAUAGAGAAGGUUUCAAAAACAAAAUAAGAGGAUGAUAGUGAGGACAACAUAAAACGACGUCGAGAAACUAGAUGUGGUUGCAAAGGUUCAAUGGAAAUUAUCCUAAAGAAAUUAGGGACAUGGAAAAUGAAAAAAAAAUUAAUAAUAUCCAUUCACAUGACUUGCUCAAGAGUCCGAAUAAGAAAAGAAAAUUAAGGUCUCAGAACAAGUUUCAUUAAGAUGCAACUUAUAAGAAAUUGAUUGAUAAAUUUAGUAGUUGCGGAGUUGGGCCAACAAAAAUAUCAGGCAUUAUAAAUACUGCUAGUGGUAGUGUUACAGAUGUCAUGACACCCCAACAAUAUUCUGAAGAGUUAAGAAUUAAGAGAAGAUAUUCAGAAUCAAGAGAAAAAAUAACAUCGGCAAGGAGUGUAUAAUUAAUGUAGUGCGGAUUAUUUUUAGAGAGGAAAGCAAGAUAUUCUGAAUUUUAGUAUGCCAUUCAACUUGACGAACAUGGCUGUAGAAGUAUUUUCUGGUGUUAUGCCAGAGCGAGAAAAAUUUUAUAAGAAAAUUUCUGAUGUGAUAGUAUUAAUCGGGACUAAUACAAUUUAUUGUAGGAAUGGAGUCUUCUCAAAGAAGUGAAAGUACGAAUUCGUUUUUUGAUGGUUAUGUCAAUAGCAAUACUCCUUUGUCUAUAUAUAUUGACCCGUAUGAAAAAGAAAUUACUGGCCAUCGUGAUAGAAAAGAGAUAGCAGAAUUGGAUAUCAAUGACAACUAACCCUGAUUUGACAAAUAUGCAUAGCUUGGAAGCUCAUGCUGGAAAAGUUUAUUCUCGAAAUAUAUUCAAAUUAUUUUAGAACGAAUUUAUGCAGAUUUUGCAUUGCCAGCAUAACAAAAAAGUAGCUGCAGGUGUCUAGAUGGUGUAAGAUGUAACUUUCAACGAUCAUAAUAGGCCACACAUCUGUUAAGGUUUGCAAGUGUUCGUGCUAAAUUUGAGACAUGGGGUAUUGUAUGCAAACACAUAUUGUAUAUAAUGAAAUAAAAAUUAAGAUUAAAGAUCAUACCUGUUGAAUAUAUUUUGUCAAGAUGGACCUUAAAAGGCAUACAAUUAGUUCAACGGUCAGUGUGAACAAUGAUGGUGCACCUGGUUUGAAUAUAGAUUGUAACACGCGUAGGUAACAUCUCUUGAAUCUUUGACAUUGUGAGGUGAUUUUAACAAACUUCAUGGAAAGAUAAUUACUCGUAGAGAUCUCUAUGAAGUAAUGGAAAGGGAAAUAAAGAUGUGGUGGAAAGACAUUGACAUGAUUGAAAGUAAAUAAGUGCCACCACCGCCAGUGUCCGUAAAUGUAGAUGAUUUUUCAGAGGCAAAUAUAUAUAGCGGAUAAAAGUCCUUAAGAGAUCAUGUUAAAGUUCAUCAUCAGCGAUCCUACCAGAUGCAAGACGAAACGUAGACCGCGUAAUUCAUCCAAAAUCCCUACCGGAAUGUAGCAAUUUCAAGAUUUGAAGUAGAAAAGAGUUUGUGGAAAUUGUGGUCGGAAUGGGCACUACAAGAGUACAUGUAAAAGUAGUAAAUAAUGAAUUUUUUUAAAAAUACUAUGUUGCCUUGUUUUUAAACUCAGCAGUUCUUCUCAACUUUUAUUUGGUUUCAGAUUUUUAUUAAAAUUAAGUUCAAAAAAAAUUCCAACUAAUUUAGUCUAUAUUAAUUUUAUGAAAUUCCUGUCAAUUUUUACCAGUAUGUUAGCCAAUAUAUUCCUGGUUAUAAGUGGCAGCGGUGCUUAUAGUCCAGGCACAUUUAUUGUUGCACGAUUCCUGAAUGCUAAUAUGGAGUUAGCCAGAAAUUUUCUUGUUUUAUGCAAAUCCAGAAAUUUGCUCUCUACUUUUAUUCAGUUUAUGAAAUGGACAGUUUAUAAGCUCCGAAAGGUAUAUCUAGUGAUUUUGUCCGCAAGUUCUCGACCACUUGCAGACCGUCAAUAUCAAUACCAGGCCACAUUUAUUAUUUUCACACUAACUUUUAAGUUGUGGAGGGUCGAGAAAUCAAAAUGCAUGUAAUCAGGAUAAGCCAACAAGGAUGCUGUCAACUGUUUUGUUGCAGGACCAGACUCACAACUAUUUGUCGGUGUUAACUGGCCACACUGGACCAGUCAAGUGUAUUCCAUUUCAAGGGUCUUCUGCUCACCAGUGUAGUGUUUAUGAUAUGAAAGUAGACCUGCAAGCAUAAAAGCAAGCAAAUGCCAGCCUUCCUAGCAAAUAAUAACUUACAUGUUUGCAAUGAGUGUUUCCUAACUUUGUGACUGCAUAGUGACUAAGAAAAAAUCAAAGAAAUCAGUUGAUUACAGGUUCUGUUUCACUGGAGUCCAUAAUUAAGCAUAGCUGGGUAAUCUGAGGCAUUAAUCACCAUCCCCUGAAAUGCAUUUUCUUACUGCUCUGUUGGUAAUUUUUAUUUUAGUAGCAUUGAAUACUCGGAUUCCUGAUGAUUAUGUUUGCUAAUCCUACUACUAUUGUAUAAUGUUAAUGGACCUAGAGCAUCUGCAAUGAGAUUUUUAAACAAGUUCUUAACUCUAAAUUUAUAGAGUAAGUUAAGAAUUAUUGCUCCAAUGAGCUCCAAGAAGCUCUUUAAAAAUUUAAGAGCCUACUAUCUCCUCACUUUUAAAGAGCAUCCAGUAGCUCUUAUCUUUUUAUUUGUGAAUAUAAUAUUAAUUUCCCUCCAAUCUUCUCUCUCUUUUAAUUAAGUUUUCUCUCUCAUUUAUACAAAAUAAAUAUAAAAUAUGAAUAAAGAGCUACGUAUAAACAGUAGCAUUAAAGUAAUCAUGUUUUUCAAUGUAUUAAGUCACUAGGGGCCAUAAUUUAUAUUAUUGUUUAAGAAAUGAUUUAGUAGCACCAUUGGAGAUGUUCUUACUCCUUGUGAACAUAGAAUAAAUUAUUUUUUUUGUGCCAAUUCAGUUACGUAAAGAUUUGUCAGAAACAUUUUGUUACUCCACACUAUAAAUUGUCGUGGACGAAUUUUGACCCAUGACAAGUUUUCUCUUCAUAACAUUAUCACUUGGAAAGGUCCUUCAGCAAAUGACAGGAUGUCACCAAUUGCCAAAUUCAUUGCAAUUGCGAACUAUUAAAUUUUUGUUAAUUCAUGUUGGAGUGCAUGAACUGCUAUAGCUUUAAUAUACAUGAUUUCCCGACCUGAACUGCUAUGAGUGUUUCCUAGAUUUGAUGGUGAUCAAUAUGUUCAUGGACGGGGCAUCGCCAUCUCAGAGGAGAAGCGGAAGAGGAUGCGACAAGAAGAUUUAUGUGUGUAUUGUAUACUCCCUCCGUCUCAUUCAUUUGUAUACAGUUUCUUUUUUUUGACGUCCCACCAAUUGUAUAUAUUCCAAAAAUAGUAAACUUUUAUAAUAUAAAACACCAUUACACCAACUAUUUUCCUCCACUAUCUCCAUUCUAUAACAAUAUAAACACUAUUACACACAUUACUUUCCUCCACUAUCUCAAAUCUAUUAUUAAAUAUAAAUGGGUCCCACCACUAUACCUACUUUUCAUCUAACUUUACUAUUUUUUACAUUUUUUCUUGGUCUUCGUAUCCCAACCAAAUGUAUACAAAUGGUUGGGACGGAGGGAACUAGAGCACACGUGAUAGUCAUCAAUCCAGUCAUUUUAAUUUGUUCCCAAAGCUUGGGUGGUGUGGAUGUUAAUAUCGUCUGAGAACCAUUCAUGUUUGAGCAAAGAGUUGCGUGUUAAUAUCGUCUGAGAACCAUUCGUGUUUGAGCAAAGAGUCAUUUGAGUAAAUAUGAAAGAUCUCCCCUGUAGAUGUAGAAACCAUUGAAGUUAUAUAAAACUCAAGCAAAUCACAAAUGCACACACAGGUGAGACAAGCUCGUUUUAUUAAUCCGAUAAAUUGCUGCUUACAAAAUGAAAGAAACACACUCUGAUAAACUCAAGUUCAGAGUGUUGGAAAAAAAGUCCUACUUAAACAACUAGCUAAGAUGGUAAGGAUAAACAAGAACUGCUGCCUAUGGUUAAUCCACUCCUACAUGCACUCAUGAAAAACAGCUACUGCUAUGGCCUAAUCUUGUGUGCACACUGAUCACAUAGCAACUUAUUUAAAUUAACUAAAUUAAAUAAAAGCAACUGAAGUAUAUCAGAAUUUAGAUCAAACUCCAACAAGCUCCCCUAAUCUAAACUCGAUUGCAGGUUCUUCACACCCAAUAGCUCACACAUUCCCUCAAACUUAGCCCUUGACAAUGCCUUGGUCAAUACAUCAGCUCUCUGUUCAUUUGUGUUGACAUGUACUUUGAGUAUAAUUUCACCACAUUCUACACAUUCCCAUAUAAAGUGGUAGCGAAUAUCUAUGUGUUUACUCCUUCAUGAAACACUGGAUUCUUUGCCAAAUCUAUUGCCCACUUGUUAUCAAUAUACAGCACCACAGGACCAGCCUUUAUAUUCGUCAUCCGUCUGAGAAGUUUAUAAAGCCAUAUGCCUUGACACGCAGCUGCGUUGUUUUUGACAUUGCCAUACCUCUAGUAGACCUCUUGUCAUCCACAUUUCCAACUAGGUCGCUGUUUGAAUAUCCUGAGAGCAAGUAGUUUCCAUCCCGUUUAGAAUAAACCAACCCAUAAUCAAGAGUUCCAUUCACAUAACGUAAAAUUCGUUUUGCUGCAGCUAGGUGCAUGACUAUGGGUCUCUCCAUGAACCUGCUUACAAUGCCAACUGAAUAAGCUAUAUCAGGUCUUGUAAAUACAAGAUACCUGAGUCCUCCAACCAUACUUUUAAGGCUUAAUGACCUUUUAGCCCUCGAAGUAUGAAUGGAAGUUCCGAUGCGGUCUUGAAGUUUAAAAACGUACCUUUCGACCCUCAAAGUAUUUUUGUCGUACCUUUUAGCCCUUUUUAAAAAUACCGGCAUAAAUCAGGGGAUAACUUGAAAAAUAGGCAAGAGCAUAACCCAUCAGCACACCAAGAAUUCCUACUAAUUCUCAUUUUAAGCCGACCCUUGAACAUAUAUAAACCAUGUAGGCAAGUAUUCCUUAAUUAAAGAAUGAAUAAAACUUUCUCCAUCUGUUAUCUAAACUAUUGAAGCCACCAGCGAAGUUGCAACCUUGACAUGUGCCAUUGCUGCAGCAAAAGAAACCUGAUUAUAUCGCAUUCCGUAUUUUACUUUUUUCAGCUUCUCUAGUUAUUCUGUAGGCAAUCCCUUAGUUGCAAUUUCGCUAACAGUAUCCAGCAGCUGGGUAACUAUUUCUUUUGAGAUAAAUAUAACAUUCCCGACAGAUCGGUGGACACGUAGGUAAAGUAUUCCAUUCAUUAUUGUUUUUCCAUGUCAGACAUACCAAUCAUUGCCAUCUGUCAGCAAGGUGGAUGUUGUUGAGGUUAAAUUUUUCAACUUAACGUUUGCUGUUAGAUUUUUCUAAAAAAGUUAAUAGAAUGAUAUAUAAUAUAACAGUAUUUUAGUGGGUUAUAUGAGUCGCCGUGGAGAUCGGGUAGCUACUUGAUAUAUUUUGCUGAGUUCGAUGGGCAAUCUGAUAUAAAACCCAAAACCAAACCAAAUUAAUACUAAAUUUGAUAUUUGAUAUAAUAUAUGAUUUUGGUUCAUAAACCCGUCCAAAUCCAUAUUAAUCAACUAAAAUUGGUCCAAAACAUGAGAGGUCUACUUACUCUCUUGACACAAUUGGUAUAUGAUGAAAAUUUGAACCUUCGGGAAUUGAAAAUAUAUGGGCAUAUCACAGAGGUGGAUCUAAUAUUUCCGCUGCAAUAUGUUGGGGAUAGUAAUGCUCAUGUAUCUAAAGUUCGUAUUACAAGAUUACAUUUAUCGAUUUCAUACCUGGAAGAAGACCCAAUGCCAAUACAAUACUGGAAAUGCUUCCAAUGUUGGGUGUUCUCUGUUUGUUUACCGAUACAUAUAUGGGGAAGGAGAUGGUGUGCUCUGCAACCGGUUUUCCUAAACUCACCCACCUUUUUCUGGACAGCUUACCGAAUCUUGAAAAAUGGAGGGUGGAGAAAGGAAGCAUGCCCAUCCUUUCAUACUUGCGUAUUCAAAGAUGUAACAAGUUGGAGGAGCUUCCAGAAGGCCUGGUGUUCCUCAAGUCUAGGGGUGUGCACGGGUCGGUUCGGCUCGGUUUCUACCUAAAACCGUUACCGAACCGUGUAUUUCGGUUCGGUUCGGUUUUUGGGUAGAAACCGUAACCGAACUGUUUCAAACGGUUUUUUUCGGUUCGGUUAACCGUGGUCGGUUGCGGUUUUUUUCCGGUUUUUAUAUGAUUAGAAACUACUAUACAAAUUUAAUACUUUUAUUAAUUUUAGAAAAAUAUUUAUAUACUUAUUAUAUCAAUUUUUCUUACUAGAAUAUAUAAUUAAUAUAUUGUAGCACAUAUAUAUAUAUAUAUAUAUAGGGAUAUGAUCAAAUAAAAACUUUUUUAAGUUACAAACUUACAAACUUUUUUUUAUUCUCCCAUCGUGUUAAUCCUUAGUUAUAUAAAGUAUCUAUGUUGAAAAUUCUUCAAAAAAAAUCACAAUUUUUAAAAAUAACGCAUAAAUAAAUCGCGUUUUCAACACAUUUAUAACUGGGGUUCAACAUCGGGUGUUGAACACUAAUUAUCAUUGUGUUGAAUAUAUCUAAAAAGAUGUUUAAACUAUACCUCUGGGGUUUGGGUAGGGUCUAGAAACAUAAAUAUUAGUUAUAUAACAUGUUUACCUUAGUUCUUACAUUUAAAAAUUGGUUUACGUACUUCUCCACCACUAUUUUAAUCGAUGUUCAACAAAAUAUGUUAAAAAAAUGUUGAACUCAAGUUAUAUAUGUGUUGAACAAAAAAAGUUUGUAAGUUUGUAAGUUUGUACCAGAACCCUCCCCUAUAUAUAUAUAUAUAUAUAUAUAUAUAUAGAGGAAAGUUAUUUGGAGUACCAUAAUUUAUUGGAGUCUUGGAGUCCACAUCCAGGCCAUCCAUUCUUUUUUGAUCCAAAGGCUGCUAUUAAGACUCAUUUCUUUUAUAAAAAUAUAUAAUUUAAUAUAGCAUUUAUACAUACAGGCGUGCUAUUUCAGAUAACUGCAACUACUUAAAUCAAGCAGUUACAACAAAUUGAGAGUUUUCAGGAGUACAACACGCAAACAUGUCCUGCAACAUCUGUAUCUUACACUUCGCCCACUGAUUAGUAACUUCGUUAAUAUCUUUCUUUGUUUUCACAUUUCUUUGUUUAAACUUUUCUACGAAAUGCUUAUAAUAUCACUCUGUAUGAUGUUUUAACUUGUACAGUAUCAUACAAAGGAUGAUCUUACUAUUCUGUGUAAUUAAGGAGCAUACGAUUUACGAAGGGACACAUGUAUACUCAGCUAUAAUAUUGUAGUAGAGCUUUCCAUUCCUUUUACACUACACCAAUUUUAACUUCAUAAGGAUUUGGAACUAAUUAAUGUUGGGUUGCUUAUAACAUACCAAAAAUCUAAAGCAGGAUUUUACAAAACUUCAUCAAAAAGAAAAUUGCAAACAUAUUUUCACUAAUUAGCUUCAAUGCAAUAACCUCAUUCACAUUGUCACCAACCCAAAAGUUCCGAAAUAAAAACAACCAUUCAAACCGGUCCCAACAUAUAACGUAUCAAAUGUUCUAAAAAACCCAAUUAAGUAGUAGUGAUAACAAGACUGUUUACAUAAAUCUGCUACAUUUCACACAACUUCUUCCUGCUCAACCGCACCAUCUUAUUCAGCACAAAGUACUUUUUUUUGUUCUCCGACCAUGUGAGCAUACGACUUGCAUAUAAAAAUAAACUUUUUCUGGAUGUAUCCCUCAUACGUCCUAAUCUUCUUCACCUUGUCUACCUUGGUUGGUGUCCCUCGAACUACCACAUGACCCCUGCUAGCACUACUUUGAACACCGCGUCUGCGUGUCUGGUACCACAAUAAAUAAAUUAGAAUAUUAUCAGGACUGCUGCACAAAUGCCAUAUACAAAAUUAAUAUUCUUACAUUUAGCACAUUAAUAUUACCUUUGUAAUUUUUUUCACUACAGAACCUACCCUCGAUCGGUCAGGUGUUCUAUCGGGUACAAUUUCUCCCUUAUCACUGGUGCCCUGCAGAUUACAAUUAACAACACAACUACAGUAUAAAUAAACUACAUAAGGCGUCAACAAAAGUACAUUACAAACAACAUAACUAACAACUCGCAAACAACAUUUCGCAUAUGCACAACUAUGGCAACAAGAAGAAAGUUUCUAUGGAAACAAAUAUAUAUUACAAUAGUGUGACAAAUAUAGGUGUAAAGUUUUAUUGAAUUGUGAGGUCCAUGGGGAUUGUUCUUUUAGUGUGAGCUGUGUUUUUUUUAUUUAGGUGAUGUGAAUAUGCAGUACUAUGGCAACUUGCUCUUGUAAAGAGAAGUCGCAAGCUGUAACAUUUUCACCAUACUGGGUUUUUUUUAAUUAUUAAUUAUGUUUUUCUUACAUUUUUGCUGCUUGCAGAAUAUCUUCUUUUUGCUGAUGUAAUAUGUCAAAAAAAUAAUUGCCAACAGGUAAGCAUAAUGUUUGUGACUCUGGACAAAGUUGCUCCGGCAGAUCCCAAAUAUGCUAAUAUAUUCAUUCUAGAGAAGUACACUGCAUUUCAGAAUAGUACUGUUAUCUGCUUCAGUUUUAUGUUUAUAUUCUUUUGUUUCAUAGUUUUCUGGGCAGUUGCCUUUAUAAUUUACAGUAUAGUAUAAUUCAAAUAAAUUCACUUUAAUAUGCUGACAAGAUCUAAUUGAAUGUAGUCUAUAUGAUCUAGCUAAUGUGGUGCCAACUUUAGCGAAAUUUUAUCACCAAGCAAGUGAAUCUUAUGAACAAGACAUAUCAGUGUGAUCAUAUAAUAUUUAAGAAAUCUUGUUCUGCAUCGUUCUUCCUUAAAAGAAUCUACCUAAGUUGCAUGUGAUAUAAAUGGUUGUAUUCUGCACUUCUUUUGAUUGAGGACUUAAUGUACACGAUUACACCAGAAGAGGUUAGUCUCUGGACUUCCUUUUGAGCACAAAAAUUAUUGGCGUGAUAUCCAUAUACGUGGUACUUCUCAUUUUACUUGUAAUGUCAUUGUAUAUAUAUCAACAUACCCGUUGUAAAUUCAUCUCAUUAGUGCGACGCACGCUCUAUAGGACUGAAAACACUAGUAAGGCUAUAAAAAUAAAUACAAUUACAGUUUAUGCUUCACUCCUAAUAUAACACAUUUGAAACAUGUAUCUUUGAACACCUACAUGCAACUUCCUAGGGGAAACACGACAAAGGCUCUAAAACUGCAUAGUUUAAUGUUUUCAUUCUGUAGGCAAUCCCCAUGAAUACACACAUAAAUACACAUAUAUAUUGCAGUACAGAAUUACAAAAUUUCAAACCUCAAUAAUGCAGAACAAAAAAACUAUUAGUUCUCUCCAUUAUUGACAUUACCUCUGAAAUUUUAGAUGCCGUGGAGCCUACUCUCGGCUUGUCAUUCUUAGAAACUGCAGCAACAUCCCGUCCAUCACUUUUGGCCUGCAAGUUGUAUACGUCGCCACAUACAAAUAACAACAAAAUCAAUGUCCUCCAUUGUUGACCAUAAUACAUUCAUAGGUCACAUUCGGGGAAAGUGAUAACUAUCGUGUGCUGCAACAUAACUUACCCCGCUUCGUACAUGUUUCGUACUAGAACCCGUGCGAACCCCAUAUCCAGCAGAGAAUAUUUGCAGAACAAACACAAUGGUUCCAUUGAUUAUUUAACAUACAAAAAAACCCAUUCCCCCCCUACGAAACCAAAAAAAACCUAUUGCAUUACAAGCACUUCCCAAAUAGCAUAGGACAUUUUAAAAGACUCAAAAAAGUUUAAUAUCAUAGCAGUGUCAAGUGCAGAACAAAGAAAGACUUUCACUCAGCAGCUUCGCAACAUAAGGGACAUAUGCAGGACACGUAUUCAGCAAUUAGAAAGCCUCAUCUUCAAAGUCCCAAAUUCAGUCAAUGUCUUUGCAACAUCAAAUGCAAAACAAACAGAUGGUUCCAUUGAUUAUGUAGCACAAAAAAUAAACCCAUUUGGCCCCUACUAAACAAAAAUAAAACUUUUGCAGUACAAGCACUCCCCAAUUAGCAUAGGACAUUUUUAAAGACCCAAAAAAGUUUAAUAUAAUAUCAAUUUCAAGUGCAGAACAAACAAAGAGUUUCAUUAUUUACACAGCAAAAAAAUAAUUUUCAAAGAGGCACAACGAGAACUGAAGAUAAUAUGCAGGAGUACCCAUCGACCAAAGCCACCGUAAAAAUCAAAUACCGUCAACCCACUCACCAAUUAUGCGACAUACAAUUCAAUUAAAGCACAUAGAAAUAAAUUGUUGGUCGUGCCUAAGAUCAUCGUUGCAUACAACUGCAGCCUCGCCUCAAAAGAUUUAUUGAGAUUGAAGAGUCCCGCACCGCUGGAGAGUGUGGGGAAUACCUGAACUCAUAAUGCAACAGCCUAGAAUCGUCCUGCAGACAACUACUGAGCCGGUGAAUUAAGUCUGUAGAGUCCCGCACCUAGGGUUGAUCACAGCGAAAUUCAAACCCUGUUGAUAAUGGACGUAGUUUGGAGCGGAAAAUGCGGGAUAUGGCUAUAAUUUGGAGUUUAAAAUUGAUUAAAACUGAUCCUGCAGCAUUUUAAUUCAUUAAAUCUCAACCAUAGGAUCUUCUUAAAAUUUAACGGUAGAUCUUAGGGACUCCAAUUUCUCAAUUAAUAUAGUACCCCAUAGAUCUCAACUCUAUAUAUAUAUAUAUAUAUAUAUAUAUAAUAUGUUAUAUAUAAUAAUAUAUAAUAAAUGUUAUAAUUUUAUUAUAUAUUAUAUAAACGGUUCGGUUUUUCGGUUCGGUUUUAGGGGUAAAACCGUAACCGUUACCAAACCGUUAUAUCAGUUCGGUUACGGUUUUUGUCGGUUACAGUUUUUUUCGGUUUGGUUUUUCGGCUCGAUUUCGGUUUUUCGGUUUUUUUCGCUCACCCCCUGCUCAAGUCCCUUCAAGUAUUAAGAAUACACCAAAUGCCUCAAGAUUUCAAUUAUAGGAUUAAAAGGGAUGAUGGUGAAGAGGGACUCGACUUUCACAAAAUUUCUCAUGUCCAUAGACUCAUUAUCGACGAUCAGGAAUACAAUCGAAUGUUCCCUCUUUUUUUUCUGCUAAAUCAGAUGUUUGUAAGUAAUAAUUAGAGGUAAGAUUAUUAUGUGUGACUUACCUGCAAUCUGUUAUAUUAUUAUUGUGUUUUUACAACUUUUUGAUGCCUGUACUUUCUUUUUCUGUUGUUUCCGUGCAGCAUUUCAAGCUCUUGCUUGCUUCGACAGAUCCUGAACAUCAAAACUGCAUUUAAUUGGAAAACUGGUAGAAUUGGGUCAUCUAAACUCCUGUUUCCUAUUACUAGCAGUCUAGCACAGGGGUGUGGAAGCAAAAAAGAGGGUUUGGGUCUGUAUGCAUGUGUCAUGUUAAAUGAGAAAACCCAGGAGGGAGGACUGAGCUUUUUUCCUCCGGAUUUACAAACUGAAACUGAUAGAUCACAGAUUCACAAUACCGGGUAGGAUCCACCCUUUAUUUUGAAUUGCAUGGUAUCGAUUCUCAAAAUGUUAUGACAUCCCUGAUAUCUCCAUUUGCGGAUGGAAGAUGAUCUCUCACUUAUUGAACUGUGUAUUAAGCAGUACAAAGUUCCUCCUGAGCGCAGAAUUUUGUUGUUAACCAGAAUUAGAUAUGCCCAUUCCUUGCGGUCAUCUAGAAUAUGCAAGUUGUUAACCUGAUAUCUCCAUUUGCGGAUGGAAGAUGAUCUCUCACUUCUUGCCUUUGGUAUGCAAGAACUAGUGUCACUCUUGCUAAUGAGCCUGAAUACACAAAUGAAUUAAUCAGGAUUGUGAAAUCCGAAGAUACAAUCUCUACGAAUAUUAGAACACUGGCAAUGCAUGCCUUGGCAUCUCAGUUAGCUGUAUAUUCAUCAUCUCAUGAAAGGGCAGCUAUUUUGAGCAGAUCAAGCAUUAGUUUUACUGGGGGUAAUCGCAUGACUCUCCUAGCCAUUCCACAGGGAGCUAUUUUAUCACUGAAUAGCUCUAAUGACCCAUCAUCAAUUGCUUUUUGUUGAAGCUCUACUACAUUUUUUUCUGAUUCAUCUCACAUCUAUGUCAAGUUCACAUAGCGUUACUCGUGGGGCAGCACUACACAAUUCCUUGUUGAAAUAGGGGACUCUAAGCUUAAGUGUGCCCUCAGAAAAAGUCGUUAGGAGUACUUCAAUGGAGAAUGCACCUGGUAUGCUUGAAAGCUAAAGUUUAUAAUCUAUUAUGUCUUAUUCUUUAUUACAAUUAAUAAAUCAUCUAUUCUCUAUGCUGAAUUUCUUAUUUCAGUUAAUAUUUAAUAUGCAAGUAGGAUGAAUUAUUGUUGAUGGAAGGUGAUGCAAAAAUGAUGUAUGCCGGGUCCUUUUAUAAUUGUUUAGUAAUUUACCGUAGAAGUCCACGAGCUAAUGAGUUGUUAAACUUUGUUUUUACAUGCUCAUCGUUUAGUAUACAAUGAUUGUCAUUUAUUUGGGAAUUGAAUAGUGAAUUAAUAUUUAUAUUCCCAAAUGGGUUAAUAGUUCUAUUACUCUGCUGGCUGCCUGGCUCCAGUUCAAGUAUCAGUUUUUCUAAUGUAAACUCGACCCGGCUAGCUUGAGUAAACUAGACUUGACUUACAAAUCAAUAUUUGUUCUGAUAAUUCUCGACGUGAGCGAGGGCCGAACAAUAUGUUCGAAGAAACAGAGAAUAAACACAUCACUUGGAUUAUCUAAUGACGCUUAACUCGACUCAGACUUAUUUAUUGUGCUAGCAAUGCAAACUCGGACUCUAACGAAUACUAACUCGGGUUACAGCAAGGGCCCUGGAUGAAAGCAUCAGGGUUGCUCUCGCCUAAUUAAUAUGCUUUGGCAAAGGGGAAUAUAAUUAUAGAGAAUCUGAUGUGCAGAAGAAACAAGUAUAAGCUGCUUGAUUUCUUCUAUUACUGAUUAUUUAAUACGCAAGUAGAGUUAAUAGUUGUUGAUGAAGGUGAUGUUAAAAUUGAUGUUUUGCUUAUAUAUGCUGAGUCAUUUCAUCAUUAUUUAGUAAUUAGUUGUGAAAUUAUGAGCUGAUCUGUUGUUCAGCUUUGUUUUACAUGAUCUCAGUUUAGUAAUAUAAUGAUUGUAUUUGUUUACUAAUUUGCCAGCUUCAUGCAGUUCAACUCCUUUAUAUAGAGUUGUUUGGUUUGUGGCGAAGAAUAACAAAUUAAUAUGGCUGAAGCAAUUGUGUCGAUUGUUGUGGGAAGGCUCACUGAUUUGUUAACUGAAAAACCUCAAAUCCUUCAUGAAGUGAGAGAUGAAAUUGAAGCCGCUGUAGCUGGGUUCAUGCAGAUGAAAUUUUUUUUACCAGAUGCUGAUUCAAGGAUCGAUGUAGAAAGAAUCGGCAUCUUGCUCCGGGAUGUACGAGAGCUUGCCUAUGAUGCUGAACAUGCUGUCAAAAGUUUUGUUAUUAAAGCCUCAUCCACUAAAAAACCAUUUCAGUGGAUGAACAGAGGCAAGUUUUCAAGGAAGAUGAAAUAUAUACAAAAAAAGAUGUCCAUCUUCUUCGAUUUAUUUUCUGAUUAUAAUAUCAGACCAACUUCUGAAUCAUCAACUUCCUCCAACAGAGAAUCGGGAAAACUAAAGCGAUUUCACUCUUUCACUACUCCUGAACCAGAGAUAUUUGUUGGAUUUCAUGAAGACGUCGAACAUUUGGUGCAACAUUUGGUGAAUGAAGCUGAUGAUUCUUACCCACUUAUAUCUAUUUGUGGAAUGGGGGGUCUGGGAAAGACCACUCUAGCUCAAAAGAUAUACAAUCACUCCGCCAUCAAGACUCACUUUGCCGGUUUAGCAUGGGUAUCAAUCUCGCGAAAGUGGCAAACAGAUCGGGUGUUGCAGAGAAUUCUUAUAUGUCUCGUCCCUGAGAACAAAAACUCUAUCCUUAAUAUGGAGACUGACAAGCUAGUGGAGUAUUUGCUACAAAUCUAGGAAAGGAAAAAAUGCUUGAUAGUCCUCGAUGACAUAUGGUCAACACAUGAUUGGAAUGCAUUAAAAGCUGCAUUUCCAGCCGGGAAGUCCAUAAGCAAAUUAAUGCUUACAAGCCGUAAUGCUGAAGUUGCUGAGCAUGUAAAUUUGAACGGAUUCAUUCACCAGCCAGAAUGUCUAAGUCCAGAACAAAGUUGGGAGCUACUCAAGUUGAAAGCACUUCACACUGGGAAUUGUCUAGGUACAUAAUUUUACUUAUGGUUCAUAUACUUCUUUUUAUAAUGUGUUUUGUCCGACAACCUUAUAAACAAUAGAACCAUAUUUUUUGUUAAUUGAGUUCGAUAAGUGUGGUUAUAGAUCUGUCUGACAACCUUAAGGAACACUGUUUGAAUUCGUUAGUUUGUUUACAAACCUAUGUAAUAGAAUUGUAAACGAAUCUAAUUAGGUGCCCUCUUGAGGUUAAUUUAACGAACUCAAGUUUGAACCACAUAUUUUGUUUAAGAACCUUAACGAAAUUUAUGGGGUUCAGUAAUUUUUGGUCGUGUUGGCUCAAAGUUUAUCCGAGUUAAGUUCGUUUAGGGCUCUAACUUGAAAGUGUCUUUUAAACAUUUGCAUUAGUUGAACGACUAAAUUGAAUAUUAUCUUGGCUUGUGUGUGUGUGUGUCUAUAUAUAUACACACAUAUGAUUCCCGUUUCUUGUGUGUUGCAGACAUUACCAGAGAUGUAAAAAGGAUGGAAGAACUGGGAAGGGAAAUGGUUGAACAUUGUGCCGGUCUUCUACUAGCUAUAGUCGUUUUGGGUGGAGUUCUUGUAACAAAACCGUCGUUGAUAGAGUGGGAGAAAGUUUAUCGUGAUAGUAAAUCAUCCCUGAAGGCAGGGAAAGGACUGGGAGAAGCCUAUCAAAGAGAAAUAUUAAGUUUUUUAGUUUGGAGCUACAAUGAUUUACCCCCUCAACUGAAGCCAUGCUUUUUAUAUUUAUCAAAGUUUGGUGAAGAUAAAUGGAUAAAACUGGAGACUUUGUAUCAACUAUGGAUCGCUGAGGGAAUGAUACUCUCGAGUGACAAAAGAGAAGGAGAAACAAUGAUACAAGUGGCUGAAUCAUACAUGGGAGAACUAGUCCACAGGAGUAUGGUUCAAGUGAGAUUUAACAAUGUGGAAUCAUCACUUACAAAGUUUAAAGAUUGUUCUCUGCACGACCUCAUGAGAGACAUGUCGUUAAUACAAGCAAAAGCAGAAGAUUUUUUUGAAGAAAUACAUUUCCAAAGCGGAAAUCAGUUUCAUCUCAAAUCUACUGCAGAUUCAAGGUCAGCUUGCACUCGACUUGUGAUUCGUUUGGAUGAGGAAUAUUCUAGCAAAAAAGCUAAUGACUACUUUUCUAAGAAAGGCAAUGAAAAAUGCUAUCGAUCAGUGUUACUCUUUGGUGACUCUGCUCCCACAAGUUUGCCACGGGCAUUGGGGUCACAUGUAUCCAAUUUUAGGUUCCUAAAAGUGUUUUCUGUGGAGAAUUACAGAAAUUUUUCUGGUGCAUUUUCUCAUAUUAAUUUUGGAAGAGGAUUAGGGGACCUUGUUUACUUGCGAUAUCUUAGUGUAAGAGAGACUAAUUUGUUGGUUUUUCCAUCUCUAAAAAAGUUGGUGCUGCUGCAAACUCUUAAAUUGGAUAUUAACAACGUGAACUAUGUUUUACCAUGGCUGUCAAGAGAUGUUCUGGUGAAGCUGGAUUGUUUGAGGCAUUUGUAUCUGCCUAAAUAUAAAGUUUACGUUUUGGGAUGGAAAUCGAAAUUUCGGUUCAAUGGGUUGAGCAAGUUAGAGACUCUAGAGAACUUUAACACUACUUGGUGUGAGGCUAAGGAUCUACAUGAACUAAUCAAUCUUCGUAAGCUAACGCUAACGGUGAGAGAUAGCUUUGAUAUUCUGGAAAUAGUGAUGAAAAACUUGGGUGAUAUAGCCUCCUCACCAUCUUCAUGUCUGAGGUACUUGGGUGUCAGUAUUAUUAAUUGUGGAAUCAUGCUGAACAAUGGUCUUACUAUCUUAAAACAAUUGGUACAUGCUGACAAUCGGAACCUUCGGGACUUGAAAAUAUAUGAGCGUAUCGCAGAGUUGGGUCUAAUAUUUCUGCGUCAAUAUGUAUCUACAAUUGGUAUUACAAGUUUAACUUUAGCGAGUUCAUGCCUAGAAGAAGAUCCAAUGCCAAUACUGGAAAUGCUUCCAAUGUUGGGUGCUCUCCACAUGUUUGGGAGGAAUCCAUAUGUGGGGAAGGAGAUGGUGUGCUCCGCAACCGGUUUUCCUAAGCUCACCAUUCUUUAUUUCUACGGCUUCCCGAACCUUGAAAAAUGGAGGGUGGAGAAAGGAAGCAUGCCCAUGCUUUCAUAUUUGUGUAUUGGAAAAUGUAAGAAAUUGGAGGAGCUUCCACAAGGUAUGAUGUUCCUCAAUUCCCUUGUAGGAAUAUUCCUACAACAAAUGCCUCAAGAUUUCAAUUAUAGGAUCACAAGAGAGGAUGGUGGAGAAGGACCCGACUUUCACAAAAUUUCUCACGUCCCUAGAGUUAGUAUCAACAAUCAAAAUUAUGAUUCUAUGUUUUCCGUAUUCAUGUAAGGUUUUUUCGAUAUUAUGAAAAUCAGUUUUUUGUUUUCCAUACUUUAAGUUGUUAAGUUAUAAUUUACUUUCUAUUAAAACUAGCUUAUAACCUGUGCAACGCACUAGCGGUUAUAAUAUUUGUUAUUUUAUCAUAUAUAGUUUUAAUUUAAUUAAUUUUAUCGUAAAAAUAAAAUUAUGAUAGAAUAAUGUGGUUAAAUAAAUUAUUAUUUAACAGCUGAAUAAAUUCUUAAUACUUAAGUCCGUCAAAUGACUAAUUAAAAAUUAGGUCAAACAUAUAUUUUGAUGAGAAUGUUAAAUAUAUUUAUUUACAUGUUAUAAUUUAAGGAGAUCUAUAAACCCAUAUAUAAAUCAACCAAUCAACCUCAUAAUAUUUCGUUAGUAAUAAUUAAUAAUAUAGUAUAAAACAUAUUAUAAGUCAAAGAGACGCGUAAUCCCAAAUAUCGAUCCAUUACCUAAUUUUUAAUGUUUUGAUUCGAUAGAUAAUAAAAAAAUAUUAUAACAUAUUAUAAAUUAAUGAGGUCCGUGGGUUGAAUACCAACGGUCUCACCAAACUCGAUUGAUCGACCGACCAACUAACCAAUUGAACUUUUCAUUUUUCGGUUUUCGGCUUUAACAGUAUAAUAAUAUAUAGUAUAGUAUAAAUUUAUAAUAUCAUUUUUAAUGUGAGACCGUUAGAAUAUUUAAAAAUAAUGUUAAUUAAUUUCGGUUGAAAAAUAUCACCUGUUAUUUAUUAAUAAAUAUAUAUAAUAAUAUUAUGUUUUUAUACAUAUGUCGCCUGUGUUAAUUGUAGAAAAAUGAUUUUUUAGUUAGAAAAAAAUAUUUAUCCUGAACUCUAAAUCUUUAAAAUUAAAAAAAAACAUUUUUUUCAACGGAGAAGUUGUGUUUGUUGAAUUACAUUUAGUUUCAAAUUGCAAAAAUACUUUCUUAAAAAUUUUAAAAAGAUUGUAUAUUAUCGAAAAAGAACUCUAAACAUGUGUUAUAUCCUUAAAUUCUAUACUCUCUGACGCAGAAAAAUAAAUUAUAUUCGAAACAGAUUAUUAAUUUAAACUUAUAGUAGAGAGGUGUUUCGGUGAAGACCCCCGCUUAGUGCACAAUAAAAUAAAUAGAUAUAAUAAGAAUAUAAUAUCUUAGCCAUGUCCUUCUUCACACAGGACUUACCUAAAUAGUUCCUAAUGCAUCUGUGAACUGAGGACUUACCUAAACAGUUCCUAUUAUCACGAAUGCAUCCAUGAACUGAGCUAAUAAUCCUUCAAAACAUAAUGCAACGAACCUCGUAAUCUCUGUAAGCCACGAGACCUAGUCUCAACUAUUCUAAUAAGUCGUCCCCAAUCAUUCUUAUCUAAUGUCAUAUCACCCGUCCCCAAUCAUUCUUAUCUAAUGUCAUAUCACCCGUGAGAUUUAAAGCUCUCAUGUCCAAACUUAAUUGAUUAGCCCAUGUCCGACGAGGCUGACUUCUCUUUCUCUAGUCAUUCAUUAUUCUUGAGGUGAACAACAGUUAAAAAAAUUCAGAGCCGAGGUAUUCUUACACAGCAAAAUAUCGAUUUAUGAUAAUGUUGGACAGCAGAAAAUGAAAAGGAAGUAAUAUUUCACUAACCAUAUGUGAUAUCCAAUCCCAACAUUGAAAAUUGCUCACUCGAGAGAGACUAUAUUAGUAUCUCAUUCAUUAUUCUCGAAAUGGACAAGUGUUGAAGGAAUCCCGGAGCCACAAAUAUAACAACCUAACGACAGAAUAUUAAUUUAUGAUAGUACUGGACAGCAGAAAAUCAGAGAAAGUAAUUUUUCACUAGCCAAUAUGUGAUAUAUUUUCAUGCUGCCAACACAACAGAGUACAUUGUUGCCCUCAGGUUGCAACAAAACACAAAACUAGGACACUUUUAACUCUCGACUCCGCCCUUUGUUCAAACUUUUUCUUUGUGAUCUUUCUUUUCUUUAUAGUUAAACUACAAUAUAUACAGCGUUUAGGACUGGGAAACUGCUCUCUUCAAGACGCUGAAGGCAACGAGCAUAAGCAGUGAUAUCAUAAUCUUCUUUGAAGCAAGAAUCCGCAAGUUCACCUUCAUGCCAUGGUCUCUCAUGAGCUUCACUGUUGCCCUAAUUACUGAAAUAAGCCAGAAUACAACGGACAAGAACACCACUUUCAUUGUGUCUGCAGGUCCAUUCACACUUCUUGUGCCUCCCGACACCUCGACAUAGGACCAAGCAGCGCCUUGAUUAUCGGUAGUUCCACUCUGAUUGAGGCCAAGUUUCUCGUUCAACCAACAUGAUAAAGUCACAAGCAGCUUUGCAAGCCAUGCAAUCUCAUCAUUGGAGACUGGUCGCUUCAACCAGUCACCCCUGUAUUUCGUACCGGUUUGCUUCUUGUUGCGUAUCAUUCUAGGACUAAAUAUCUCAUCACGUGGAUGCUGAUUUUCUCUUGUCUCGGGGACUGCUUGUGUGUUCCUUGGAGUAGAGUUACCAAAUAAGCACCCCAUCUGGGCUUUGAUAGAAUCUAAACAAGCCAUAUUGUGAGCAUGAUUAUCUCCCAUGACAGUCUGCAGCUCCGACUCAGCACGCAACACAAAGAGCUGCAAUAACAAUAUGACUAGUGAGUGAGACUUGAGAUUUAGAAUGACACAAUUCCAUUCCUAGAAUUUAUAUAGUUCAUACAUAUAUAUUUAAGUACACUAUAUGCUAAAAGUGUUGGAAUAACCUUAAAUUUAAUUAUUUUUAAUAGAGUUAAUUGCAGAGUGUGUACCUCUAGUUUGAGGCUUGUGCACUUGGUGUACCUCAGUUUUGGUGUCUAGCAAUGUGUGUACCUCAGCUUUGAAGAUGCUUGCACAGUGUGUACUUUCGUGAGUUUGCAGCUUAACGGCGUUAGAUUGGAGGGACAGCGGGAUAAUUUGACAAAGAAAAAGGGAGGGGCAACGGCUAUAUGUUUGUAUGUGUUAUAUGCACUCUACUAUAUGGUCUGUAGUCGGGCUAGCUUAUGGACCUUGUGUUGAACAAAAGAAUGGAGUGCGUCGCGAGAAUGUUGAUGAUUAUGCUACUUCAGGACAAGAAUUGUUAAAGAGAAAACCGGCUCAAAUAACUGAUGAAGGCAAUAUUGUUAAAGAGCCAUGAAGAACCAAAGCACUCUCACCGGCUUGAUGUACUGUAUAGUUUGUGGCCUGAUACAUGUUGCAAAGGUUCUUAGCACUUUCACUUCUUGAUGCAUUAUAUUUCUUGUAUUCACCCAUGGAUAAAUGCAUAAUCAAGACACUGAAAAAUUAUGUGCCAUCACAGAAUAUUAGAUCAUAAUAGUAAUGAUAAGCAUGGUUUAUCCCUUAAGCAAAAUUAAGACAGUAAGCCGUUUUGUCAACUCGAAAAAAAGAUCUAGAAUAUAAAAUAGUAUUUUCUUUCCAGUACCUCUGUACUUGCAAUGCUGUAUAUUUGUAAAUAAUAUGGUAUUUAACUGUAUUACAGAAGUGGUAUAAGAAUAAACAGACAUAAAGCAUUCUCUCUUGUUCACUACUUGUCCAUAGAUAUUUAAAACAUUUUAAUCCCCUUGUAUAGUAAACAGAAUUGUAGCAAGUUCUAACUGAUCCAUUCUUGCUGUCAUACUCCCUUUAUCAGAAUAUUCUUCCCCAUUUGCGCCACGAGUAAGAGUAUUACAUAGAUUCAGCUGAUCAGACAAUGCUGCUGUAAAUUCAGAUGAAUCCUCAAUGUUUUCUAGUUCAUUAUCCUUUCCUGAAGGUUAAUUCACUUGUAACAACUCUUCUUCUGAAGAAGCAGAACCUUUCUUAUCGUCGGGUCUAAAGCCAUUCCAUUGUUCAACACAAGGACCGUAAGCCCAACUGCAAACAAGAUAGUAGAAGAGGUUUACUGAACUCGUGAUUGCAAGAAGCCAGUAGUAACUCUCAAAAUGUCCCUUGUUGAUAUUACUUGAAGUCCAGCUCUCUUUUCCUCCUUUACUUGAAACAUUGUUUCCGGUACUCAAUAUAGCACUAGCUAACAAGUUUGCAAAUGCCAUCCCUAGCCCGAACAUGGCUGAUGCAAUGCUGGACAUGCUGUUAGGGAAUUCUGAAUAGUAAAAUUCUGUUUGAGCUAUUGAGUUGAAAGCCUCGCCUAAUCCACUUAAAACAUGUUGUGGUACUAACCAAUAUGCAGACAUGUUAACCACACCGCUUGGAUUUUCUCUAAAACCUUGUUCGAUUGCUUUGGUUCGUCUUAUAUGUUCCACAAUGGCUGAGACAACCAUAGCCAAGAAUACUAUUAUCAUGUAAAAUAAUUGAAUAUAAGAGCAGUAUCAGUCGAAGUUGCUUAUGUAGAUACUUUAAUGACCAAAGUCGAUCACUAAAAAAAAUCUUUUGAUACCUUAUCAGUGGGCACAAGUCGUUCUGAAUCUUUGAGAGUAUGUGUAAUAGUAGAAUCUGGAGAAGGAAGUGUCAUUCUUCUGUUCUUGUAAACAACUGCAAUCACUUGCAUGAAGCUACUAAACAAGUUUGUUUUGACUUUUGGUUUGAUAUAUAAAGAAGUUGCAAUCAAGAAAAGAGCAGUUGAAAGGAACAUGAGAAGGGCUGGAACUCCAAAACCCACUUUCCAGUACCCCAGAUGAUCUUGAAUGUAGACAAUGCAAGUGAAAGCAAGCACGACUGCAACAGCUGCGGAAGCGUAUUACCAUCCGAAGAACCGUUCUAGCAUCCUUUUAUUCAUGGGAUUGUCCUUGUCAUCUAUUUGGUCAGCCCCAAAUGCUAGUGAACAAGGCCUAACACCACCUGCUCCAAUUGACAUAAGAACAAAGGACGAGAGCAAAACCAAGUACUGCAUUGUAGAAGUAUAUUCAAAGGUCUGGUGUUGCAACACAUAAAUGAGAUUCUAGGUUAUAAAUGAGGAGACAAAGAAUGUCUUCUUGUGCCGCCAAAGAUGAGUAGUAAACAAGAAGCCUCCAUUGGAAAUGUGUGUGUUGCCCUUUGUGAAGUAACGGUGUUAAUUCUCAGCUGACGGAAGUACACACAUUGCAAGCAUCUUUAAACUAUAGGUACACAGUUUGCUAGAUAUGAAAGGAAGGGUACACAAAGUGCACAAGCCUCAAACUAGAGGUACACACUAUGCAAUUUACUCUUAUUAAUAUUUGUUUAGUUAUAUAUUUUGAGGAUUAGUUUUAGAUUGAAGUAGUUGGAUGUUUGUUGUAGAGGUACAAGAAUUAAUACAAAUCAAUUUUAUAUUCUACACUUGGCAUUGGAGCCAGGUUACGCCGCCAGGCGGUGGUGAAGCCGCCGCUAGUGGUGAAGGCACAUAGUGAGUGUUUGACGAGAUAGUUUCAGGUAGGCGUUGCAGAAGGAUUGUGGCAAAGCUGCAUGUGUAGUAUGGGAUGCAUGUAUAGUAUGAGGCUGCCAAGAAAGACGAGGCGAUGCCUACUGAAGGUGGAAAAUGAGAUAGAGUGGAAGAAGGUCAUGCAGAACGAGAUGGAUCUUGCGUUUUUUAUGACGGAGUUGAACGAGAACCUCUCCUUCAAAAUUAUGGGUGAUUAUGUGUACCUGGAGAGAAUUUUAGAAUUAUGGGUGAUUAUGUGUACCUGGAGAAAAGUGCUCCAGUGAAUUUGGCGUUGAUGAGAAGUGCAUCAACAAAUUGGUGUUGAUGAGAAGUGCAUUGACAAAUCGGUGGUGGUGAGAAGUGCAUCACAUAUAGAGGUGGCAAUCGUUUCGUUUCGUAUACUUCUGUUUCGUGUAUUUUCAUGUUUCGUGUACUCAAAGGUGAAACCCGUAUCCGCCCGUUAUCAAUUUCGUGUACCAAAUUUGAAACCCGUAUCCGAUCCGAAACGUUUCGUGUAUUUUUCAUGUAAUCAAAAAAUAGCUUUAAUAUAUAUUUUUCUAUAUAAUUUACUAAAUAUGAAUGAUAUAUUUAUGCUCGCAUACAAUUAUCUACAAAUUUGUUAAUGUAUCUAUAAUAUGUAUCUACAUAUACAUAUAAAUAUAUAUUUAUUUAACACAAUUAUAUAUAUAUAAUAUAUUAUACCAAAUAUAUAAUGAAAUCUAUGUAUAAAUAUUUCGUGUACUUUCGUGUAUUUCGUGUACCCAAAAUGAAACCAAUAUUUGACACGAAAUCUAUCGUGUAAUUUCGUGUUCGUAAACUUUCGUGUUUCGUGUAUCAAAAAUCAAAACUCAUAUCCAUUUUUUUCGUGUCGUUUCGUUUCGUGUUAGCGUGUUACGUGUCAAAUUGCCAGGCCUAAUCACAUAUGAAGAGAAGUGCUUCAUAAACUCUCUUAAGUAAAUUUAAGAUUAUGGGGUGAUUGUUGGAAUAAUAUUAGAGGGGUGUAUUGGAUUGAGAUUUUAAAGCCUUUUUUUGCAUUCAUAAAAUCCGAGGGUAUUGGAUUGGGAUUGUUUGAAAUCAAUUAAAAUCUUGAGGUAUUCAAUUGAGAUUUUAAAUUAUACUACAAAAUCCGGUGGUAUUCACUUGGGAAUUUAAAUUAUGAUUUAAAAUCCGAUGGUAUUCAAUUGGGAUUGUUUCAAAUCCAUUAAAAUCUGAUGGUUUUCAAAUGCUGAUGGAUUUUUUUGCAUUUCAUAAAAUGAUGGAUUUUGUGGCAUUCUUCGGUGUAUUUUUUUACAAUUGCGAUAUAGACUAAAAAAAAAAUAUAAUAGGAUGUUCAUAGUGCAACGAAUCUUGCCCGUGUUGCGCACACGGGCAAUUUUUAUUUUCUAUAUUUUAAUAAUUGAUUGCAAUGUCUUUUUAAUUGUAACGCGCUCAAUAACAAAUUCAUAGACGAAUACUGUACAAUAAGAUGUAUAGAGACAUUGAAUGUUAAUUUAUUAGAUCAAAGUAAAUAUAAGCUGUUUUAGAUGGUUGGAGCAAUAGUUUUCAAACUUGAGGCCAAGAAAGAAAGUAAAUACAAUGCAGAAAGAAAGUGUACGAUAAUCAUGAAAGAAAAUAAUUGAAAUAUAAUUAUAUUUAGAUUUUUCAGAAAAAGUAAAAUAAAAUUCCCGUGUGCGAAGCACGGGCAAAAUUUGCUAGUUCUUACAAAAAGAAGAGAGGGGGAAAUAAACCUAUAGCAGCCGUUGUCCGCCAUCAUCACCAUCACUAAAUAACUGCAAAUCUUUGUUCCAAUUCUCAUGCAAGAAAGAGCCAUCAGCGUCAUUUUCACACAAUCCAUCCUCCCAGUCCUUGUAAAGCAAAAAAGAACAAGGGAUUUACAUAUAAACCUCUGAAAAAGAGUUGAAGAAUGCGCACGCGCGCACACACAAAAGAGAUGCAGAUAUGUCUUUAUACCUGCAGCUGUUCUCUGAUUGAUGGAACAAAUCUGUACAAGUUAUUGUGUAUGGGUUUGGAUGACCCAGAAGGCUUAGAAUGGAAGACAGUGUCCACAUUCUUUAUAAGAUUUAUCAGCUCACUGGACGAUGUCAAUAUGCUUAAGACCUGCGUAAGAAAUACAAGAAACAUAUACAAAAAUAAAUAAACAGAAACUACAACCAAUUGAUGAUCUUGGGAUAAAUAUAUAUACGGAUUUUAAAAUACAAAUUCCCCACUAUUAUCAAAAUACUGCCGAGACCGAUACUCGGACACGUAACCAUGUUGAACACUUUUAGCCGAGUCCAUGUAAUAUAGAUUCCCCAUACGUAAGCUUACCAGAUGUAUCCCCAUGAGCAACCAUAAAUUAAAAGAAGCUCAAAGAAAAUAAUUAGCUUUUUGUUGUGGUUCAUUCAGAUGUAUCCAUCAAGCAUUUUCCAGGACCACUGAAGCAAUCUAUGCAAAACCAUGGUUGAACAUCACUAACUACACAAGUAGCCUUCCUCUUGUGUUCUGCUUAUCCAGGUAAAAAAGAAAAGACUACAUGUCUUUUUUUGCUAGCAUGUCUUAAAAUGUACUAUUAUAUAAUUUUCUUAGUUUUUUAAUAAUUUCACCCAUCUAUAAAAGUAUAAACAGAGGACAAGAACAUAUAUCACACCUUUUGUGCUUCUUUACACCUCAACAGAGAACCAAGCAGGGCCUUGAUUAUCGGUGGUUCCACUACGAUUCAGGCCAAGUUUCUCAUGAUAAAGUCAAGGAGCUUUGCUGCUUUGCAAGCCAUUCCAUCUCCUUAGCGGAGACCGGCCACUAUUGUCCGGGCAUGUGUGGGUGAACUUAAUUUGAAAUAUAAUCAUUUAUUUUGAGAACAAUUUCACAUUCACAUACUAUUAAAUAAUAUUAAGUGUUUAGAGGACAUUUAGCAGAAAAUACACAUUUACAUACUUUCUCUUCCAGAUAUAAGUAAUUUAUUUCAAAAUACAAAAUAAGUUAAACGCCCAAGAUGUUUGAAUCAGUGAAUUACGCAAAUAUUUAAGAAUGAGAAAUCAUGGAGUAUGUUAUAAUACUCAAGUGCUUGUUACAUUCAACAUUUUACGGGAAAAAAGUAAAUUAAAUAUUUGCAAGAGAAUUAAUAGCAAAAAACGGAGCAAAUGUGUUCCAAAUUUUAAUUUUAAUAAAGCAAGUAAUGCUAUUGUAUUAGUUCUGGAAACAAAACGUAAUUUUCUCAUGAUGCAGACGCAGCAAACCGAUGAUUCCAAGUGUCUGUUAGCAGAAGGGGAGAGUGAAGAAGAAUAGAGAGUAUGAAGUGAUUUGCUUUGCUAUGAGGAGGUUAUGCAGGAAGCGGAACCAAGAGCGGUGAUGUUUGCAGAAACACAAGAGAAAGACUUCAAAUGGCAUCUUGAAAAGGAAUGAGAGCUGGCAAUUGGAGCAAACACAGCAACGACAACAAAAGUAAUCAAGGAAGAUGAGUAGGAUAGGCUUGUGAAACUGAGCUCCUGAAUUUCUGUUCUGCUUAGGAUUUUCGACAUAAUAGAGUUAUGAAUAGUAAUUACAAAAUUGAAAAAGUUGAACCAUAAUAUCAAACACAGAAGGGAAAAAAAUGGUUUUAAUAUGAACACCAAUCGACUCAAUCAAUUUGAUUACUAAAUUGACUAAGUGCUGCUUUAAACGGGUGCCCAAGACAUUAGUGAUGAAAAAGAUUAAAGUCGAUAAUUAGUGAUGAAAAAGAUAUAAAGAGCUUGCUUGGCCAGUACUUAAAGUCCUGGACAUUAUAAUCAUGUGGUGUAAUCACAUGGUUUAAUGAAUUAUUGUUGAAUUUUGCAACCAAAGAAGCAUGAAAAUGAUGAAAGACUGUCUCAGAGUCAUAUACAGUGGCUCCAUUAUAGUUUAAUUAAUAUACUUUGGCAAAGGGCAAUACUGGACAGCAAUAGAGAAUAUAAAGUGAUCACUCCUCACUUUAUAUUCUAGGUCAAAUUUGUUAUACAAAUUUACACUUUACACUUUACACUUUGUUAUACAAAUUUGUCCACUAAUUUCACAAUGAUCGUAUCAGGAACGAGUUCAAGUAUAUCAGAAGUAUAUUCUAGGUCUAAGCAAAAAUCUUUUAACACAAGUUUGUUCAAUUAACAACAGUCAUAAGCUGUAAGAUCAAUAAUAGACUGGAUGCAAAUGCUAUUUAACAAAAACGUUACCAACAUCGCAUCGCAACAACAAAUAACACCGAUAAAAGACCGAAAACAAACACAAUCCACCAAAAUAUGACCAGCUUCGCAUCGCAAGGUCAUGGAAUUUGAACUUAAGAUUCUAUAUGUUAUGUUUUAAGUCUGAACUCAAGUUUUGCCUAUAUCAGAUCAUAUUCCAAACUCAACUAAUGUGGGAGACUUGUGUAAUGAGUGCAACUGACCUUUUGCAACAAACAAGCACAUCACUUCAAACUCUCCGACUAGCUUUUUCUUUUUAAAAUAAAAAGAAAACAGCAGCAAUUAUGAUCUCUCCAUUAAAGAUAACAAGUUCUGCAACUUUCAAAAUUAUUUGCUUUAUAUAGACUUGUUUGGUUUCCAAUGUGCUGAAGACACCAAUACAUUUGAGCCUUAUCAAAUUUAUUACUCCCUCAUCCCAUUUUUAACUGUACUUUAUAUAGACUUGUUUGGUUUCUGCUGAAAAAAAAGUUAAACGAAUUAAUAUGGCUGAAGCAAUUGUGUCGAUUGUUAUGGGAAGGCUCGCUGAUUUAUAGAUUGAAAAACCUCAAAUCCUUAACGAAGUGAGCGAUGAAAUUCAACUAGCUGUGACGGAGCUCAUGCGGAUAAAGACAUUCUUACCUGAUGCUGACUCAAGGAUUGAUGUAGAAAGAAUCCGCAUUUUGCUCGGGGAGGUACGAGAGCUUGCCUAUGAUGCUGAACAUGCUGUCGAAAGUUUUGUUAUUAAAGCCUCAUCCACUAAAAAACCAUUUCAGUGGAUGAACAGAGUCAGAUUUUCAAGAAAGAUGAAAGAUAUACAUAAAAAGAUGUCCCUCCUCUUCAAUUUAUUUUCCGAUUAUAAUAUCAGACCAACUUCAGAAUCAUCAACUUCCUCCAACAGGGAAGAUGGUGAAGAAGGACCCGACUUUCACAAAAUUUCUCAUGUCCGUAGACUCAUUAUUGAUGAUCAGGACUACAUUUGAAUGUUCUUGUAAGUUUGCAAGGUAUAAAGUUUUGUUUUGGUCGUGAAGAACAUAUUGCUUGAGAAAUUAUUUGAUCAUUUGCUUCUCAUUAACCUAAUUUUAUAUGAUUAAUUUAUUUUCCAUCAAAAUUAAUACUUUUACCGUUGAAAAUAAUUUAAUUAAGACUUUUAAUUUUCUUAUUUCAAUUAUUAUUUAAUAGCCCGGUAGCGUUGAUGAAAGUGAUACAAAUAUUGAGAUGAGUCAUUUUAUAAUUGUUUUACGGUAGAAUUCCACGAGCUAAUCGGUUGUUAAACUUGGCUUUUACAUGCUCAUCGUUUAGUAUACAAUGAAUCAAUAAUAGUCAUUUAUUUAGGAAUUAAACAAUAAAUUAAUAUUUAUAUACAUGAGUAUCUCCGACCAUAGGAAACUCUCAGUUAAAAAGUGAGAUGACAUAUAAAAAUAAAAAAAUAUAGUCAAUCUUUUGAAAAAUUCACACUCCAAACAUAGUAAUUCAUUUUCUAUAAUUUUAGUCAACCUCCUAAGUUGACUAAAUUUGUCGAACUUCUGCUCAUCAGUAAAAUAUCGGUAGGAAGAUUACACAUCAUUUGUUAUCAUAUUGAACUGAUAUAUUCUAUUUUAACAAUCUAAAAUAUUAAUAACAUAUUAUUUUUAGAUUAUAGCCAACCAAUAUAACCAAUACAAUUAGAACAUAGUGUCUCAGAGGUUCAACAAAUUUUACAUAUUGUCUUGCAAAUCUAAUUUAUCGAAUGAUCUUAGUUUGCUGAUUCCAUGCAGUUUAACUAUCAUUUUUUCUAUUGUAAACUCAACCGCGACCCAAAUUAUUUGUUGUGCUACUUAUGCAAACUCCGACUCUAUAACUAACAAUCCUGUGAUUCAUAUAAAAUAUAGUUUUAUAAAUUAAUAUAUUCUUUUUUUGGAAUAAAAAAGUUGAUAUUUAAAUAUUUUUAUAAAAAAAAAGUUAAAAUUAAAUUAUAAAGCUAUUUUAUAUGAGUCUUAAAAUAUGUGUGUAAAAAAGCCCGUAAAUAAAUCAGGGGACCGAGGGAAUACCAACUACAAUUACUCCAAGGGCCCCCUGGAUGCAGAGAGCAUCAGGGUUGCUCUUACCUAAUUAAUAUGCUUUGGCCAAGUAGAAUCGUAGUGAACAAUUAUAGAGAAUCUGAUGUGCAUGCAGAAGAAACAAGUAUAAGCUGCUUGAUUUCUUAUAAUACUGAUUAUUCAAUACGCAAGUAGAGUUAAUAGUUGUUGAUGAGGGUGAUGCAAAAAUUGAUGUACGUGGAGUACUUGUGGAUUGUGGUACAUACAGUUAGCACAGGUGAAACCAGAAAUCCUUCCGGAGUAUCCGUCUCCAAAUUUGGCACAAAUAAGAUAUGUUUUCUAAUUUCUAUUUUUUGCCUCAUCUAUUUAAGAUAAUCUUCACAUUACAUAUUUGCUUUUAUUUUUAAUAGUAAAAAUAUCUUAUACCAUUUUUAAAUAUAUUAUAUUUGUUCGCGCUAAAUUUUGUGUUCAAGUAUCUACUGUGAAGUUCAGAAAAUUUAUUCAGGUGGACUUAACUCAUGAUAAGCCCGAAUGUUCUCGAAUCCGUGAGUCCAUGAGUGAACCUAGUCCUGGGCUCAUUUCUCAAAAUCCCAACGAAGAAGUUUAUAAGCCAAGGGUGCCUUACCCACAAAGGCUCAUUCGCCCUAAACAAUCGGCCCAAAUUGAACAAAUUCUAGAGGUUUUCAAACAAGUCAAGAUAAACAUUCCUCUUUUAGAUGCCAUUCAACAAGUUCCUUCUUAUGCUAAGUGUCUAAAAAAUCUGUGUACCCAUAAGCGAACCACCCAUGUUCCUAAGAAAGCCUUCUUAACCUCGCAAGUAAGCUCGAUUCUCUCGAAUCAAAUUCCCGUGAAAUAUAAGGACCCCGGUUGUCCUACAAUUUCUUGUGUCAUAGGCAAUACUUGCGUGGAAAGGCUUUACUUGAUUUAGGAGCGAGUGUGAAUCUUCUUCCUUUCUCGGUCUACCAAGCCCUAGGUUUAGGGUAUCUCAAGACCACCAAUAUGACCCUUCAACUUGCCGAUCGUUCGAUUAAAAUGCCAAAGGGAAUUAUUGAGGACGUGUUGAUAAAAAUCGGUGAUUUUAUCUUUCCUGUUGACUUUGUUGUUCUCGAAACUCAACCCGUCUCGAAUCCUAAGAACCAAAUUCCUAUCAUUUUAGGACGACCUUUUCUUGCUACAUCCAAUGCCUUAAUCAAUUGUAGGAAUGGUUCAAUGAAGCUCACUUUCGGAAACAUGACCAUUGACUUAAACAUUUUCAAUGUAGGAAAAGAACCCAAUGAGCUUUAUGAGCAACCUAUAGGGGUCAAUGUGGUCAACAAGUUUGUCACAUGGUCUAGCUUUGAGGAUAGUGAGAUUGAGUCUCUUCUUGGUGAGGAUUUCAAAUUCAACAAUGAGAAUAAUAGGGAAUAUCACGAGUUUUUGAAAGAGUUGACCUCGGAGGAGUUGUUAGGAGAAUUGAACGAGAUUUGUUCAAAAUGGGAGACUCCACCCGAGAUUGUUAGUGUGAGCCCUAGGCGCGAUUUUGAGAGUCAUGUAGGUGAACCACCGACAUUUGACUCGUUGUUCCAUCAUUCGCUUAGUGCCUUAGGGAGAGACGAAAUCGUUUCGCACAUCAUUACUAGUGAUUUGUCCCUUAACCAAGAUUUCAUAGUCUCUAAUUUGCUUGAUGAUAAAGAAGCAUUAAGUUGGUUUCGGGAGAACAUUAGUGAUACUUGUCCUAUAGGGAUGAAUGAUUGUCACAUGCUAGAGAAAGUCUUUGUGCAUAAAAAUUUUCGAAAACAUUUUGACUCUUUCUCGAAGCUCCCUCCCAUCUUUCCUUCCGGAAUUGGCUGAUUCGCUUCCAUCUUCGAACCUUCCCCCGUGAGAUUCAGGUAUUGGGAAGGAAAUGUGUGGGUGAGUGGGUCGUGUAUGUGUUUCAAUAGUUAAUAAAAUCCCUUCAUCUCCUAUUCAGGUAUUUUCCCUCUUUACUCAUACAUUUCAAUUCUCUCUUUUGCAUACAUUGAGGACAAUGCAUGAUUUAGGUAUGGGGAGGGCUUUAGUGUAAUUCUUAAAAAAUGAAAACCCUAAAAAAUGAAAAAAAUUAGAAAAAUCCAAAAAUAGAGAUGUUUUAGCUAAGUUGUCUUUCCCUCACUUGAACUUUAGGAGUAGUUGGUGUUUAGCAUGUUUUCGAAAAGUAAAUAUAUAUGUAGUGUCUUUUAGAUAAUUUGAACGUAGUUGAGUAAGGUUGUCUUUUUGAAGAUUGUAUCGACCGAUUUGUACUUGUAAUUCCAAGAUGGCACACACAUUUGCACAAGACCUUUGAUGGAGAGAUUGUCCAGUGAUAUUAUUCGAUACCUGAGAGAGAACCCACAUGUUGAAACAAUGUCGAACCGAACCUUUGCGACUAAAAAAAUAGCAAAAAAAAAAAGAAAAAGAAAAAAAAGGAAUAAACUACUUCAAUACCCAUUGUUCUUUAUAGAUAAAAUCUUUAGAUAAAUGGGCAAAAGUAGAUUGACUAGUCUCGUUUUGUGGCCUUUGUUACUCGAGCAAUUAAGUCCGUAGGGGGAUUUCAAAACCUGGUGCCCUACGACCGUUUGGUUUGGGAGUCACUGGCCUAAAGCUCGCUACAUGGGUAACAUUGUUUUCCUAAGAAAACGGACUAAAUAAAGUCAAUGCAAAAAAAAAGAGAAAAAAAAACAAAAAAAAAGGGAAGGAAGAAUAAGAGUUUGUAAAGUUUGGCUAGAUAUUUGUUUCGAUAGAGAUUGGGUCAGUUCAAAAUUGGUUGAAAAAGAGAAAGUGUUCUUAGACAAUUAGGAUCCAUCAAAGGCCUUAAAUUACUUACACUCCUUGGAUUUCUAGAAAAUUUUUGUGUCGAUUCAAGUAGAUUUGAGGCAACUGGAUCUUGAUUAUUAGUAAAAGAGUCUUUGAGUCGUAUUUUCCUUAAAAACGCUUUUUGUUAACACCGGCGAAAUUAGAGUAGAGUCGAGUAGACACUUGCUAGAAUGUCUCGAAGAUUUUAUGGGUAUAUCUUCUGUAAACCCUUAGGAGACAAAACUCCUCUUGUAGAGAUCGUCUACGAGUUUAACGGGUUGGUGAACCUAAAAUCACCCGUCACGCCUACGAAAAGGAGCCUAGGACUUGCAUUUAGUUUUCUUAGUUUAUUUUCUUUUCUUUUGAUUUUUACUCGAGGACGAGCAAAAUUUAGGUAUGGGGAAGUUUGAUAAGUCGAUAUUUUUGCAUCAUUUAGAUACCUAUUUAUUGCUUGUUUUCGUAUUUUUAUUAGUUAAUUGUUUUGUUUUCAGGAAUUUUUAGAGAAAUCGAGAAUUCAAGAGAAAAGGAACAAAAAGGUGCAAGAAGGGAAAAAGAGGAAGAAAAAGAAGAAGAAGAAAAAGAAGAAGAAGAAAAAAAAGGAAAAGAAAAUCAAGACACAAGACUAAAUUUGUAAACACUUUUAUUAUAUCAAUACAAGUAUUCAUUUUUGUUCUUAAAUCUUGCUCUUUACUUUUACUUCUAGGCUAUGAAAUCUUUCUCUAACCACAUGAGACUCAAAAUUACUUGUGGAUUGAAGGGAGCCUAAUUAUAUGUUUUAAGCUUGCAAUUUUUUAGUAUUUAAAUUGAGCCCCUUUUAAUUCUCAAUAUUAUUAGUGGGUUCAAUGGUUUAGUAUUCUAGAUUUUGGUUUUAGCUUGUAGUUUGAUGGGGUUUUGUUAGAUACAUGGUAGAUAAGCUAGUUUUGAAGUUUUGUUUGAUUUGGAGUUAGUUUGGUAGGAUUUGGUAUUGUUCUUGUUCUUGGUUUUGGUAUUUUUUGGGGCUUUUGGGUGUAAAUUUUAGUUUGUGAUUUUGAAUUGAGGUUAGUGGGUUUAUGUUAGAAAUAUUUUGCUUAGGUUAGAUUUGAAAUUUGGUGUAGUUUAGAGUUGUUAUGAUUUGAUUUGAGUCUUAUUUUGGUAAAAAUGGGUAGUUUAGGGGCUUUUUAGUGUAGAAUUUGUUGUUGAAUUUGAUUUAAAGGUUAGUGGGCUUUGAUUUGUAAUAUUUGGAAUGGCUAGAUUUUCCGGUCAAAUAAAUUUUCCGGUGAGAUUUAAGCUAUUUCGGGCACCUCCAUGAUUCCGGCGGGUUACUCUUGACUUUUCCGUCGUCCGAUAAAUGUUUAGUUUCNAUGUUUUAGUUUCUGUUUGUUUUCUGGUCAGUACUGUUGCUUUACGUUUCGACCACGCGUCCAUUUCUUUUAUUAUUAUUAUUAUUAAUUUGUUUUCUGAUCUGUUGUGUUUGCUCGGUAGUCACGUGAUUAUAUUAUUAUUGUUUUCCUCCCGCGAACUGUACACACACAGUCACUAAUCCUUAUUGUAUUGUUUUAUCCGAUUAUUAGUUAAUUAUGUAAUUAAGUAUUUAGUUAACAGUAUUAAUUAGGUAGUAUAUUAUAAUAAUAAAAUCCUUCAAAAAUUAAUCGGUCUAAUUCGCCUAGGUUAAUAAUUAGAGGUCGCGAAAAGUUAAAUUUAAUCUCUGUAGACGAAUCUAAAAUAUUAAAACGGUGAUCGUGCGCUUGCGAUUUAAAGGUAUUAUUUAUAGCACAUCACAGAUGAGGGUGAGCUUGUUGAGGGUUUACUAGAAGGUUGUCACUUAGAUUUUUACAUUGACAUUGUUGUGGACAAGGAAAUAGAGCCGAUGAAGCAGAUGCAACCUCAUGUGAUCAUGACAUCAAAGACAAGUUUUUUUGAAGGUAAUUAUCAAAAGUUUUUGGAAUUAUUUUGGUGUGAGUCAUGGUAUCAUUAUUUGGUUUCCUUUCCCUCAAAUUACAUGUGUGUAAAUAAUACUCUUGUAGGUCUAGAUAAAGUGAGGACACAGUAUGUGACAAUACAAACACUUCAAAAGGAUCAAAAGAAUAAGAAAAAAGGAGCUCACGAGGACUUGAAUUUAGUUGGUGAUGAGAAGGUGCAAUCUGCACCAGAAAUUGAGGGAGAUGACAUCAACAAGAAGAAAACUACUAAAGCUGCUGACUUGGUUGUUAAUGAGGAGAAUGUGGAAUCUGCUGCACACAUUCAGGUUUGCGAAAGAAGCAAGAAAAAACUUACCAAAAAGGCGAGUUUAUUGAUAAAAUACAUCUCUUACAUAUAUUCUUGUAUAUUAUAUAUGAUCAUGCAACAACUAAUCAUGUGUAAUUUAUUUAGGAUAUUCUUGCUGAUUUUGAAGAAAAAAGAAGAAGAGAGUUGCUGAAAACAAUCAAAUGUUGGAACAACUGAGAAUAAAGAAAUUGAAAGCUGAUCUUGAAGGUCAAAAAACAAAGAAGAAAAAUGUAGAAGAAGUUAUUGGGAAUAUAUCAGACCUAGAAUUUGAUAGAGAGUAUGUGUCGGGACAGGACAGCCUCCCCACUAGUGAAGAGGAGCAUCCAGCGAAGGUGUGUAUAACUUAUUCAAGUAUUAAUUUAAGCUUUGCAAUUAAUAUUAUAGAAGUUUAAUAUAUGAUCUUGAAUUAAUUAGCGGGCCAAAAAAGCUCCAUCAGUGAAGGUUGCUACCAGACCACCGACAACUCGUUCUAAAACAGCACAAAAGGUUGCUGAUGACAAUAAACUUGUGCAUUUUUCCUGCAUUUUAAUUUUCUUUUUUUUGCGCAUUUUAAGUUCAUAUUUUCUGUAUUUUAUGUUCUAAAUUUCCCAAUUUAUUUCACGUUUUCUGCAUUUUAGGUUAAAUUCACAAUGUUUUGAGUUUAAAUACUUUAUAAACUUUUUUGCAAGGUUAAUGAUGAAGUGGCAGUACCACCUCCCCCCAGCUACCUAGUACUCUUCAAGAAUUCAAGCAGAUAAAGAGGGAAUACAAUAAUGAUAGAGUUAAGACCAUGGAGGCAUUUGUAAAGAUGAGACAAAGCUUCAAGGAAAUGGAACAAGAAGCAGCUAGCAAUGCAGAGGACAAUGAUGUUGGGGUAAAGAAGGAACCAACAGAUGGCAAGUUCCAACUGAAGGUAUGUUUUUGAUCCUUAACUUGGGGUAGAAAUUUCAAUUAUAUAUAUAUAUAUAUAUAUAUAUAUAUAUGACUAAUUAAUCCUAUAUAAAAAUGGUGUUUAAUUACUUUGAAAUACAUAUAUCCAGGUGAAACUAAAGUUACAACGACGCCUAGAGCUCCUGUUGCUUUAACAAGGCACGCUUCUUAAUUUGCCAUAAACUGAAACUAUUCUUCCUAGUAAAUUUGUCGACCUUCAUGUUAAUACCACCAGACAUCUUUCUGACCGUAACCUCGCACUGAUGCCAGUUUGUUUUAACGGAAGCAAGAAAGAUUAUAAUAAACGUCAAGGAAGAACACAAAUAGGCAGAAGAAAAAAGUUUUAUUGAUCUUGAGGAUACAGAUGCAGCAUACAUUUUUAGGUUAUGACCCAAAAAGUAUGACCUAAAGAGCUUAUAUUAUUACUCUUAGGCCGUUACAGAAAAGCCCAGAAAAAUAGGCCCAAACACUGAUUUAAGGCAUAUUUGACAACGAUAGUGUUGGACAGCAGAAAAUGAGAGGAAGUAAUAUUUGACCGACCAAUAUGUAAUAUGUUUUCAUGCGGCCAACACAACAGAGUACAUUGAAUCCCAAUACACCAAAACUAGGAUACUUCUAACUCUUGACUCCGCCCAUUGCUCAAACUUUUUGUUUGUGAUCUUUUUAUAAUGAACCACUUUUGGGUUUUAUUUUGUUUAUAGUUAAACUACAAUAUAUACAACAUUUAGGACAGGGAAAAUGCUUUCUUCAAGACACUGAAAACAAUGAGAAUAAGCAGUGAUAUCAUGAUCUUCUUUGAAGCAAGCAUCCGCAAGUUCACCUUCAUGCCAUGGUCUCUCAUGAGCUUCACUGUUACCCUAAUUAUUAACAUAAGCCAAGACACAACGGACAGGAACACCACUUUUAUUGUGUCUGCAGGUCCAUUCACACUUCUUGUGCCUCCCCACACCUCGACGUAGGACCAAGACUGACACUUGGACACGUAAUCAUGUUCGACACUUUUAGCCGAAUCCAGGUAAUAUGUUCCUCAUAUACAAAACACAACUUAAUUAGGACUUCAGCAGUCAUUUAUAAAGUUCUACGUACAAUAGACAGCAAUCUGAUGCUCCACCAUAACUAGUAUGCAUGUAAGAAAAACAAAAACAUUCUUGCUAAGACUAAUUACACUACCCUUUGCAUAUUCAUCAAUCAGUACAAACACAAACAAUAUUAAAUCAAGUGAAACAAUCAAAACAUCUGUAGGAUGCGUGGAACCAUGAUAGCGCAUAUAGGUAACACAACAGAUAUCCUAGUACACUAUAACAAACUGGGCUAUUUACGACGAACACUAAGCCUAAUAUCCGUCGUAAGUUCCCAAUUUAUGAUGGAAAAAUCUGUAGUUUUUGCUCAAGUAGUAAGUUCAAAAAGCCGUCACAAUUUUAACUAUUAAACCAAUCCAAGAAAAUAAUCAAUCCACAAUAACAUAGUUUUCAUUAACAAAACAUCUCAAAUACAUAUUCAUACACAAACAAAAGACUAAAACAUCCAAACACAUACUCAUACACAAACAUAUGAUUAAAACAUCCAAAAACAGCCCCACAAAUUCAAUUACAUUCACACAACUUAAUAUUAACCCUUAAUAACCGGACCUCCUCUAGAGACAACAAUCGGGAUGACUCAUGUCAUGGUCUUCGGAGUUCGAAAUCUCAUUACCACUUCUAGCAUUAUCAACGUCAUCUUCAUCCCCAGUGUCGAUAACCUUGCCCUACAAUAUACAUAAAAAAUAAUUCAGUAUAAAUUGAAUAGAAACUCAUUUCUAUAUUCUAGAUAGAAACAUUCACCGUAUGUUUAUUUUGUUUUCUUUAAUGUACGCCCCUGUCUAUAAUUCAGGGUAUGUUUAUUUUUCAUGUAUUUUCUCUAUGAUUACAAAUAGCCGACCUUACUUGUCUAUUUGUACAGGUGGAAUUAUAGUUUAUAGGCAAGUUUGUGUCCACAGCAUUUAUGAGAAAAAGAUUGCCCUGUUGCGGUUUUUAAGAAUUGCUUCUUGCAAAUGCCAAGAAAUAUUUAACCCUCUCAUUAUAUUCAUCCGUAAAUUCAUAGCCACCGGAAAUUAUUCGUCGAGUAAUCCAACUUCUAUCAUAAGACAUCUAUAUAUGCAUGAAUAAUAUCAAUUCAAUUUCAAUAUGCAUAUAGACAAAAAUACAUACAAACACAAAUAAAACACAUGUAAACAUUAAAUUAUUCAUAUUAAUGCACAUAUAAUUAAACUAUAGAAGAAUAAGCAAAGAUUUAUCGUAUACGUAUAUUGAUUCAAGUGUUAAUCUCCGUUGUUAUGUCAUAUCUUCUGUGAAAUCAGAAGGAGAAGUAUGGUGUUUUGAAAGAGAAGUGGAAAAUUAGAAGCAGGCAAUAGUGAUUAAUCAGACCAAAUUACAACGGAAAGAACUCAUUCCGUCGUAAGUUCAUUUAAAUAUAUUAUUCUACAAUGCACAAGUCAAAAGUUUCGGGUGACAUUAAAUACGGUAGCUGAAUUUACGACGGAAUGAACUCAUUCCGUCGUAAAUUCCAGCACUAAAAGACACCGUUUGAAACAAUGGAACAUUCUCGAUUACCUUUUAAUAAAAAAAAUAUUUAUAUACGUGAAUUUACGACAGAAGGAGUUGCCGUCGUAAAUUAAUACGACGAAAAAACACCUAUCCGUCGUAAGUUUAAGCACUCAGCGAAUCUGUCAUAAAUACCCCUGUUUGUUGUAGUGGUACAUGGAAACUAAUAAAUACUAAGUAGCUUGUCUUCUUAAUGUGAUAAUAUUGUUUACUAACCAAUACUGACACACAUUAUCUUUAGAGUAGAUGGUCCUUUUCUAUGAGUUAAAGCACUUUGCAUCUCUUUUGUUUGAACAUUACAAAUAUAUGUUCAUAGUAUUAAUCUUGUUUCCCCCUGACCUAAAUCGUUUCAGUGUAAAAUUAGCAGCUCUGUACUUUCUCAAUGGUAUCUAAAUUUAUUAAAGUAAUAUUUGAUUCGUCAAUUACUAAACAAUACAGAAAUAACAGUAUGAGAAGGGAACUAAUGUGAAAUGUGCAAAUUGCAACCUUACACUUCCACAACUGGAUGUCUGUACUAAUGCAAUAUCUUUAUCAAAUCUUAAAGUUUUCUGAUUAAGAUCCAAUGUGCACGUUGCAACCUUUCUCAUCCACAAAGACGUCUUUACUGAUGCAAUAUUUCUAUUAAAAACUCUAAAAGGGUGUUAUAUCCUUAAAUUUUAUACUCUUGACGAAAAAAAUAAAUAAAUAGUUUUCGGAAGAAACUAUUAAUUCCAUACAAUUACGAUCAUUAUACUUAUUAGUUUUAUUUAAGAUUUUGUUUAUCUUAAAGUCACAUCCAUAUUAAAAACACUCAAUUUCCUAAAAAUAAUAUUAGAUUAUGGAUAACAUAGCAACUACUUUUUAUGAUUAAAACACAUUGUCAUUUUCAUAUUCGUAAUCAAAAAAUCGAUUUUUUAAAAAUAACACAUGCAAUAUACAUAUAAAAAGAUAAUAUUAUUAUAUAUAAUUAUUAAUAUACAACCGAUGAUAUUUUUCAAUAAAAUGCAUUAAUGCUGUUUUUAAUUACUCCAUGUUAUCACUUCAAAAUAAUAUCAUAGAUCUAUACUAUCUAUUUAUACCAUACUAUGCUAUAUUAUUAUUAUUAUUAUUAUUAUUAUUAUUAUUAUUAUUAUUAUUAUUAUUAUUAUUAUUAUUAUUAUUAUUAUUAUUCUUUUAAAAUUGAAAAAGUAAUAAUUUUAUCGGUCGGUAGAGUUUUAUCAGCCGCUCGGUAUUAUUCUACAGGCCUCCUUGAUAUAUAACGUGUUCUAAUAAACUUUUUAUUAUCAAUUAAGUCAAAAAAUAUAAAAAUUCGGUUAGUAUGAUCGAUUUCUGUUUCAAUUAAAUUUAUGAUUUAAAUGAUAAAAUUAUAAAUAUCAUAAAUCAACCGUACAUGGAACGGGUUAUAAACUAGUAUUAAUUAUUAUGAUAGAAUAGUUAUUAUAUUUUAAUAUUGGUCCUGAGAGAUGAAAUUUUUUAUGAAUUUAGAAAAUUAAUCACUUUACAGAAUAUUAAUUUAUAGAAAUUUUACUAUAUUAGGUGUUGAUUUUCUUAAGUUAGAAUAUUAUUUAAUAAACAAGUAGGAUAAUUUAUAAGGAUUGUAUUGGAUUAGGUGCUGAAUUUCUUAUUUUGAUUAUUAUUUAAUAGGUAGGUAGCGUAAGUUGUCGUCGAUGAAAGUGACACAAAUAUUGAUAUGAGUCAUUUUAUAAUUGUUUAGUAAUAUACCGUAGAAUUCUGCCAGCUAAUCGGUUGUUAAACUUUGCUUUUACAUGCCCAUCGUUUAGUAUACAAUGAAUCAAUGAUUGUCAUUUAUUUAGGAAUUAUGUCAUUUAUUUAGGAAUUAAAUAAUGAAUAACUCACACUUGUUCGGUUUAAUCUCAAAUUAGGGUUUUGUGAGUCGACUCCCAAAACUGGCAGUCACUUCUCCAUUCUUCACCUUCAUCCUCUUCAUCCACCAAAUCCUUUUCGCUCUCCCAUGUUAUUCACUAUUUACCACUUUUUUUGUUUUUCAAUAAAAGCGAGUGUUGCUUAAACCUCGAAGAUUCCAAUCGGGUUUUAUUCUCGGAUCUGUUUCGGAUUUGAGCUUGGGCUUGAUUGUUUUCUGAAUAAAUCAGAUAUUUUGAAAUCAAAGGUCCGAUCGUGUUUUCCCAUCUCGCCUUUUGGCGUGUGUUGAUUUAGUACCCAAUUUUUGGGUGAUUCUGCGUUGUUAUACUUGUGGUUGUUAUGUUUUUCUGUGUUAUCAAUGAGAAUGAUUUGGAUGCAGUUUUGGGAGAUCUAACUUAUCGCAUCAUUAAUACUUUCGGCAUGUCUAUAGCUGGCUCCCGGCGGCAUGUAGAUAGCUGGGGUAUGCUUGGAACGGUGGCGAUAGCAUGUGCUCACCUUUCACAAAUUAUAGUUGUUCAUUAUUCGAGGACUCUUGUUACUCAUUGCUUAGUUUUUACAACUGAGUCGCUUGAACACCGUAACAGCGAUGGAACUAUUGUGAAGGCCAAUUGUAUUCAUUCUUAGUUUCAAUGUAUUCAGUGUGUUAAGCAGUCUGGAAACAAUGCGGCUAUUUGUGUAGCUCGUUUUAUUGUUUAUCAACCUGAUUGCAUUGUCUGUUGGAGAUUUGUCCCGACUAGACUUGUUUUAAUUUAUUGAAAUGAAUUUGCAUUUUGUCAAAAAUAAAUAAAUAAUGAAUAACUCCAUAUACAGGAGUAGGUUAAUAGUAGUAUUAGUCUGUUGAUUCCAUGCAGUUCAACUAUCGGGAGUGUUUGUUUACGAGAAGCUGGAGUUGCUUCUAACUGCUUCUUUUGACCCGUUUGUGUAAAAAAGUAGAAGCACUUUUGAGAAUGCUAUCUUCUCUCUCACAGCUUCUGUUUCUUUUCCAAACACUUUAUUAACUUAUUUAAUUCUCACUUCUACUCCAUUUCUUUACUAUAAGCAAGAAAUCACAAUUUUUAAGCUAACUCAAACAGGCCCAUCAUUUUCUCUGGUGUAAACUUGACCGGUCUAGCUCGAGUAUAGUCGACCCAAAUUAUUUAUUGUGCUAGCUAUGCUAACACCGACUCUAUAACUAACAAUCCCUGUGGCGGGACGUGACAUCGAUAAAAGUUAGUAAUUAAAUAUUUAUAUAAAAGAAAUUAAAAUUAAAUUAUAAAAAUAUUUUAUAUGAUCUUUAAAAUAUGUGUGUAAAAAAGACAGUAAAUAAAUCAAAGGAACCGAAGGAGUACUAACUACAACUACGGCUAGGGCCCCGGAUGAGACCAUCAGGGUUGCUCUUACCAUCAGGAAAGAAACAAAUUUAUAUGUUAAACAAAUUUAUAUGGCUGAAGCAAUUGUGUCGAUUGUUGUGGGAAGGCUCACUGAUUUGUUAAUUGAAAAACCUCUAAUCCUUCACGAAGUGAGAGAUGAAAUUGAAGUCGCGGUAGCUGGGCUCGUGCGGAUGAAAACAUUCUUACGAGAUGCUGAUUCAAGGAUGGAUGUAGAAAGAAUCCGGAUUCUGCUCCGGGACGUACGAGAGCUUGCCUAUGAUGCUGAACAUGCUGUCGAAAGUUUUGUUAUUAAAGCCUCAUCCACUAAAAAAUCAUUUCAGUGGAUGAACAGAGGCAAGUUUUGUUAUGAUGCUGAUGAUUCUUACCCACUUAUAUCUAUUUGUGGAAUGGGGGGUCUGGGAAAGACAACUCUAGCUCAAAAGAUAUACAAUCACUCCGCCAUCAAGACUCACUUUGCUGGUUUAGCAUGGGUAUCAAUCUCCCGAAAGUGGCAAACAGAUCGUGUGUUGCAGAGAAUUCUUAUAUGUCUCGUCCCUGAGAACAAAAACUCUAUCCUUAAUAUGGACAGUGACAAGCUAGUGGAGUAUAUGCUACAAAUCCAGGGAAGGAAAAAAUGUUUGAUAGUUCUCGAUGAUAUAUGGUCAACUGAUACUUGGGAUGCAUUAAAAGCUGCAUUUCCAGCCGGGAAGUCCAUGAGCAAAUUAAUGCUUACAAGUCGUAAUGCUGAGGUUGCUGAGCAUGUAAAUUUAGACGGAUUCAUUCACAAGCCAGAAUGUCUAAGUCCCGAACAAAGUUGGGAGCUACUCAAGUUGAAAGCACUUCACACAGGAAAUUGUCUAGGUACGUAAUUUUAGUUGGGUUAAUUAUGUUUCACAUAAUUUUUUCUUUACCAUAUGUUUUGUUUGACAACCUUAACGAACCAUAUAUUUUGUUACUUAAGUUUGAUAAGUUUGGUUAGAAAUCUUUCCAACAACCUUAAAGAACAUUGUUCUAUUCAAUAACGUUUUGUUCGUGUUCGUUUAAAAACCUGUGUAUUAUUAGACUUGUAAACGAAUCCUGUUUGUUGUGUGUUGCAGACAUUACCAGAGAUGUAAAGAGGAUGGAAGAACUGGGAAGGGAAAUGGUUGAACAUUGUGCCGGUCUUCCGCUAGCUAUAGUCGUCUUGGGUGGAAUUCUUGUAACAAAACCAUCGUUGAUAGAGUGGGAGAAGGUAUAUCGUGAUAGUAAAUCAUCCCUGAAGGCGGGGAAAGGACUGGGAGAAGCCUAUCAAAGGGAAAUAUUAAGUUUUUUAGUUUGGAGCUACAAUGAUUUACCC